UGGAUGUUUUAGGUUUUAUAUAGGGUUCAAAGAGAGUGAUUUUAAAGAGGAAAAGAGAAACCUUUAGGUCAAUAUUGGAGCGAUGGAUGAGCUGAUCAGCGAAUUCGGGAUCCCGGAGAAUAUUCUUCCACUUACCAGGACCGUGCUUCCCAAUUCCGGCGAGUAACGCCUCCUCUUCCUCUCCCGUCCACUUUAAUUUCUGGUUUCCCAUCUAACCCUUGUUUAAUUUGCCUUGUAAUCGGAGUUAGACGACGUUUCUUCGCCGUAACCGGAGGAUUCGUUUUUUUUCUGGCUCUGCGCAGUUGUGUGACUGCGGGAGGUUUUUAGUUUGCAAAUUUAUGCUUUUAUUUUGUCUUCCGAAUAAUUCUAUUUACGCUCUCGAAAUUAAAACGAAUUAGUUUUAUUUAUUUCCCUUUUGACUCAAAUUAAAAACAAAUAAACUUUGGAUUAGAAUCCUUAAUUAUUUUAUUUUAGUAUCUUCAGUAAAUCUUGCUACAUUUCAUAUCAUCUAGUCCAACAAUGACCAUAUAUUGCUAUUUACCUAAAUUUUUAAUUUGAUGCAUCUAUGGGUGUUUGUCUAUUGGAUCUGAAUGAUAACACAAAACAAUCAAAAAAAUUUAGCGCGUAGUUAGCGAUACGUAAAUAGUUAAAAACGGUACAAAAUAACGGAUAGAAGAAACAGUAUAUAAAGUAUUACACUUUGAACCGCAACAAUACAUAAUUACCAACUAGAUAAUAUCCUGCACUAUGUGCAGGAUAAAACGAUUAUUAAAUAUAUUUUAAUAUAUUGAUAAUAUUGAAAGUGUUCGAAUUUUAUAUUAUUAAAUAAAUGGUAGUGUAUUAAUGAUUAUCAAGAUUAGUGAAAAUUUUCGUUUAUGUAUUAAAUUAUAUGUUUAUCAUGAUUUAUGAUAUAUAUCUUGUUAUAUUAAUAGAUACACAAUAUAUUAGGUACUCCAUUUUGUAUAGAUUUGUAUCUCUUAAUUACAUACUAUUUUAAUUAUAUUUUCGUUUUAAAUAAUUGAAAAAAAUAAAAAGCAUAAAUCAAUUAGAAAAAAUAAACAUAAGUAAAACUAAUGGCAAAAUCUAUAAAUAUCCUAAUAAAUGUUAGGUCUUUAACUAAAUAGAUUAAGAAGCUCUCUGAAAACGACACGUCAGCAUGAUAUUUUCGUUAAUCACACAUGAUGGUAAGAUUAUUUAAAAAAAAAUGAUUCUCAAUUAAUAUAUAAGAGAUAACAACCAUUAUAAUGAAAAUAAACCUAUUCAUUAUAAAUAUAAUACAAAUAUAAAUGUGAACUGUUUCUAGUGAAUAAUAUUUUUGACAUUAUAAGAAACACAUGAAAAUUCGAGAAUGGUUGGUUGUUGUCACGAUGGAUUGCAAUUUGCAAGUACUGUAAGUAAAUGUGAUUUUGAAAAGUCCAAUGUUAAAGAGGUUAAUUUUGUAAAAACAAAACUUCUGGGGUCAAUAAAAUUCGAAAUAGGAAGCAAGAGAAAACCGAUUUGGGUAUAAAAAAGAGUAAACAAAACAUAGUGGGCUAAAUUCGAAUAAAUUGCAAACGCGAGUAUUAAGCGAAUCUGGAAACAACUGGACUGAGUCUUUCCCUAAAAACCCUAAACAGAGAUUUUUUGUUUUGCUUUGUUUCAUUUCUCAUUUCGGCAACCAACCAAACAAACAUUCAGAGAGAUCCACAACACAGCACAACACAACACAUCAUCACACGUUUCUCUUCUCUUUCCUCUCCGUCGUCUCUCUCUCUAUAGCCACCAUCAAAAUCCAUAAAACCUAGACUUUUCUCACCAAUCCAUGGCGGCUAAUAACAGAUCCGAUCAUGGGUCAGACGAAAACACAAGACUUUACAAUCCUUACCAAAACUACGAAGUACCAAUCAACAAAUCUCAGUACCUUUACAAGCUUCCAACAUCUCCUGAGUUUCUCUUCACAGAGGAGUCUUUAAGGCAACGUAGAUCUUGGGGUGAGAACCUCACUUUCUACACCGGAACAGCUUACCUCGGUGGCUCCGUUGCCGGAGCUUCUGUUGGAGUUAUCACUGGAGUCAAAAGCUUCGAAUCUGGCGACACGACUAAGCUCAAAAUCAACAGGAUCUUGAACUCUUCUGGUCAAACGGGUCGAACUUGGGGUAACAGGAUUGGUAUCAUUGGGUUGGUUUACGCAGGGAUCGAGAGUGGUGUUGUGGCUGCCACGGAUAGAGAUGAUGUUUGGACCAGUGUGGUGGCUGGUCUUGGGACCGGAGCUGUUUGUAGAGCGGCCAGAGGAGUGAGAUCUGCGGCUGUGGCUGGUGCUCUUGGUGGACUUGCGGCUGGAGCUGUUGUAGCUGGGAAGCAAAUUGUGAGGCGGUAUGUGCCCAUUUGAAGACUGCAAUAGUCUAAUUGGAAGACUCUGUUUCGUCGUUGUUGGAAUUUUUGAUAGGGGAAAUGGUGAGAAUUUGAUAGGUUUGGUAUGUCUUGGAAUCAUAAAAAUGAAAACUUUAUUUGGUUUCUAGAGGUACAACAAGUCUGUAUGUCUGUCAGUCAUAAUGCAGUUUCACUUUGAAGAAUAACCUGCAAACCUUUUUUCUUAUAUUCAUACUGAUAAAAUGUUUUACCAAUUGGUAAUUUAAUUUGUCAUGAGUGUGUUUCUUCUAGUUAGUUGUUUUAUGUUUCUGUUUUUGAUCAAUGUUACCUCUUUCUUGAUUCGUUGAGAAACGGAUGUGUUGUAUUACAUUUGUAAUGAAGCUCUUCUCUCAAGUUUUUUUCUUAUCAUUUUGUUAAUUGGGAUGGUUUAGUGUGUUCAUAUAAUUAUAUACCUCUGUUUAUCUCAUUGAGUGCUAACCUGAUAUUUGAUGGUCCUAUUUGUUUCCUAUUUUUCCCUUUGGUUCUAUUUAUCUGGACUGUUCUCUGCUCUUAGCUAUUCAUUUUUUCUUUAAGAUUUCACAAGCUAUGAUGAGGGAUCAGUCACCUUUUGUUUUGUGGCUUUUGGCUCUCAUGUCUCAGUCAUAUUGUGUAAUAAACCUUCCUAAGCUCUUUGCUAUUGCUGAAACAAACAAUGUCUAUUUUCUAAGCUCGUUGCUAUUGCUGAAACAAACAAUAUCCUCAUAUAUUAAGUCUUAAACUUUCAGUUUUGCAGUUUGCUUGAAAAUAUUUUUGUUACAGAAGAUCAUGUUGCUGCAAAACGACAUUUGAUUUGAUUUUCUUGAUUCGAACGAGGGUCUUUAGAUUAAUAAGCAAGUCUUCUUUAAAACUGUAGCAUUUGACAUGAACAAAACAAAAAAAAAUUUCAUAUACAAAGAUAAGGGAACUCCCACACAUUAUGGGAGAUCACCCCACUGAACUCUGGAUGGAGAACAACUCAUGAAAGACCAACCCUUGCCUUUGUACUGGCUUGUAUGUGAUCUUGGAGGUCGACUUCUUCUUGGUACGGGAUGGUUACGGGUCUUAGACGGAUCAAGAUAGUCGUGGAUCUCAGGUACUGCCACUUUCAGCUUCUGGUUGAUCUACGUCGAAUUUCCAUGUUUUUUUAUCAAUACUCAAUAUGAUUUUCUCAAUUGAUCCUCUCUCUACAUGGCAGAGAAAUUAUUCAUGAACUGAGAAAGUUCUGCAGUAAACAUCUUUACCUACUUUUGACAAAAUAUGAUUCUCUCUGAUCUAAAACCCUUCUUGGUGUGAUACAUUGCAAGUGUGCAGAACAAAACAAAAAGUGUCCUCUUGAUAAACUAAGAUCUAAAUCCGUUUUCAGCUAUGUUCAUAAAUUGAAAGGUUUAGUUAAUAUUGAUAUGCUUAUUGUGAGUAAAUCUUUUGUUGCAGGUUCUUAAUGUGUGUGGAAUUUCCUAAAGUUCGAUUUGCAGCUAAGAUCCCUUAAAAAGAACGGUUCUAAGAAACUAACCUGAGAGGAAGGAAUCGGGGAAAGUGGAACUGAAUUGUGUUCAUGUGACACAUGAGAUGUUCUAUCCUGAAUACGUUCAUGAUCCUCUGUAGCAAACUCUUUAAGCCUGUUCAGAGCUGGUAACAGAACUAAGGCAAGAUCAGGUCUAUCCUUUUUCCUCAGUUCACAACACUGCAAAGCCAAUUUAGCCAACUCCAGAGUCUCUUCUUCAGGCCAUUCUGAUACAGUUGGAUCCAAAAUUUCUCUCAGAUUAUUAUUUUCAAUAGCCAUCUCUACUUUAUGGCCUAACCCCAUUGCUGGUUGGGCUGUUAUGAUUUGCAGAAGCACCACACCAAAAGAGUAGACGUCAGAUUUCACUCCAAGCAUUCCGGUUUGCUGAUACUCAGGGUCAAUGUAACAAAAUGUACCUGUUCCCGUACGCCAAAUGGGAAACAUACAUCAACAUUGGUUCGAUGUUAAGACAUUGAAAAGAGAUGGAAGAUAAGUCUCUUACCGGCUGCAGAGGUCAUGUGAUAGUUACUGUAGCUAUCAGACACAGAGGGAGGUACCAAGCGAGCUAGACCGACAUCACUGAUUUUGCUAGUGAGAUGUUUAUCAAGUAGAAUGUUUGCUGGCUUCAGAUCACGAUGAACUAAGGGCUCAGGUUUUGCCUGGUGAAGGAAAAGAAGUCCUGUGGCAAUCUCAGAAGCGAUUCUGAAUCUUGCUCUCCAUGAAAGUGGGGGUGUAUUGUUUUUGCAGAAGAGGCGAUCUUCAAGUGUUCCAUUUUCCAUAUACUCAUAUACAAGACAACCAUACUCGGGACAUGCACCGAGAAGGAUCACCAUAUUAGGGUGCCUCAUGCUACUCAGAACCUCAAUCUAGUGAAGAAACAUAUGUAUGAGUCAGAAGAAGAAGAAAAGAAAAAAGUAAAAUAAGGAUUUCACAAUAUAACUAACACACUACCUCUUGUCGGAACUGUUUUAGUCCCUCUGUGAUACCCGACUUCAAGAUUUUAAUGGCGACAGGAGUGUAAUCGAGAACAGCUUUGUAAACAGGUCCAUAACCUCCUUCCCCAAUCUUUAGAGCAUCAGAAAAACCAUAGGUUGCACCUUCAACAUCUUUGAUACUAUAACGUCUGUAAGACACCGUAGUGACCAUCUUCUGUUUGUCCAAAUUGGCUUGCAUCUCUAGUAAUCUUAUCUUUUGGCUCUCCAUUUUCGCUAUGCGCUUUGCUAUUUCAGCGGCUUGGAUUGCAGACUGCUUUUUCUGCUUUUCCCUCUCAGACAAUGCUCUAGGCAGCUCUAUUUUUUCAUCUGACCUUGGGCUUUCUUGGGACUACAUAAUGUAAUAUCUAAUGAUUAUUAUUCACAACAACAAUUGUCAUCAACAUGGAAGGUAGUGAUAUCUUACGUUUUCGUUUUGGUUUGUAGUGUCUUUGUCCAUCUUAAACUGCUUCAAUUCCAGUCUCAGUUUCCUCACCUCUGCUUCAAGAUUUUGAUUCUGGCAAAGAAGAUAGUCCAUAUCAGUACCAUGUUGACAUUCUGCAAAUCCUGGAGCAAAUUUAUGUUCCUGACAAACUUUACCUGUUGUUCCACGAAAUUUCCCGCAUGUGGACUUUCCUGUGCACCAGUUAUCCAAGAAGGAAAUGUCAGAACACUAAGAAACUGAACGUUUAGUAGAAAGUGAUGAUAUACUACUAACCGUUGACGUUGAAGAGAUCGAGCUUCCGAUGGUAGUGGAACUUUCAGAGACGGUGUAAGAACUCACAGUUGAUACCAUAUCACUACUGCCAUUAUCAGUCUCUGACUGAGAGAUCUCACUCAUAGAUGGCGGUGGUGAUAUGCGAGGUGAAUUGGGUUGGAAGAAAUCUGAAUUUGGUUUGUUGGUUUGUGUAGAUACAGGUGAUGAUAAUGAUUCCCUGUAAAAAAUGUAAACCAAAACUUGUCUUGUUGAGAAGAAAACCAUGGCCAAAAGUUGGAAGAGAGUUGAGAUUACCUAUCAGAGUCAUUGGAAACGGAGCUUGUUGAGUUAUACAACAAAGAAGAGAGAUUUUGUUGUCUGGAAAGUUUAUGAGGGUGACUCGCGGAUCUGCUUUUUAAAAGCCUACCUUUGGUCACAACAAAGACAGCACAAGUCUCUGGAGUCGUCGUAAGCAGAGUGGUUGGUACAUCUGGACUCUUAAACUUUCUGAUCACAAAGAAAGAUUUGAAUGUUAGCAUUUUGUGUAACCAAAGUUGAAAUGGUACCAAGCAUGAAACAGAGAAGAGGAGAGACUUGAGGAAGGAAUUGCGUGCAGAUGCGCCAACAACAAGAUUUGCAAUGUAAUAAUUGUUGGUGAUGUAGUUGACAAUAGCAUUGGAGAUGUCAAUAUCAUGAAGAAUAACCUCCUUUGCUAUGAUCUGAAAAGCGUGUAUACAUAUAUAAUGUCAUGAUAUGUGAUCAUUAUAAGUGAUCUGUUGUUGAAUGAAGAUUGGAAAUGAUCGAUCACUAACUCCUUUUCGAGCGCAGAAUCCUCUGAAAGGAAGAAAGAAUUGAUGCGCCUCGUCCUGAUUGUCCUGAUGAAAAUGUCCUCCUGUGUUUCCCACUGCAAAACAGAUUCCUAAUUAGGGCUCUUUGACGCUGUAGUUUCGAUGAUGAAGAGAAGAGCGAGAGAUGCUUACGUUGAACGUGGAGAAGGACACAUUGUGGAGUAUCAACAACGAUAUUUUCAACGGCCCAUUUCAAGGCGUGUUGGCUGUUCUUGUCCUUAUCAAUGGCAAUCGCCGUGAUUGUGCCAUAGUCCGCCGAGGUCCCUCUUACUCUUCUUGCAUACAUGUUAGAGACUUGCUUCCCAAGAAAUCUGAAUAACCUGCUCCACAAGCAAACUAUAAUACUCAUGAAUCAUCUCAUGUCUUUAUCAUUUACGCCCAAAAACCAUAAUCGAUUGCGUUGUUUUUCUUUUGUCUGGCUCCGAAACUUCUGAGAAGAAACAAUGAACGAUAAAAAGAAACAGAAUUUUGUAUUGUGAAUGAUGAAGCUUCGAGUGGUUUUACAUUUUUGCUAAUUUUGGAGGGUUUAUUCCUCAAACAACUCUCAACAGUCUUGUGAAACAAAACAAACAAAAAGGAAAUUUUCAAUUUAUCUUUAGAGAGUGAUUUUUGGGAAGUUGCUGGUGAGAUCUAGCUUACAUUAAUGUACGCGUUUCGAUUAAAAUGAAAUUCAAUUAUACAUCAUCAAAAUAUUAAGUUGCUUUAAUUUUUUUAUCUUAAUUUAUUGAAACUAGUUUUUUUUAAGAUAAAAUGAUUAGUAUAUGAUUUAGACUUUUACUGCCCCUAUCCCCUCACGUCAAUCCCACGAGCACACAUUUACUGAAUUCGAGUUUAGAUAAUAAUGCAACAGCAAUAUAUCUACGAAUUUUAUUAUUUUCGUCGCUGAUCAAUCAGACAGCCGCGUGGGCGGGUGGUAGAAAAAGAAAUUAUUGCGAUUAUUGACUUGCGAAAAAACAAACACACGUUGCAUUUUCUGAUUUACGUAUCCAAAAAGAACAAAGAAAAAAAAAGGUAACGAUCAAAUUUUCUCGGCCUGUCGUCUUCCAUCUUUAUUUCUUCUUCGCGAAACACCAUAUCUUAUACGUCUCUCGAAAGAUUAUUACUUUUAAGACGAUUCCAUUAUAAACACGAUUGUGAGAACUAUAUACUUUUACGUUGUCGAAAAGAAAACAUAAGACCAGUUCUUAUUGAGAGUUCUAUAGACAAGUUCGUAAUAAGAAUCCUUCAACAAUAAACAUAAAACCAAUCCAAAAAAAAAAAAACAUAAAACCAAUCUUGAACAAAAAAAAAUAAACAUAGAAAAAAACCUUUUUUUUGAAUCACUCAUAUCUUUUAAAACUAAAAUUUAAUCAUUUGGAAUAAAAACAAUAUAUGGAAAAAUUUUGAAUUCUCUGAACCAAAUAUAUCACACGUCAAGAUUUCAUUCAUCCAUAUCUCAUUCACUAAUAUGCAAUUUACAGUUAUAUUAUUUACAAUUACAAAUCAGAUACACAUGACACCUACAAGUCAAAUUGUAUUAUAUGCCACACAUUUAUAUUUCACUUAUCUAUAUCUCAUUUUCGUGGUUAAUAUUACAUGUCAAAAAUUUUUGGAAACAUUUAUAUAUUUUCUAUCUUGUAUAAUAAGAUUUCUGUUUAAAAAAAGUGAGGAAUCAAUUUCCAUUGAAAACAUAUUGGUUUAGAGAAACAAAAGUUAAAUUGGGAAAAAAAAAAGGAACAUCUGUUGUUAGCUGAUCGACAGGUGUUGCCUGAAGGGACCUUAGAAAAAAGAAAAAGGACAAAAAAAAAAAAGGACAAAGUUCUCAAAAUGAUGCAAGAAUUGUGUAUACGUGUCCUUCUAUUAAUCCUCUUUUGUAAUAAAUACUCUUUUUUUUGUUUUUUUAUUAAUUUACAAAACCAACGAAGAAAAAGGAAUAAAAAAAGAGAGAGAAAAAGCAAACCACACAAUAUUCUCUUCUCUCUCUUUGUUUCGCUGAUAGAGAGAGCCUCUCUCUUAGCAAUUUAGCUCGAGCGAGAAAUAAUCCUGAAGGAAGAAAAAGAAAAGAAGAACAUCUUUACUUUGUUCUUUGAUUUUCUUUAAAAAAAUUUGUAGAUGCGAAUAUCUUAAGAUUCAUCAACUGGUUAGUUCUCUCUUCUUUUUUCUUCUUUCCUGAUUUUUUAUGUUGUUUUCUCUGUUUUGUUGUUUUUGUCAAGUGUAUAGUUAGCUUUUUCAUCGGAGGAUUUGUGUUAUUAUGAAUCGAAUCUCUCUUGUUUUUUUCUUCUUUAUCUUGUUGGUUUGAGCUUUGUGUUUAGUUUUCUUAAGAGCAAAGUUUUUAAUUCAUCUUUCUAUUUCUAGGUAAAGCUAAAGCUUGUUUUUUUAAUUUAGAUCCAGGAGAACCCAUGUUCUACUUUGAUUCUGGUUGUUAAUGGUUCUAUUUUUUUAGGGUUUUCUUGUGAUUGAUUUCGCUGAUUUUCCCUCUCUUUUUUUUUUUUAGUUUUUGACAUGACCGUUUGGAUAAUGAAUGAUUCGUGAGUUUUUGAUUAGUGCUUUGUGAUCUCUCAAUAGGGUCGAAAUCAAGAUAAAGAUUUGUGCGAAGAUCAACCAAGUUUUUGGGAUUUGGGAUCAGGACAGUGAUAAAAUCCGUCAGAUCUGUUUAUCUCCGCUACCCAAUUCUCGUUGAUUCGUCUUUUAACUAUGCUAAGUUAGUGUAUGAAUAUAGCGGCAUUUGGGUCGCUGACAUAUACUUUAAUGGAGCAAGGAUUCUUCAACAUCAUGAAACCAUUGAAGAAGAUGAAUACAAUUGAAUACUCCUAAGUUCAUCUUUGAAAUUAAAGCUUUUUUGUGGUGUGGUGUGGUGUGGAAAUCUCUUAUUUUUGAGAGCUCAUGGAGGAGAUGACUCCGGCAGUUGCAAUGACUCUGAGCUUAGCAGCUAACACCAUUUGUGAACCAUCGCCUGUGGAGAUCACUCAGCUUAAGAACGUUACUGAUGCAGCUGACUUGUUAUCUGAUCAAGAAAAUCAAAGCUUUUGCAACGGAGGGACUGAAUGCGCUACGGAAGAGGUAGGCGAACCGGAUUUGUUGAAAACUUUAUCCGAUACGAGAAGCGGGUCUUCUAAUGUUUUUGAUGAAGACGAGGUAUUGUCUGUUGUGGAGGAUAAUAGUGCUGUCAUAAGUGAGGGCUUGUUAGUUGUUGAUGCAGGCUCCGAAUUAAGCUUGUCUGAUACAGCUAUGGAAAUAGAUAAUGGGCGAGUGCUUGCAACAGCGAUUAUCGUAGGCGAAUCAAGCAUCGAGCAGGUUCCCACUGCGCAAGUACUUAUUGCGGGUGUGAAUCAGGAUACAAAUAGAGAAGAUGGUUCAGCUGUAACGGCUUCGGAGGUUGUCAUUCGAUUGCCAGAAGAAAAUAGUAAUCAUCUGGUGAAAGGGAGAAGUGUUUAUGAAUUAGAUUGUAUACCGCUUUGGGGCACGGUUUCCAUUCAAGGUAAUAGAUCUGAGAUGGAGGAUGCUUUUGCCGUGUUACCUCAUUUUCUGAAAUUACCCAUCAAAAUGCUAAUGGGGGACCAUGAGGGUAUGAGUCCAAGCCUCACACACCUCACAAGCCAUUUUUUCGGUGUUUAUGAUGGUCACGGAGGCCAUAAGGUAUGCUAUAUUCACAUUUUCUAUAAGUUAUUUUAGCAACGGAGUUUGUUACACCUCUCUGAAUCCAGAAUACCUUAAUUCAUAGAUUUUAAAUCUACGAUGGGUUGCAGGUUGCUGACUAUUGCCGAGAUAGACUCCAUUUUGCUUUGGCUGAAGAAAUAGAACGUAUAAAAGACGAAUUAUGCAAGAGGAACACAGGAGAGGGUAGGCAGGUCCAGUGGGAGAAAGUCUUCACUAGUUGUUUUCUAACCGUUGAUGGUGAGAUUGAAGGAAAAAUUGGCAGAGCUGUUGUUGGUUCUUCUGAUAAGGUUCUUGAGGCUGUUGCCUCUGAGACAGUAGGAUCAACUGCUGUUGUUGCUUUGGUUUGUUCAUCACACAUAGUAGUUUCUAACUGCGGUGAUUCAAGGGCGGUUUUAUUCCGUGGCAAAGAAGCCAUGCCCUUAUCAGUUGAUCACAAAGUAAUUUUUUCCUUAUAUCCAAGAUUCUACCCAGUCUAACGUACAUAGUUGAUGAAGUGUUUUCUUACCUCUUUCCAUUUUUCUGCAGCCAGAUAGAGAGGAUGAAUACGCAAGAAUAGAAAAUGCUGGAGGCAAAGUCAUACAAUGGCAAGGCGCACGUGUUUUUGGUGUUCUCGCCAUGUCUAGGUCCAUCGGUAAGCAAUGCUUCUUUCGAUGACUAGAAAUGCAUCUAUGAAUGUCUUAAGGUGGCUUCACAUGCACAUCACAAAAACGUAGCUUGAUAAUGUAUUUACUGCCCUUCAUCAUGAAACAUUAGAUCAUCUGCGGUUUUUUCCUCCCCUGGACCAAUGCAGGUGACAGAUAUCUGAAGCCAUAUGUGAUCCCAGAACCGGAAGUGACAUUCAUGCCUCGGUCAAGAGAAGACGAGUGUCUGAUACUAGCCAGUGACGGUCUUUGGGAUGUAAUGAACAACCAAGAAGUUUGCGAAAUAGCAAGGAGACGGAUCUUGAUGUGGCACAAAAAGAAUGGAGCACUGCCUCUAGCAGAGAGAGGCAAAGGAACAGACCCAGCUUGCCAAGCCGCGGCUGACUACCUCUCAAUGCUUGCUCUACAAAAAGGAAGUAAAGACAACAUCUCCAUCAUUGUGAUUGACUUGAAAGCUCAAAGAAAGUUCAAGACCAGAACCUGAAGCUUAAUUACAAACAGUACGCUUACUUACUUUUUUUUAGUGGGGGUAAGUUUCGAUUUUUCGUAUAUUUUAGAUCGUUACGGAUCUAAUUUCGACAGGUUUUUACAUAUUAAUUACUCAAUAUUGUUAGAGGGAAGGAAAAAAAAAGAAAAAAAAAAUGGAAAUGCGGGUUGGGGGAGGAGAAGUAAAGACUGGAGAUUAAGAAGAUGAUGCAUAGCUAAUUAUAUAAGUUCAUUCCUGUUUUUUCUCAUGGAACUUGGAAUUCGUAUGUAUAAGAAGUAGUCAAAGAAAUGCUUUUUUUUUUGGGUAUUGAAGUAGCUGAAUGAAUAUGUUGUAAUAGUUUGAGAGAUGUGGCAGAUGAAAUUGUAAUUGAAACUAUGUCACAUUAACCUUCUUGCAUUUCUCUUUUCUUUUUACUAUCCUUUUCUAUUCAUUAACUUAACAUUGAUUGAGAUGAGAGUUCUGGAUCCUAGAGAUUCGAUGUUGUUUCUAAGUACUAAAUAACCAUAACAUUAAUCAAAAGGUGGACGUGCCGGAGUGGUUAUCGGGCAUGACUAGAAAUCAUGUGGGCUUUGCCCGCGCAGGUUCGAAUCCUGCCGUUCACGUUUCUUUUUUUCCCAGUUAUCAUCCAUAUUUUCCAUAACUUACCUUAAUCAUCUUACAUACAUACCGUGAGUCUUUACGAAAUGUUAAUCUUUUUUUUUCCUUAAUUGAGUAUAAAUAGAGAUCAACCUCUAUCUACAAAUGUGGAAGUGACGUGUGAAACCGUAAGUGUAUUUAAAUCAAACUUAGAAAGCUAUUAAUCAUUGGCAAUGGCACCGCAUAAGAUCUAGCUUGUGAAAGAAAGUUUAUCAUUUUUAGAUAAGUUUAUCAAGAUGACAAGACUUGGUUAGAUAUAUUGUAAAAGCCACGACAACAACACCGGCUCUCCUCCAUUGACCCAAAUCCUAGUUUACUUAUUUUGAUAAUAUAAAUAUUAAAUUAAAAGACUAAUUACAGCCUCGACUUCACAUAGAAAACGUGUUUAAUUAACACGUUAGACAUAUAUGAUUCCUUUGAACAAUUUGAUUAUCUGACGUACCAGUAUGUAUUUGCUAUUUUGCUUCAUGUAAUCCAGCUGUACGUAGGCCUUUGAAUUUCAGUUUCCAACUUUUUUUUUUUAAUUGAAAAAUGCAGAAUUUUUUUUUUCUGUUUAUAACUUUCACAAACAAAUACCACCAUUUUCCAGCUUAUCUAACAAGUCACUAAAACUUUCAAAAAUUUCCCCACAAAAACUUAAGUGUCAAUUGACCCCCUUUUUUUUUAGGUAUGACCAAAGUUUGGUUCGAAUUUUAAAGAUUGAAAUAUGACAAUUUUUUUUUUUUUUUGUUGCCGAGAGACAAACUCAAGAACUGGUCAGAUCUACCGAGUUAAGUUGUGUAUAGUCAACUAGUACUAAUUUGAACAUUAUACAAUUUAUUCAGAUAUCCUCUACGUAAAAUGCGAAAUGUAUUUCCAUGUAUUGAUGAAUUUGCAUAUAUUCAACAAAAAUACGUCAAUUAUCCGAUUACUUGUCUCCUAUAAAAUAUGUCUAAAAUACUCCAAGACAGGGACAUAUUUUUUUGUUGUAACAAAAGGUGUAAAUUAAAGUAGGAAUCCACAAAAAAAAAUCGAUAUAAAAAUGACCAAACCCAAGUCCCCAAGCAUUUAAAAAGAAAUAUCAAAUAUCAAUCCAAGCAAAGCAUAAAAGCAACACAUUACAGCAUCGUAAGCCAACCACUCCCAAGCUAAAAAGUUUUCUUCUAAAAGACAAAUAAUAGACAAACAAGAAAGAGUAUGGAAGAAGAAGAUGGAGACGCGUCUACGCCGUUUUGGCUUCAAUCACGCCGCAAUAACACUUACUUCCGCCGCACUGCAAGUCUCGGCGGCCGUGCAACCACCGUCGCCACUCAAAUAUUCUUCGCCGGGACAGCUGCAAUCCUUAUAGUCUUCUUCAUUAUCCCUCCUCUCUUUUCCUCUGUUUCACAAGUUUUCCGACCUCAUUUAGUCCGUAAAAGCUGGGAUUAUCUCAACUUCGUUCUCGUCCUUUUCGCCGUCCUUUGCGGCUUCCUCAGCCGCAACACCAAUAAUGACGAAACCAAUCAUAACAAAGAAGAAGACAUUAGUAACAAAUUCUCGAACUCACCUUCGAUCAUCGAUCGAGGAGGUCGUGUAUCUAACAGUGCCACGCCUCGUUAUUGGAUCGAUGAUCGCGGUGGUGGCGGCGGUGAUCAGACGGUGUACAAGAGGUUUAGUAGAUUACGGAGUGUUAGCUCGUAUCCAGAUCUGAGACUCCGGGAAUACGAAGCCGAUGAACGGUGGAGAUUUUACGAUGAUACACGUGUAAGUCAAUGUCGUUACGAAGAUGUAGAUCCGAUCUAUCCAAAUCAAAGUUACAGAAACUGGCAGGAGGAAGUUAAACCACCGCCGGAAGAUUUAGAUCAAACAGAGGACGGUGGUAAUGAAGGAGGAGGAAAGGUCCAUAGCGGCGGUUCCGAAACUGAGAAAGUUGAGGUCUUUGAGACGGCGGAAGCUGAAGUAGUAGAGGAGCUAACAGUGCCUUCUGCUCCGCCGUAUAUUCCGUCUCCUCCGCCGUCUCCGCCACGUCCUCCACCACCUAAGCAAGCGAAGAGGAAGACUAAAAGAGUGUACCAAGAUGUUCCUCCAAAGGAAGAGAAUAAUGAGAGAAGUGAUUUUGUAGCGGCGACGCCGAUGACUCCGAUUCCACCUCCGGCGACUGUGUAUCAAAAGAGCAAUAAACAGGAAAAGAAGAAAGGCGGAGCAACUAAGGAUUUUCUGAUUGCGUUACGGAGAAAGAAAAAGAAGCAGAGACAACAGAGCAUCGAUGGACUCGAUUUACUCUUCGGAUCCGAUCCUCCAUUGGUCUAUUCACCACCACCGCCGCCUCCGCCUCCACCACCUUUCUUCCAAGGGCUAUUCUCAUCCAAAAAAGGUAAAGGCAAAAAAAACAAUUCAAAUCCACCGCCUCCUCCUCCUCCGCCACCACCUGAACGGAGAUAUGAAUCACGCGCAUCAAUGACGUCGAUUCGCAAAGCUCCGGUGGAAUCACGGACAUCUAAACCAAAUCCGCCAGCUAGAGUAACUCAAUUCGUAGGCACAGGAAGCGAAUCGCCAUUGAUGCCGAUCCCGCCGCCGCCUCCUCCUCCGCCGUUUAAAAUGCCGGCUUGGAAAUUCGUGAAGCGUGGAGAUUACGUCAGGAUGGCUAGUGACAUCAGCAUAAGCUCCGACGAACCCGAUGAUCCCGACGUAGCUCAAUCAGCUGAAGGUAAGGUCGCCGCCGGGAGUAUGUUCUGUCCAAGCCCCGACGUAGAUACCAAAGCCGAUGAUUUCAUCGCGAGAUUCAGAGCUGGACUCAAAUUGGAGAAGAUGAACUCUGUGAAAAGAGGGAGAUCCAAUUUAGGACCCGAACCCGGACUUAAUGAAUCCGGGUCUUAAUAAACGGGUAGUGGUUAUAGGCCUAGCCCAAGCGUAUAGUGGUUAUUACUUUUGGAUUUUGGAACAUCGAUCUUUCUUUUUGUUGCAUUUUUGGAUUACACUGUGUUGGGUUUUUCCUACUUUUGUUUAAUUUUCUUAUACGUAAUUUUGUGGAUUACACUAUACGUUUUUUAUAGAUUUUAGCCCAUCUUAGGAUUAAGAUUAACCAAAAAAAGCUUUAUACUUGAAAUGCAACUAGUUUUUCUUGUAAUAUUCUCCAUUUUUAUGUUUGGAUAGUAGAGAACAUAUAGCUUUGAAAAAUAUAUUUAAGACUUUUAGAAACAAAAGAAAAAAUACUAUAGCUUUAAUUUUAUAUCGUCAAACAAUUAACAAAUUGACAGUUGUUUAUAAAUAUUUAAUUUGAUUAAGUUAACUUUUUAAUCAAAAAUAAAUAAUCAAGCAAAUCAACACAAACAAUUGGAAAAGCCACUUCGUUCUUUGCCUUUCUUUAGUUGAUUAACAAAAUCUUUAACAAUUAAAUAUAUUAAUUAAAAAGCAAUUAAAAGGACAUAUAAAAAAAAUUUAAUAUGGCGGCUACAAAGCUUACAAAUGACGAUGGACCAUCACCGCGUCUUAACUGUGUUGCGUUACAAAAACGCCAUCUUUUAUUUAACCUAAUAUAUAUAUAUAUAUAUAUCUUAAACAACAGUCAAGGGUUAUUGUCUCUCGAAAACCUAGAAUCGUUCUUUCUCUUUUCUUGUCAAUAUUCUCCAUGGCUGGGUCUAGCAAGAAAUCCGACACCAAAAGUGAAGCAGCAGCUCCUGCUGUGAUUAAGGCCACGAAGUCUCAGGAUUCAAGGACCAAAGUACAUCUGAAGAAGCCGAAGAAAGUCGUGAUUGCUCCUGCCGAGAAGAAAAAGAUCACGAAAGGAUUCGUCAGGAAAAACUUUGAGAAGAAGGAGAUGAUCAAAGAAUUCGCUGAUCGUCUUCAGCGUCUCGAAGCAAAGGUGGAUUUGUUGGUAACAAAGGCGGAUUUGUUGGCAACAAAGGCGGAUAUACAGGAGCUUUUCAUCCCAGCCAAGUGUGAGAAAGUUCCUGCCAUGAAACCACUUGCUAAGGCUGCUUCUGACAGCGAUGACUCAUACAUGGACACCUCUUCGGAGGAUGAAUCAUCUUCUGGUGAGGAACUUGCAAAGAAACCUGCUGCAAGUGCCGCCAAGCCAGCUGCUAAUAAUUCUUUAUUCUCUGUUGGUGGCAAUGGUCAAUCGUUCUCUGUUACGGGAUUUGACUCUUCCCUUCCUGUGGAUGAUAUCAAGAGCGCAUUGAGUAUAUAUUUCAGUUAUUUUGGGGAGAUCACACGCGUAUUUGUUCCCCCAAGCCACGGAACCGGUGGUUCCUUAGGAUAUGCUUACAUUGAUCUGAUAGAAGGAGCAGACAAGGCGUUGGAACUUGGUACACAUGACGUGGGAGGAUGGAAUCUUGUAGUUGGUAAGGCUGAACCAAUACGCAGUGGAAGUACUUGGCCUUUUCCUGGCCGUUGUGGCAAUCAGGGCCGUUGUACCUUCUGUUGAAGGCUUGAAGCUUUGGUGGUAAUUUACCACUGGUAAAGUUAGACACUGCUCGUGGAAAUAGACCUAGUUUUACUCCCUCCCUAAAGUAAGAAGACUAACUAGAAGCAGAGGAAGAUAUGUGGUGUUUUAAUUUGUGAUACAAUGCAACAUUUUUAUUACUUGUGAGUUUUUUCUUUAGGUUCUAGUUAAGUUUUUGUCCAAUGUUAAUGUAAACUCAAUUUUGAGUUCUAUUGGUUUUAAAGAAGAAAUAAAAACUCAGGUCGCGAGUACUUGUUAACUGGUGACUGUAGAGGAAAAGACAGGCCGUGAGAACUUGGUAGAGCACAUGUAAAAGUCAGUUGUACUUUGAUGUGGGCGAGCAUCACGACUAACCGUACCAGUCCUUGUAUCUUUAUUUUCACAAGUCCAAAGAAACGCAAAUUCAUUACUUCCUCUAAUGACAAGCAACAAUAUUAUUAUAGGACCUCAAGAUACAAUAUUCGUUUCAGAAGAGACACAAACAAAACAAAGCUUAUUUAAUAACUAAUACUUAGAUUCAUUGCUCUUCAAAUACUCCUUGAGAAAAUCCAUAACUGAACCAAACUUUGGUAUAUCGGAUAUCUAAUAUACAAGAUUGAUUGAUUGUAAUUGUUGAGGAUUCUUGGAAUUAGAAUAAUACUUGAAUGGAUAUUUCUGCAACAAGCAAAAUCUUCUCAAGGUAAUAUUCUUUUUGGGAAUAAUAUUUUUAAAAUCACAUUACCAAAUUUUACAUGUUCCAACCUAAAAUUUUCCAAAACUAUUAGGAAGGCUGAAAGUAAAACAAGAUACUCAUGGCUUCCAAAUUGAUAAAAGUGACAUAUGCGAGAUUCACAUGGAAGCUGAAAGAGCACAAGGCAAGGCACAAAGAAAAGAAGAGAGGCCAAACUACUUAACUGCUAAAACUAACAACCAAAUCUCUGCUAACCCGAAAAGGAUUUUAAAAGAAGAUGAGCAAAAGGGUAGUCAAUGAAAAAACUUUGUUUUUUUUUUUGUCGUCUAGAUUUAUUAUUAAUUGCAAAUUAUGAGAACUGUUACAGUUACGAUUUUAUAAUAAUUGUACAUCGCUGGAGAUCUCUUGCACAUUUGCUCCAUUAAUCUGCAAAUUUGUUAAUAAAUCGCAAUAUCUGGGACUCGAACCCCAGACCUCCUCCAUUAAUCUGCAAAUUUGUUAAUAAAUCGCAAUAUCAUGGACUCGAACCUCAGACCUCUUGGUGUAGAAGCAUUAAUCAACCAAUGGGCCAAGGGCUUCUACAUAAAAAAAACUUUGUUAACAAAACCAUUAACAAUAAAAACAAUUAUUUAUUUUUUUCCUUUUUUUUCUCCUAAACAAGUUGCGUUACGAAGACGCCAUCUUUUAUUUAACCUAAUAUAUAUGCUCUUAAACAACAGUCUAGGGUUAUUGUCUCCCGAAAACCUAGAAUCGUUCUUUCUCUUUUCUUGUCAUCUUCUCCAUGGCCGGCUCUAGCAAGAAAUCCGUCACCAAAAGUGAAGCAACUCCUGCUGUUAUUAAGGCCACAAAGUCUUUGAAGAAAGGUAAGAGGGAGCCGAAAGAUGAUUCGGAGACCAAAGUAAAUCUGAAGAAGCCGAAGAAAGACGUGAUUGCUUCUUUCGAGAAGAAGAAAAAAUCUGAGACAAAGGCUAUCAUGAAAGGAAUCGCUGAUAGUCUUCAGCGGCUCGAAGCAAAGGUGGAUUUGUUGGCAACAAAGGCGGAAAUAGAGGCGAUUUUGAUCUCAGCGAAGGGUAAGAAAAUUCCUGCCAUGAAGCCUCCUACUAAGGCUGCUUAUGACAGCGAGGACGAAGAAUAAAUUCUUGCGAGAUGUGCAACAUUAUUUUUGGGAUGAGACAAUCAUGGAGUUUACGUUCAGCCAAUCCUCUUCCUUUUUUCUCAUACAUGGACACAUCUUCGGAGGAUGAAUCAUCUUCUGAUGAGGAACCUGAAAAGAAACCAGCUGCUAAAGGUUCUUCAUCCUCUGUUGGUGGCAAUGUUCAAACGAUCUCUAUUAGGGGAUUUGACUCUUCACUUCCUCUUUAUGAUAUCAAGAGUGCAUUGAGUAAGUAUUUCAGUUCUAUUGGGGAGAUCACACGCGUAUUUGUUCCCCCAAGCCACGGAACCGGUGGUUCCUUAUGAUAUGCUUACAUUGAUCUGAAAGAUGGAGCAGAAAAGGCGUUGGAACUUGGUACACAUGUCGUGGGAGGAUGGAAUCUUGUAGUUGGUAAGGCUGAACCGAUACGCAGUGGAAGUACUUGGCCUUUUCCCGGCCGCUGUGGCAAUCAAGGCCGUUGUAGGUACUGUUGAGGCUUUGAUGGCGCAGAAAGAGACUGCUCGUACCUAAGUUUUACUCCCUCAAGUAAGAAGACUACAUAGAAGAAGAGGAAGCUCUGUGGUUUCUUUCUCGUUAAGUUUACUAGAUGAAUAUCCACGCUACGCGUGGGUUUUUUUUGAAAAUUGUGAAGAAAAAAUUAUUGAUUGUUCUUGCUAAUUUAUGUUUAUUUUUUAUUUGUUAUUAUGUAGGUAAUAAAACUAAAUCUUUCUUAUGUAGUUACAAUUUUUAAGAUAAUAUCUAUUUUUUUACUUGAAAUAUAACCCAGGAAAAAGACUUACUUGUCAGUUGAGACCUCUUGCUUGUUCCCGUAAUAUCCUUCAUCGUCCUGAUGGCUCUGCUAGUUGGUCAGAAGGUACUUUAUCAGCUUUCUUAAUAUCUAUUAUGGGUACAAAGUUUUUUUUAUCAUUUUUGAAUGAGAUUCAUUGAACUCUCUCGUUUAUAUUUUCAGGGAUACAAAAAUUAUAGCUACAGAAUACGGACCUAAAGCAGGAACGAAGAAGAACGAAAAUGCUGAGAAGGCUUGUUUUGAAGUCAUAUGGAAACCUUAGACCGGAUAGAUUGGUAAUCGGAAAUGCGCUUAGUUGUUCAAAAGGAGGCUUGUUUUGUUGCUUGAGUAUGUCGUACAGGUGAUUCUUGGUUUUUAGAUCUGAAUUACUUUUGCUUUGAAUAUUGAUAGGAAAAGAUGAAAAGGAGUAUGAAACGAUACUGAAAAGGACGCUACAGAGUAUUUGUGUUUUGACAGUUGUUUCAAAUACCACCACCUCAGUGAUAAUUCAGGUGAGUAGCUAUUCAAUGUUGUGUAUAUCGAUAUUGUCAACUUGAGUUGUAUCUGAUGUUUUCAUUUUGUAAUUCCCAUAUAGGUUGUACAUGAUGGUGGUUCUGUAUCGUUUUUAUGUUCCUUACACCUUGGUAAACAUUUACUGAUGUUGUCUGAAACACAUAUAAUCUGGUAUAAACAAUGUCUGUUUGAGUAUUUAUAGAGUUUAUAGUAGUGAAAGUUUGUAAUCCCAUAAGCUGAGAGUGUGAAUAUCUUUUUGUGUAACUUCUACCGUGGCCUCCAUUAUGGCAGUUAAAAGGUAGAAAAUGUUUGUUCUAAAGAAAUAUGAUGUACAUAAAGGGAGACUAUGAAGGAUGGAAUUUACGAUGUCGAGAAAUUUGCCUUGAGAUCCUUCUUCUUUCAUAUUGAAUGAUCGAGCAGAGAGUGGGAGAGAAUUAUUUUGUUAAAGUCUUGUGGAGAAUUAGAAUAUUUGUUGGGUUUAGAAGCAUUAAGCCUUUUUUUUUUAAUGGGCUCAACUCAUAAAUAUUACACUCUAAUAGAUUCUAAAACACAUAUGGUCCAUCUCUCAUGGGCUAUUUUGUUUUUCCAUUUGACACUUAUAAUUAGAAGCUGAUGUGUAUUAAUGAAAUGUUUUGAUUGGACGAAUAAAAAACUAAUGUGUCAUCUCCAGAAGAGCCAAAAAUGCUGACGUGGCGGAAGGAUUGAGAGAGAUAGCCUCCUUUCAUAUAUAUGAUUUUCUAGUUAAGUUUUUGAAUGUUAAUGUAAACUCAAUUUUGAGUUCUUUGGGUUUCAAAGAAGAUUAAAUAAAUUCUUCUGUUCUAGUUAAGUUUAUUUUCUAGAUAAGUUUAUGAUUUCUUGAAUGAUCCGAAAAAGACAGGUCGUGAGUACUUUUGUUAGCACAUGUUAAAGUCAGUUUUGUGCUUUUUGAUGUGAAGCAACUAGCAAGCAUCACAGAACCAACCAGUCCUUUAAUUCCACAAGUCCAAAGAAACGCAAUUUUAUUACUUCCUCUAAUAACAAGCCAACAAUAUCAUCAUAGGACCUGAAGAGCUUUAGAAGAAAUAAACAAAACAAAGCUUAUUUAUCAUUGCUCUUCAAAUACUCCUUGAGAACAUCCAUAACUGAACCAAACUUUGCCUUGACCUUCACUGGUGGAUUCGCCAAUCUACAAGCCAUCUCUUUUAUGUUCUUAGAAUGAUAAUCAAUCUUACUCUGUGUAAACUUCAAUCCAUGAGCUGUACUCACCACCACAGUCCGAUCAUUCGCUUCGAUAACUCCAGACUUCCUCAGCUUCAUCAACGCCGUCAAUGCAACACCUGUAUGUGGACAUAUAAACAUACCAGUAGAAUCAGCAAGAGCUGUUGCAUCCAUCAACUCUUCUUCUGUAGCUUCCUCAACAAUUCCAUUAGAUUUCUUCAACGCAUAAACAGCUCUAUCAAUCGAAACAGGGUCGCCGAUCUGAAUCGCAGAAGCAAAUGUAGUGUUUGCUUUCAAUGGAUUGAAGUCUUCUUUAAACCCAGAUUUGUAGUGCAAGUAAAGUGGAUUAGCGUUAGCAGCUUGAGCACACACAAGUCUAGGGAUUCUAUCAACAAGACCUAACUCUUUACACAUAUCAAACCCUUUGUAAAACGCAUAGAUGUUACCAAGAUUGCCUCCAGGAACAAUGACCCAAUCAGGAACUUGCCAAUUAAACUGCUGCAAAAUCUCAAUCGCCGCUGUCUUUUGUCCUUCGAGACGGAGGCUGUUGAGAGAGUUGGCUAAGUAAAUCGGAAGCUCCGCCGUUACUUCUCUGAUCAAAUGCAUACAUCCAUCGAAAUCAGUAUCAAUACUAAGCACAAAAGCCCCAUUAGCAAUCGGCUGAACAAGCUGAGCCAUGGAGAUUUUAUCCGCUGGUAAGAAAACGAUCGACGGGAUUCCAGCGGAAGCACAGUAAGCAGAGAGAGCAGCGGAGGUAUCUCCAGUAGAAGCGCAUCCAACUCCGAUGACUGGUUUGUUCAUUUUCCGGAGACGAUUCACCUGAGAAACAAGAACCAUCAUAUAUAGAGUAAAGUCGUGAACUUUAUCAAAGAUAAUUAUAAAGUUGUAAACUUUAUGAAAGAUGACUAACCUGAGAAACAAGAACAGUCAUGCCCAGAUCUUUAAAGGAACCAGUGUGGGUGAUUCCACAAUGUUUCACCCAAAGAUCGUUCAUUUGCAGAUACUGUUUACCAAAUCUCUCAGCCCAGAAGAGAUUUGAGUUUCCUUCGAAAGCAGAAACGAUGUCGUCAUCGUCAAUCUCAGGAAGAACCCACUCUUUCUUCGACCAAACGCCUGAUCCGUACGGCCAAUUGGUUUUACCGACGCGAGAAUCGAAGAGGUUACGCCAGAAUUCUCCGUCGUAGCGUUUCAAGGCGGCGAAAUCGUGUUGGACGUCGAGGAGACCACCGGAUUGUGAACGGUAGACGAUCUCGUCGAGGGAGUAGGAUUCGGUUGAAGAAGGUGGAGCGUUGAAAGGGACGUAGCGUGCGGAGAGGUUUUGGAGUUGAUGAGGACGGCGACGAGCUUCGUCUCGAAUGUUCUCAUCAGGGGAACGGCGGUGUUUCUCCGGAGUUUGUGGAGGAACGGCGGGAGAGGCGGAGGCGGAGGAGGUGCAGCGGACGGUGAAGGAAGCGGCGGAGUAAGGUUUAAGUGAGGUUUCAGAGUGGGAAGGAAAGUAGGUGGCGGAGUGGAGAAGAGAGAAUGAGGCCAUUAUGAGAGAGAGAGAGAGAGAGAGAGAGAGAGAGAGAGAAGAGUUUGGCGAUAUUGAUUGGAGAGAAGAAUGUUGACACCUUUAGAGCAAGAUUAUUGGUGGGACUGGUCCAAACCAUAUUUAUAAUUGUAAAAAAAUGUAAAAUUUGAAAUUUACACUUAUUUGGUUCUCCCUAAUAACUUUCCACCAAUAAAAUUUACCUAUGCGAGUCCAAAACAUUACAAAAAAUUCAUUGUUGGAUACGAGUCUAUUGUUUUUUGGUAUUUGUGAUUAAAUUUUUGAAUUUUUUGGCUUUGGAUAUACACUUGGAUAUGCCGUUAAGGAUGGUCUUAGUCACAAGUAGACAUGUCAAUUAGGGCCAAAGCUCGUAUGCUGGCUCGGUCCAGCCCUGAAAAACAGCGGGCUCGGACUUAAAAAUAUACGUCCAGAAAAAAAUCGGGCCUUUCGGACUAAGCCCGUUGGGCUAAAGGGUUUUUAGGGCUUAGCCCGGCCGGGUUCGGGCCGGCCCGAAAAGCCCUUAAAAAGAGAUUUUAACUUCCUUUUUUAUAAAUAUUAUUGUUUAAUUAAGAGAUUUGUUUAAAGAUUUUUUUAAUAGAGUUAAAAACUCUAAACCUAAUUUUCUAAUUGUGUCUUACUAUAAGUGUUAUGAUUUUAUAUUUUAUUUAAUGUGGGUUUAAACAAUUUAUUUGGAUUAUUUAUUUGAUUUUAAACUUUUUUUAAAACUAGAUUGAUUUUAGUGGGUUAUUUAAGUUUCGUUUGAUUCAUUUUAUACAUAGAUUUUUUUUUUCAAGAGGUAUUAUAUAUUAGAAGAGUUUAUUUUUCUCGAAAGAAAAGCCCUAAAAAGCCCGUAAAAGCCCUGUAGCCCUGUUAGGGCCGGGCCGGGCUUCAAAAUCUAGGCUCGGAAUUUUUACGGGCCGGGAUCAAACAUAUGCGGGUUUUGCGGGCUUCGGGCCGGACCGGGUCGGGCUAGCCCGAUUGACAUGUCUAGUCACAAGUCACAACAAAUUUAUUUUUAUAACCUAAAAAAUAUUGGGACGAAAGUAUUCAUUUAUUGUUUUUCAUUGUCAUUCCAAAUUCCCAAUAAAUAACGUGUGUAUGUGUGAAUGUAAGUCACAAGUCAUGAUAAAUAAUGGGAGAAUAACUAGACAAUAAAUAAAUAGUAAGUCACAAGUCAUGAUUUUUCUUUUGGUGGUAGAGAAUGCACUAUGGAGAAAUGAAUCUUUGACAUUCAUAAAUCAUGUGUGAAUACUUAUAUCUUAGACAAUGUGUUUAGAUAUCAAAUUAUGCAAAAAUAAAAAAGAAUGUAUGGAUUCAGCCAUCAUCAUUCUAUUGACUAAAGUAGUGUUUUUCUUACGAGAUGCACAAGGGUUAAGCAUGUGUGAUGUCUCUCACAUGAAGUAUAUAUAUUCUUAUGAGUGAAAUGUUAUUAUUUGAAAUUAAUAAAAAAAGAAAAGAAAUGUUAUUAUUUGUAUGGAUUGUUCUUCUAAUAAUCUGUGAUUUCGUCUCAUUUUUAUUAAUCAAAUAAUCAUAUUACAAGCCGCCAAAACAAAAUCUAAUUAAGUGUUAAAUUUUGUCCUUUUAACAUAAGUGUGUUACAAACAUGGUCUAAGAAUUUUAAUGAUAAAACUAAAUAAUGAGAGACCUUCAUAAAGUAGAGGACACUUCAUAAUGUAUGUAUGGAGUUAUGAUCUUUUUUUGAGUUGGAAAAAAAGAAAGAAGGUAAAGGACACCACUUUAUGGACCCUCUUUUUUCUUCACAGAAUCUUUAAUACGGAUUGGGUCAAGAAAUACAGUAAAUGGAUGAGCAAUGUGAAAAACCAGCCCAAUAAGCUUACUUAAAGACUUCAAUUAGCCUUGAAUCAAGAUGAAUACAUCAACAAUUAACCGCUAUGUCUUCCUCUAAAUUUUGGGAAUAGUGUUUUUGGCUUUUGGGAGAAAACGACACAAGAAACAAAUAAAUGAGAAGGGGUCCAUUUUCAGUGAUUUUAAGCUUUUUUUUAUAGGGAUAACUUGAGAAACUCGAUUUCAUGAGGGUCCUUUUCGAGUACUUUUUUGUUAUGUGACUCGUGAUCUUUUGCUCGAUAAAACGCUUUCCAUAGGUCUUGUUGGUUUUUAGUCUGCGGAAACUGCUAAUUUGGCUCUUUAUCUACAAGUUGUGUAUCUUGUUUGCUCGUAAACAUAAAUGCAAUCCACUGCCAUUCUCUUAGUUAUUGCAUCUCUAAUGACUAAGGUACGUUUUUCAAUUACAGCCACAAAUUCACUUCUCUGUUACAUGUCUAAAAUGUUCGGACGGGUAUACAUUCUUGAAUCUUGAUUUUUGAUGCUUAUUUCUCUGUUCUCAUGCUGUUAUGUACCUAGAGAAAAUAUUCAUUACACCAUCUCUUUUUUAUGCCUGGAUACUUCUAUCUUAGCAAUGUACGUUAAUACUAUCAUCAAGUAGUUCACCAAAUAUUACAUCAUUGUUUAAUUUGUUGAAACCUAACAUGAAAUGUGAUACAAAUGAGAUCAAGCAUGUAUGCAGGUUAUGAUGACAAUUUGAGAAUUCAAACAUUACACACAAGGAUAUCAAUUCAUCAACAUUGGCCUUAAAUAAGCAUUAAUUGUUCUAUUGAAAGCUAAAAAACAAACUUGUCAUUAUUAAUGUUCUUUGUGAAGUUAAGAUUAUUAGAUUGGUGCGUAUUUCCCACUUCUAAUCACUUUUUUUUUUUUUUUUUUGAUCCAAUUUUUCUUUGAAAAACGGCUUCUUGGCGACUAAACAUGGAGACUAUUCUGAACCAACCAAAGUGGACCUAUAAAUAGACAAAUUGUGGUGGGCUGAAAUAAUGGUCAUUAUCAGUUCAUACAAAACCAACAUUGUUGUUGGUCACUCAAGCCCAUCACAGUUAUAAUGUUCUUUUUGGAAUCAAAUCACAUGGAUGGAUUCAGUCUAAGCUUGUCUACUCACUUUAACAUCUAAUCUGUUGAAGAUAAGGAUUAACGAUGUAACUAAACGUGCACCGAAAAACAAAUGUAUAUAUGUGUUGGGUAGUGGGCGUUUCCAAAUACUAUAGUAUUUGAUUUGAUACUAAAAAAAUAUGUGAAACUCCCAAAGCUAAUCAACAUUUUUUAUUCAAGUUAUGUCAGUAAAUGAUACAACGACAGAAAAUUGAUUUCUGUUGGUGUUUGGUAUCAUCUUGUCCAAGGACCACCACUGUUCCUAGAAAUUUAGCAUCUCUAGGAACUCUGAUAACUUGUACUAUAAAUUUAUAAAAAGAAAACCUCAAGCCGAUAGUGGAAGUGGAACUGUAAAAAGAAUCGGAUGUCACGUGACAGAUCACGUGCCUCUCACACUGAUUUCUGCUCUCUUCUUCUCUGCCCAACGGCCCAAGGAUAUGGACGCCACGUCAUCUUAUCCAAAUCACAAAAGCGGAUCCAUUUUCUCUCUCCUUUGUUGGGUCUGAUCCGAGAACAAGAUCUCAGCCGCUACUUUUUAACUUUUUCCUAUCUCUGCCGUCGAUUUCUUCUUCUAAGAGUGCUACCAUUUUGUCGUUUUCUUUUAUCCUUAGUCAUGAUUGACACGUGUCACCUGCCAGCAUCUGAUUUUACCAGAUCUUCCUUAUUUCCUUAAUAAAUCCUUUAAUAUUCGAUCAAAAUCUGUAAUUCAAUCUUAAAUAUAAGCAAACAAAUUUGUACAUCGUGAUCAAUUUCUGAUUACAUUUUGCACAAUAUGAAAACAAUAUCCCAUUGAUUAUACAUCGUUGAAUCAAAAACUAAACAAUUUCCACUUUAUUUGUUUUCGGUUAGGUCAAUUAACCGGUAAAUUUGGGUGAAAACUGUAAAUGGCAUUGAGUUACAUAGAGAAAUUAGCUAAUCGAAUCGGAAAAUACAAGCCGGUUUAUAAUCUAUACCGGUAUCUCAAUUUGGUUUAUUUACAGGAAUAAAAAACCGGAACCCUAGACUCGCUCGUAACAGUAUAACUGUAUAAGGUCUCAUUUGCGUGUGCUCUCGUCGCGAUUACUCUCUCCAGCUCUCUCCUUUUUUUCACAUCGAUCUCGUAUUGGUGCUUAUUGGAUAUCUCCGGCGAAGGAAACGGGUUUCGCGGUUAGAGUUUCUUUAUCGCUUACCGGCGACGAUGAUCGUAUCUUCGGUAAGGUCGAUUAAUCGGUUCUGUUUUCGAAGAUGUUGUUGUUAGAGUUAGAUCCGCAUGGUUUUGGUGAUCGUUUUGGAUCGAAGACGUGGUUCCACAGACGCAAAAAAUGCCGUCGUCUCUUGGUUUGAGAUUUGUCUUCUGAAAUCUUUCCUCUUUUGUGCUCGUUGAAUCCUUUUUUUAGAAAUUUUUGGUCUUCGAAUCCUGGGGAUAGGUUACAGUCUCCGAUUGUAAAUAGAAAUUUGCGGCGUCGUGACUUUUAGGUUAGGAAAAGUUGUACAGAUAGAGAUUGAGCUCUGAAACACAUCUCAGGAACAUUUUUUGUUUCUUGUAUAAAAAAGGGUUUUUUUUUUUUUUUUUUUUUUUUUGUUUUGUUUCUCUGUGUUGGUUAGAAAGUGGCGAAGAUGAAUCUGGGUGCGGCCGAGGAAGAAUCGGCUCAGGAGAUUCAUUUACCAGCUGAUAUCAAUUGGGAGAUGCUUGAUAAAUCCAAGUUUUUCGUUUUAGGCGCUGCUUUGUUUUCAGGGGUAUCUGGAGCUCUGUAUCCUGCGGUUUUGAUGAAAACUCGGCAACAAGUUUGUCAUUCGCAAGGUUCUUGUAUCAGAACUGCGUUUACCCUUGUAAGACAUGAAGGAUUAAGGGGAUUGUACAGAGGAUUUGGUACUUCUUUGAUGGGAACUAUCCCUGCUCGUGCUUUGUACAUGACUGCCUUGGAGGUUACUAAGAGUAACGUUGGCUCUGCUGCUGUCAGCUUGGGGUUGACAGAGGCUAAAGCUGCUGCAGUUGCUAAUGCGGUUGGAGGUUUGAGUGCUGCCAUGGCUGCACAGCUUGUUUGGACUCCUGUUGAUGUGGUUAGCCAAAGGCUUAUGGUUCAAGGAAGUGCUGGUCUUGUCAAUGCAUCAAGGUGUAAUUAUGUUAACGGGUUUGAUGCAUUUAGAAAGAUUGUUCGCGCUGAUGGACCAAAGGGAUUAUACAGAGGGUUUGGGAUAUCGAUUCUGACUUAUGCACCGUCUAAUGCGGUUUGGUGGGCUUCUUACUCUGUUGCACAACGAAUGGUUUGGGGUGGAAUUGGGUGUUAUGUCUGUAAGAAAGACGAAGAAAGUGGGAACAAUAGUACCACGAUGAAACCAGACUCUAAAACGAUAAUGGCUGUUCAAGGAGUUAGUGCUGCCAUUGCUGGAAGUGUUUCUGCUUUGAUUACAAUGCCACUCGACACAAUCAAGACGAGAUUGCAGGUUCUUGAUGGGGAAGAUAGUAGUAACAACGGGAAGCGUGGACCGAGUAUUGGACAGACUGUAAGAAACUUGGUUAGAGAAGGUGGAUGGACAGCUUGUUAUAGAGGAUUGGGACCAAGAUGUGCGUCAAUGUCAAUGUCUGCAACAACUAUGAUCACUACCUACGAGUUCUUGAAACGGCUUUCUGCUAAGAACCAUGACGGGUUUUAUUCUAAAUCAUAGUGAUAACAACUGAGAAUCCACAUAGAAGAAUCUUUUAUGGAAAUGUCUCUAGUUUUCUUACUUAUCUUGUUCUCUGUCUAGCUGUUCUGCUAUUUCAUUUGUUUCCAGUCAUAUGUAAGGAAUGUGUUAAAUUCAGUUGUUUCUGAAUAAAUAAAUGUUAUUUCCUCAUUCGCUUGGAUUCGGUUUCCUGGUUUGGAUUGGUUCACCAUAACCGCGCUACUAAACCGACAUGGUAUUUGCGAUGUUAAAAGAUGACUUGUAACUUUGUAAGACUGCAAUCUUACAUCAAUAAGCACACACGACAAGAUUUGAUUUGGCAACAUGUUAUAUUUAGUAAUUCAUGAAUCACUUAGAAAGUGAUUUACAGGAUUGUGACUUUAUAUAUUUCACAAUGCUGUCUUUUUCUUUACAGAAGUUAAAUUAUGAUCAUUUGUUAGUAUCUCAGGAACACAAGUGUGUGUAUCUGUCACAUAAGUCAACGUUUCUUGGAGCAGAAAUUUACGUUUCUUCUUACCUUAUCAAAAUAAAUUAUGAUUUCUUAAAUAGGAUAUAAUGCAUAGAGACGGCCUUGAUAUUUUGACAAAAAUAUUCAUGAACGUGUGGAAGAAAUGGUAGUAUUUUCAAGUAUCUUAAAGUGUAUGACAUCUUCUCAGACAGAUAAAUGAGACUCAAAGUAGAAUCUUUCAACCUCUUUUCUUAAUUAUUAGAAGUGUAUCAAGAAUAAGACAUAAUCUAAUAUAUACUGGAUUCUUCAUUAAAUAUUUCUCAAUCAUUGUCAACGAAAUUGUAAAAUACUACAAGAAUCCGAAUGUGUCUCUUCACAUAGAUCAAUGGAGUGGAAGCAGAAUCUGUAUUUUUCUUCAUCUUUUCAAACAGAAUAAGGAGACUUCUUCAUUGCCGACACGACACAAAUGAAGCAAAAACAAACAUAUAUAAAUCAUGAAAAAAGAAAGAGGAAUUGAAAGUUUAUUAAAGCAAUCAUAUUACUAGUUUACACAAGAGAUACAUGGUCACAGAAGAUAAAAAUGCGAUAGAGUGUUCGAAAUGAAGAUCUUGGUCGUUCUUGUGAUGUCUAACACAGACAUAAUGUGGAAUAAAAACACUAAGUUACAACAAUCGAAAGAACUAGUAGUAGCCAAGGAUGACUUCCCCUUUUGGUGGGAACAUGAACACAGCACCAAGAUACAAUGUCUCAGAUAUGGACAGAGAAAUGGUGCAUGUCUCCACCUCCAUGCAUGUCAUUAGACUGACCAUGAACAAGCAUGGCUCGGUUUGUCUGAGUUGAGAAACCUGAAAACUGGAAUUCAGUGUGUCCAAAGAGAUCUGCACCGUCGGAAAUAGAGGUGAUGUCAGAGCCAGAAGUGGUUGAACCAAGGUCUUUGCUGUGCAGCAUAUGAGCUUCGAAUCUAGACAUGUUUGUCUUUCUGUUUUCCUGUUGGUCCGACUUGUCAUUUUCUUGUUCUCUAGCAGCUUGUUCGGCUUCUUGAAGAAGUUUUUUGGUGUUUAGGAAUCUUCCACCGGAUCCUCUUGGCCUUUUAAGAGCAUGAACAUGUCGAGAUUCAUGAAGAUACGGCUGUUGCAAUAAGGAAAACAGAUAUGAGCAAAGCAAUUUUAAAUGAGAUGUUUUUGUUUCUGUUGCCUCAAAAGGUAAAGAGAUACAUACUUUACGGGCUCUGAUUAGUUUGUUUUGAGCCUCGAGCUUAGCACGUUGCUGUCUCCUCCUCAUAAUUGCGUGGUAUUGCUUUGCAUUGACAAAGACUGGCUCAGUUUCAGUGAGCUCCGCUGGUAAAGGAACACGACCAGGAAUCAUACUCACCAUUUGAGGAUUGCAUGUCUGCAAAAGAGAAUAAGAGAAUUGAGAUCUGAUGGACAGAUAAAACUGAAAGAUAAUGACCCACUUGGGAUUUGCAUUUCUAUGCAAGGGAACUGUUUAUAUCUGAAACGAAGGGUGUACUUACCGGUGCCUGUGGUAGGUAAGUAGCAGCUAAUAAACCACCAUAAUGUGGAUCAGCAUAGUGAAAUGAGAAAUUAGCCUGCACCAUGUAUAAACAUAAGAAUAUCAGUCCCCCAUCAGAAGUUUUGCUAUGAUUACUGACUCAUAGUCAUAGAUUAACAAAAAUACCUGUGCAGGAGCAAAGUGAAUAUUCGGAAAUCCUGUCAUCAAGCCUGGUUUAGGAUUACUUGCAAACCCCUUCCGUUGAGUUGCUUCAGAUCCUAGACAAACAACUGACAAAGUAAGAGAGAGUAUAACAUCUUUUAUGGCAAAAGGACGAGUCUUUUGUCAAUGACACAAGAAGUAAAACAUAUAUACCAACAAUCUAACCUGAUUUAGCAGAAAACGAGAUUUGCCUGGAAGGAUUAUCAUCUUCACUAGUAGCAACUUCAGUAUAAGAUUGGCCAGUGGACUGCGUUGAAGAUGAAUCCUGGUCCUGAAAACUGAUUUGCUUAGUGGUUUGUAAAAGUUCAGGCCUUGCAUCCAUCUUCAAGCUUAGUGAUGAUUCAGUAGUAGUAACGCGACGAUUAACAAUGGAAUCAGUUGGAACCACUCCCCAUGAGAUGCUAGUAUUAAGGUAUGGCAAAGUGGAAUGAGUAGCUGAAUCUUUCUUAUUCAUCAUUUGAUGCAUCAGAACCUCUUCCUUAACAAGCUAAUUCUCACAAUCAGCAACCUAAAUAACAAGCAGAGAUGACUCAAAGAUUAGAUUUUUAAAGCUAAUAAUCCAAGUGGGUGAAAAAACCCAGAAUAGAAAUAAAAGAGAAGUUGGAAGUUUCUAAAACUGUGUAAAAUUUUUAAUCAUCUAAACGAUUUCUGAUUCGAUCGUACUAUCUUGGGUAACCAAAUCAAUUGCAGAGAUCGCUACGAUUGGCUAAAAUUAGUAAUUUUCCGACCAAGAAAAAAUUUAUGUUCCCGUCAUCACUUUUGGGCAAAAAGUCGUUGACUUGAAGAUGAAUUUUUUAGCAAGAAUUUUCCAAAAUCAGUAAUCGCACGCCACAAGACAGAUACACCAAAAAUCGAACAAAGAAAAAAGGGGAAAAUUAAACAUCUUUCGAACAAAGAGUCUACAGAUGCAACAAGGAAAGAGAUAAGAGAUAGAGAAAGAAACCUUUGAGUAAUCGAUGAAGCAACGAAGAAGAAGAAGAACUAGGGACAGAGAUUUAUUUUUGCAUGUCUCCUUGUCCGAAACAGAACCAAAGUAAACCCGAUUGUUUCUCUCACAGUGAAUCACAGAGUGGUCUUCGUAUGUAAGAUCUUCUUUCUUUUGGUUCGUCUCCGUCUCUUUUACCUGUCCUGGGAAAUCAACAUCGCCAUGAGAACCACCACCACACCAGCUUCUCCUUCUGGGUUAAUUAUUGUCUUAAGUGCCCUUAAUUAUUCAUUUAAUGUCUUAAUUUAUUGGUUUCACCUUUACCCAAAACACAGAAUAAGGCUCUCUGGCUAUCCCACCUCACCUUAUAGCAUCAAUUACCCCCAAAUAAAAAUUAGAGAAGACUCUUUUGUUAAAAAUUCUUCUUUAUUAUAUAAAAUCGUCUAUUAUUAGAUUCCUAAAUUCCCUAACACAGUUUUUAAAUUUUUAAUUUGGGGAAAAAACCAAAAUGAUUAACAAUUAAAAGCCAAAAAUAUAAUGUAAUUAUGGAAAGGUAAACGUACAAUUCAAGAUUUUUUUUUCUCUCUAAAUUAAUGAUUCCUAUCUCUACAAAUCCGUUAAGCACUUUACUUUUUUUGUUUGUUUUAUCACAUUUAGGUAUUAUACUAUAAGGUUUGUUUUAUAUUAACUUUUCCCCCAUAUUUUGUUUCGAAUAUAACUAAGGUUGUUUUGGCUGUAUGAUUUCUUAAUUUCCAUUAUCUCUAAUAAUGAUUCCAAAAAGUAUUAGCUAUCUUGGCCACGUUAGCUUUUGUUUAAUUAAAAAUAUUGUGUGAAGCUUUUAAAAUGUUACUUAGCUUUUUGUCCAAAGUGUGUUGUCGUUUCCAGACUAAAAUAUUUCUGAACUCUGAACCGUCCUUAAUUUCCCCUUAUGUCUUUACUCGUUAGUCUUUAGCCGCCCCCUCCCCAUAUUAAUGUCUCAGACGCUCUCCUAAUCUCGUGAUUCACACGCUCUUUCGAAUAAACUUACAAUUUUCUUAUGGGAAUAACAUUUAACAAUUUUAAUCUACAAGUUAUAGACUGGCAACCAUUUUCCUUGGGUAUAGUAGUUUAAGGAAAGUGUAAGCAUGUAAAAUGAGAUGGGAAUACAAGGAUUGUAUAAUACUAAAACUUAGGUUGGGUUCUUAAUCAAGUACCUAACCUUUUUUGCAAUCAAAUAAAGCUUUAGUGCAAGUCAAGCAUAGUCAUCCAUCCUCCUUUAUCCUUGGAAGUAACAACCAAAACAUAAUAAUUGCUACUUGAUGUUUUCUUAAUUCGUUUUUAACAUUCUUUUAUUCCCUAUGUUUAUGGGCUUUUUAAGCCCUUGAUUGAUCCAUGAGAAUUAGGACACGUAGGUACUGGGUACUCAAUACUCAUCAUCCCCUAUGGACCAAAAUCAAAAGUUAUUCACCUUUCUUUUGGGUUUGUCCAAAAUUUUCCUGUCUCCAUCUAUAGCCUAAACUAAUGAGGCGCACGUUUCAUGGAAACGCCAUACACAAACAGAAGCACAAUCUGGUAAACUUUUGUUUAGUAAAAGCAGAGCACAGAGUAUAAUAAGCCGAGGAUUUUCUGGUAAUUCUUUGAAAAACAAGUGAUCUGAUGUUACUCUUUGGACGAUGAAUGAAAUCUGGGUUCAGGUUUUAAUAAUUGAAGAUGACAAUUGACAAGAAUUGCAGAUGCAAGUCGCAAGUAAAUAUGAAAAAUCUAGCAAUUUUUGUUGCAGACCAAAAUAUAUGAGAUCAGCCGGUUGUUUGAGAAUUUCCUCGCAGCUGGUUUAUUUUGGUUAUAAUUCGUACACCAAAUUAAACCGGAAUUCAAUACUAAACCGGGCCGAAGUUAUCUUCAGUAUGAUUUGGGUUAAUGAGUUGACUCGGGAAUAAAAAACUCUCCAUCAGGAGACGGCUGCAGGCAAAUCUAGAGAAGAAGUCGAAUUUAGAGGCGGCAGAUUACUGGGAACUUGGGAAGAACCUCGGUGGCUUGAUCGUUUGAUGUGGAAAGCAAAGCGCGUCGUGAUGAAACCCUACAAGAAUUUUGGUGGUCUCAUGGCAUAGAGGGAUCAAGGAAAGCGAAACUUUUUUACCCACCGUUAUUCAGCAUCAAACGAAAGCAGUGGUCAACUUCUAAAGCAUGAAAUGAAGAACCGGAAAAAGUUUCCAGCUUCGGUAACCCAUUUUUGCGGUAGGCUGAUCCUCGUACAUGUCUCUGGGACUUCAUCAUCAAUAUGGCUGCGCAUUCCAGUUUCCGGUAAGCAAACACAUCUCCGUGAAUCCUACGAAAAGGGGAAUAAUAUAUUCAUAAUGUCCAAAAUAUAACCAGACUGAUUGGAAGAAAAAACAGGUCGAUGGUAGUAAGCUUACCUCUUGACUAUGUCCGUCAUAUAAAAACAGAUCCAUUAGAUGCUUGUGUUCUUCUUGGUUCAGGCGGGGGCAAUGGCCAAGAUCGAAGUGUUUGAUUGAAUGAUUUGGGGAAAGGGAAACAGUCUCCAGGGAAUCGCAGCCAUGUGCAUAGAGAUGCUUGAGGCUCAGUGGAAGCUCUUCCACUGAUAUGAGUCUCUUGCAAUUAUUGAGGCAGAGAGUUUCCAAGGAUAAAAGCUCUCUGAUGCUUGAAGGCACUGUCAUAAUAUCAUGGCUGCUGAGGUUUAAAUAUGUUAAAUUGGUGAAUAAAUCCGAAAUAAUAUAACUCAAAGUACACAUCCUUGCAGUUAUCAAGCCAAAGCUCAAGCAAGCAGUAUGUGUCCAGUUCGUCCAGCAACCAUGAGAGGUUCACACUGUCAGAAAGUAUGAGCGUCUCCACCUGAGUAAGUUGUGGCAGUUCCCUAAGUUGGCGACAGUUUCGAAGGCUGAGAUACUUCAACUUGGGCAGUUGUCCCAAGGUUUGUGGUAGAUACUUGACAUCAUUUCCUUCGAGGUCAAGUGUCUCUAAGAAUUGCAAGUGGCUUAUGUCUUUCGAGAUGUAGUGGAUGUUUAAGUUUAUCAGCUUUAGCUCUGUCAAACAGGGAACAUUUUGAAAGUUGGAACAACGGAAAGGAGCACGAUUCUCAUUGUAACUAAACUGCUUGAUCUCAAGCGAUUUUGAACUGUUAGAAUCUGACAUGAGCUGAGGCAUUCCUGGUUCCUCUUCUAUCGUCAUAGACUGAUCAGGGAUCUGUUGCUUGGAACCAAAAGAGAGGUGCUCUGUUUUUCCGUUAAGGCCCAACAACUCUAUAUAUAGUUUGCCUUCGAUUGAUAGAUUUUUAAGAAACGGGAACAUCAUUGCGUUUUUCGGAAACGACAAGGAAGUUCCGGAGCUGCCUCCACAUAUGUAGUUGUUACUUAACUCAACACUGAACUCGACACCCCUAAGGAAGCAGUCGAUUGCAUUGAGUUUUUUGAGAGUAUGUAAUCUUCUUAUGGACUCUGGGAUAUUCCGUAGCCUCUUGCAGCCUUGUAUUAUCAACUCCUCAAAGUUCACGGCUGUUGAAAGAUCUGGAAGCUCUCUCAGAUUCUUCGAGCCUGUCAAAUCCAGUCUUCGUAAUUUCCUAAGGUUCUGAACCAGUACCGCCAAAGCGGAAGACAUUAUUAUUCAUUUGUAUAUAAAGAGUGAUCAAAUAUAUGAUUUAUAAAAUUAGCUUACCACCGUGCUAUCCCAGAGGCUCUCGAGGUUGCUCCGUUGGAGAUUGAGUUCGACAAGGUGGUGGUGUCGGAACGUGUGGAUGGCAAGGUUUUCAUUGGAUAGUCAUCCCAAUGUAGUAGCCUAAUAUUACGGGGAAAAUAGAAACCAUCUUCGCUGAGCUGCACGUUGGACUCUGCAUCACCCAAGUGCUUGAAGAACUUGAGAAAUUUGAUGCUAUGCAUAAUGUUGAAUACUGUAAUACUCAUAGGUAACUUAUCAGGCAUCUCACACAUGUGCAGUGUCACACCUUCAAUUUCGUCUGUACCCUGUUGAUAGAAACGUCAAAGUCACUGUCAUAAAGGUUAGAGAAAUACAUAUCCAGAUCAGCGAAAGGAUCGGAAACAAACUUACUAUGUUGUUAUCUAGGACAUCAUAGAUCUCUUUAUGAUCCCAUAGAAACCUUUGCCUGGAAGGCCUAUUCCUGGAUUCUUGGCGCACAAUUGCCUUUCCUGUUUGUACGACCAAGAAAUGCAUGUUUAUACAUCCAUCCAUCGAUAUGCUGAUAAGAGCCUUUGCAGUUAAAUGAUUCAUCCUAGGACGGCCGUCAUCAAGAAGGGAAGUGACAUGGUUGAAAGGGUAGCCGUUAAGGAGACAUGCAACAUAAAGGAAAGCUGUCUUGUCUUGCUCAUCUAAGUCGUCGUAGCUAUUUCUCAGAAUCUCCUUGACAUUCUUGUGAGGACUUGUUUCAAGUAAACCUAAUUCCUCUUCCCACUUCUUUAUGGUUGUGUUUUGUCUGAGAUAUGUGGCAUAAGUCACAAGGGCAGAGGGAAGACCGUGUGCCAGCCGAGAAGCUCUGAUGAAGAGUUGCUCAAAUCCAUCUGAAGGUGGCGGGCUUCCUCUCAAAGCUGAAAUUUUAAAUACCUGGAGGGCAUCCUUAUCAUCCAAGCACUUAACCUCAUAUACAUUGUUUACUCCACAGGAAUUGAGCAGGCCCCUGUCUCGUGUGGUUAUGAUGAUUCGGCUCCCUGGACCAAACCAGCUCGUGUCUUUUGCCAGUGCAUCUACCUGCUCUGCUUUAUCCACACCAUCAAGCACAAUAAGUAUUUUUUGGUGCCCGAGUCUUGCGAUUAUCUCCUGCGAUCUUGCUUCAUGGCUUCGAAAACCAAUAUCUAAACCACCACAAAUUCUGGAGAGGAAUCUUUCCUGUAAGUACGCAGGACUCUUGUCCUUACAAAUAUUCUUAAUGUCUUCAAUGAAAUAACGAGCUGAGAAUUGACUUGAAAAUCGGUCAUAUAGACAAUUGGCAAUGGUGGUUUUGCCUAUGCCUCCCAUACCCCAUAUUCCUAUAAAGAGAACCUGGUUUUCAGAUCCCAUAUUGAAAAUGAGAUUCAUUUUAACCAUGUGUGCUUCCAUCCCAACUAAACUGUUCAAAACAGUUGACUCCAUCCUUAGCAGCAGGUGCCUUGAGAUGCUUACAACUACUUCGUCUAUCAUCGCUGAGUCAUCAUCCCUAAUAUGGAAAACAAGUAAGUUAAUCCUCUCCAAAACAAGAAAAGGUAUACAUCAAGCAUGUAUUUCUUGCAGCAUCGCUUUUUUUUUUUCAUUCAUUGGAGUUUUUGUUGUGGAGAAAAAAUUCACAUCACAACUUACAAUAGUAUAUGUGCGAGUAAACCAACUUACAAUAGUAUAAGUGUGAGUAGAACAACCCACACAAGUACACCGGAAAGUGGAAGUCAAUAGAGGUUCAAAAAAGUCGAUUUCUUUUAUUAAUGUCAAGACUGAACUCAAAUAUAUUACAAGAGAUUUCUAACAAGCUUGAGGAACAAGUUAGGGGUUUCUUUGCAAGUAACAAAUGUAGGGUUCUUGAGGUGUCAAUUUGCGAUCCUUUGUUCGAUGGCCGAACUCCCUAUUUAUACCGAGGGUAUCCUAGUUUUCGGAUAUGUUUUUUUCCUUAUUCUUUGGGAGAGAAUCUUUCCUUUCUCCGAUUAUUUCAUUAUUCAAGUAGAUCUUUGAGUUAAUCCUUCCAUUUUUGUUUAGGUCGGUUGGAGUUAGUUAUUGCCGAGUUAAUCGUGCUUUUGACGUAAAGCCGAUCCAACCACUGGACCAAAUCGGUGGGAUACUUGGUUUAUUUUUGGUUUAAAUCGGGUUAAUCGGAUGGUGCUAAACUACAAUAUCCUACAAUAUAUAAGGGAUAUGAGCCAGUAUACUAUUGUCAACUGGUUUUGAGUUGGAAAUGUAAGAAACUUAACAGCUUCAACCGGUAACCAUUAAAAGAACAAAUAGAAAAUGAAUAAAAAAAACAAUACAAAUAGAGAAGCACGGACUCGCACUCGGGCACAGAGAUCACAAUGGAAUCGACCAAGCAGGAAUUUUCUCAAGUGUAAUUAUGAUUGCAAAUAUGCUCAGGGAGGGAACGCUAUUCAAGCAGGCUGGAUAUUCCGUGAUUCCGAUGGUUUUUUUGUGAGAGCAGAGAUAAGUAAGGGUGAUCAUUGUUCCUUGGUAGUAGAAGCAGAACUCCAAAGUUUACUCAUGGCGAUGCAACACGCGUAGAUACAAGGUUAUAGGAGAGUCAUCUUCGAAGGGGAUAAUAUUACUGUCUUUAGACUAAUCACAGGAGAAACAAGAAACUUUCGAUUACAUAAUUGGAUUAGAGAGAUUAUUUCAUGGAAAUCAAGGUUUGUCACUGCAGAUUUCCAGUGGACAAGAAGACACAACAAUCAAGCUACAGAUAGAUUGGCAAAAGAAACUUUAAGAGAUACUUCAAGCUUUAUAUCCUAUUUCUAUGUUCCAAGCUUUAUUGUAAACAUCCUCCAUGAGGAUCACAUUUCGAGUUAAUGAAAAGCAGAUGUUAAAAAAAAAAAAAAAAAAAAAAAAAAAAAAACAAAACAAUACGUAAUGGAACAAACAAUUUUUGAGGAACGAAAAGAAAAAUAUGCAGAAAAGGAAUAAAAAGUACCAUUAUGAUGAAUGAUAACUAAACAAUAAAAAUAUUUUUAAAAAUACUGGGAGACUCACAAAAAUGUCUCUUUUUCAAUACCCCUUUUCAAAAAUGCCCCAUUUGGCUGUCCAUUUUUAAAAAUACCCUUUUUUAUGUACAAAAUGACUAAAUUACCCUUCUUUUAAUAAAAGAUAUCACAAAUAUAUAAGAAAAACAUGAGAAUGUGCACACAUCAAAAUUACAAAUUUGAAUUUGUAAAAACUUGUAAAAUUUUCCCGUAAAAAUUUUUUCCACCAAAAAAUUUUCUCGCCAAAAAACUUUUUUUUGCGGGAAAAGUGAUUCCGCAAUUUUUUUGGCGGGAAAAAUUUACAAGGUAUUUAAAGGUUUUUUACAGGGUAUUUAUAAGGUUUUACAAUGUAUUUUAAAAGGUUUUACAACGUAUUUAUAAGAUAUUAUAAGAUUUUACAAGCUAUUUUAUAAGGUUUUACAAGUUAUAAGGUUUUACAAGUUUUUUAGAAGGUUUUACAAGUUAUAAAUACUUUAUAAAACCUUAUAAGUACCUUGUAAAACCUUUUAAAAUAUAUUGUAAAACCUUACAAAACAGUUGUAAAUACUCUGUAAAACCUUUAAAAUACCUUGUAAAUUUUCCCCACCAAAAAAUUGCAGAAUCACUUUUCCCGAAAAAAAAAAUUUUGGCGGGAAAAUUGCGGGAUCAUUUCCCGCCAAAAAUUUCCGGGAUCACUUUUCCCGCCAAAAAAAUAUUUUGUAUUUUGUGGACCUAAUUUUGUUUCAAAUAAGGGUAAAAUGGUCAUUAAAAUUAAAAAAGGGCAAACUUAAAAAUGGACUCUCAAAGGGGGCAUUUUUGAAAAGGGGUAUUGAAAAAGGGGCAUUUUAAACAAUUUCUCAAAAAUAUAUUUAAUAGUAAAUAAAUCAAAUUCAAUGAAAAAUACUAAUAUUUUUAUAUUUAAUUUUAAAUUAAAAUUUGUGAACUAAAUUUAGAAAUAUCAUGUUAAAUAAUAAUAGUUAAUAUUAACAUAAAAUAGAAUUGUAAUAGUGAUUUAAAAGAUAUUAUUCUUUUAUAAUAAAAACAUUUUUAAAUUUAUUUUAUUUAUAUAAUUUUCAAAUAAAGUGUUAAGAGUAGUUUAGCAUAAAAUUCUUUUCAAAAAUAUUUUCCCUGUUAAUAUUGCGAAGAUAUGCAAAUUAGUAUAUACUAAAAUACAAAUAUUAUUGAUAAACAUUAUUUUUUUAUUUAUUUUAAAAUAAAAACCCAAUUUUAAUAUUUGUUUUUUUUUGUUCUUUUUUGUUCCUCAUCAAUUUUGGGAAAAAAAAAUUUUGUUCUAUUGUUCCUCAUUCGGUGAGGAAUGUAGAGGAAUGAUGAUGUGAAAAAAACAUUAUUUGUAAAUUGUAAAAAUAUUGGGGAACAAAGAAGAAUAUUCUAGAUUUACUAUUGUGAUAAAGAUUAAGAGAUUUAGAAUAUUUACUUAUUAUGUUUAUAUUUAUUUUCUAAUCUAAUUAGAUUAAACGUAAGUUAGUCUACAUACAUUGUACCAACUCUCUUGACAUCAAUAACUUCUUCUCAUUCUUUUCUUAAAUCAUGGUUACCAAUUGAAACCAUCAUAUAUUUAUUUAUUUCUUGAUUCCCUUCACUUGAUAACUUGAUUUUCAAUUCUAGGAUCAAUACUAUUCGGCGAAGUUAAUUAAAGACUAACAAUGGAGAAUUGCAAAGGUUGUAAAUGGCUUAAAAUUGACUUUUAAGGUGUUGUCUUCUCUUUAAGAAUAACUAUUAUUGGAGAUACCUUGGGGAGCAAGAUGCUAUCUUGGGGUUAUGGACAGUCAAAAUCCGUUCAUGAAAUGAACCCGUGAAGCCCAAACCGAAGAAUAUUCUAGUACUAUUGUGAUAAAGAUUAAGAGAUUUAGAAUAUUUACUUGUUAUGUUUAUAUUUAUUUUCUAAUCUAAUUAGAUUAGUUAGUCUAUAUACCUCUUGACAUCAAUAACACAUAAUAAAUAGUCCCCUCCCUCCCGGAAAAUUCUUCUCUAGUUUCUUCAACUAUUUUGAUCCUCAACCAAAAGAAAAACAUGUCUAGGGGUUACCUCUAAAAACAAAGUAAUGUUUCCAAUCCAAGCGCUCAAAAGAUAUAGAUAUUGAAUUUCUUUCGUGGGCCAUUUAGCAUACUGAAUUCAAAUAGAGAGCUAUUGUCUUUAACUUGUUUUAAGAAAAUUCAUGAAGCAGUUGAAGAUAAAUAAAGAAAGUAUAAGAUUAUGUACCGGUUUACUAAACCGAGUUAAUUACAGUUUGUACCGGUAAACCGGAUGUAUAAAUACUCUAUCCCUUGUAACAGAUCAUUUAGUGAGAAUAACAACCUUUUAUCGAUUCUUUCGUUUUCUCACGAACACUAACAUGGUAUCAGAGCACAAUUGCUCCGUUUUUCGUCGCAAAUCUCGCUGAUUCUUCGAGUUUUCUCGUAGAUCGCUUCAUUUUCAUCAUCUCCAUCUUCGAUUUCAUCCAUUUCCAUCAAUUUUUCUUCGUUUUCUUUAAAUUUUCACUUCUCCGAUCAAAAUCCGGUGAAUACGAUGGUUUCCGUUUAUAAUUUACGGCGUCGUACGGUGCGAUCACGUCGUUCAGCUGAAAGAACUUCUCCGAUUCGAUCAACAACUCCGAUUUCAUCACCAAUUGCUCCGAUUUUCACUCAAAUGGCUUCCGAUCCUCCGAUUGAUUACACGGAUUUGUACUCGCCUUAUUCUUUGACGAAUGGAGACAAUCCGGGGAAUGUUAUCAUCACUGAGGUACUAGAUGGAACCAAUUACUCUUCUUGGACUAUUGCUAUGUCUGUUGCACUCGAUGCGAAGAACAAAAUGGCUUUUAUCGAUGGGAUCUCUUCCUCGACCUCUUGCUACAGCCACUAGUUUUCGUUAUUGGUCUAGAUGUAACAGCAUGGUAAAGUCUUGGAUCUUGAACACGGUUAAUAAGCAGAUCUAUAAAAGUAUUCUUCGAUUUGAUGAUGCGUCUGCAAUUUGGAAAGAUUUGAUGACCAGAUUUCACAUUACUAAUCUUCCUCGGUCAUACCAACUUACUCAACAAAUUUGGUCGCUACAACAAGGUUCGAUGAAUCUCUCUGAUUACUAUACUACUUUGAAAACUUUAUGGGAUGAUCUUGUUGGUGCCAGUUGCAUUGGAACUUGUCAUAACUGUAAAUGUUGCAAGAUUGUUGAUACGAGUAAUGAACAUGCCAAGAUUAUCAAGUUUCUUGCUGGUUUGAAUGAGAGUUAUGCAACAGUUAGAAGUCAGAUUAUCAUGAAGAAGACUGUACCUGAGCUUGCAGAGAUUUACAAUUUAUUGGAUCAAGAUCAUAGUCAACGCAGUAUUGGCUCAACUUCUCAUGUUUCGAAUGCUUCUGCUUUCAAUGUUUCUGUGUCACAACCGGCUUCUGUUAAUGCUGCUCAAUCAUCCUAUCACACUAAUCCACGACAGCCUAAGGUUCAAUGCUCUCACUGUGGUUAUUUGGGUCAUACUGUGGAUAAGUGUUACAAAGUUCAUGGAUAUCCAUUGGGUUUUAAACAUAAACAAAAGUUUGGAUCUGCUCAGAACACCACUACUCAGCCUGCUAAACCAGUAGUUGCCAGUCUUACUUUGAAUGGUCAAGAUACUACUAUUGGUUCUACUGAUAUUGCUGAUCUUGUUGGAGGAAUGUCUAAGAGUCAGAUACAAGAUGUUAUUGCCUACUUUAGCACACAGCUUCAACCUAAUGCACAGCCAAUUACAGUUGAUUCAAGUUCAACUAGUAAUAUUAAUGGUUCUGCAAAUGCUGUUGCUUCCACUUCUACUGGUGUCACUGGUCCUGCCCCCACUGGUAUUUCAUUCUAUUUUUCCACACUUUGUUUUAUUGGUAUUUUGACAGCCUCUAGGAGUGUACUAAGUUCUCAAACUUGGAUAAUGGAUAGUGGAGCAACCCAUCAUGUUUCUCAUGAUAAGGAUUUGUUUACCACUCUAUCUUUAGCUUUGAGUUCUUCAGUUACACUUCCUACUGGUAAUAAUGUCAAGAUUGCAGGUGUUGGGAUUAUUCAGCUCAAUGAGCACAUUAUUCUCAAGAAUGUAUUAUAUAUCCCUGAGUUUAGACUCAAUAUCUUGAGUAUCAGCCAAUUGACCAGAGAUAUGGGUUCACGGGUAUAUUUUGAUGAAGAUGAUUGUGUGAUACAGGAUCGUAUCAAGGGAUGGAAGAUUGGCAAAGGUAAGCAAGUUGCGGGUCUCUAUGUGCUGGACAUUGAUGCAUCUUUGCUGGAUACUCCUAUUAAUGUCAAUCAAUCCUUUUGUUCUUCUGUUGUUGUUGAUGCUGCCAUGUGGCAUAGUAGACUAGGACAUCCAUCCUAUUCUAAGAUUGAUCUACUUCACAGUGUACUUGGUUUACAUAAAAGUAAUAAAGAAAGUUCUCCACAUUGUGAGAUUUGUCACCUUGCUAAACAAAAGCGUUUACCAUUUGUCUCACACAACAAUAUGUCUUCUGCUCCUUUUGACUUGAUUCAUAUCGACACUUGGGGACCGUUUUCUGUUCCUUCUAUUGAUGGUUACAGAUACUUCUUGACGAUUGUUGAUGAUCAUAGUCGAGCAACAUGGGUGUAUAUGAUGAAGACUAAAGAUGAAGUACUAAGAGUUUUCCCGGAGUUUCUGCAAAUGAUAGAAACACAGUUUCAGAAACAAGUUAAGUCUGUGAGAUCAGACAAUGCUCCGGAGCUCAAGUUUGUGGAAUUAUACAAAAAGAGAGGUAUUAUUUCAUAUCACUCUUUUCCAGAAACACCAGAGCAAAACUCUGUAGUAGAAAGGAAACAUGGUCAUAUACUGAAUGUGGCAAGGUCUCUGCUAUUUCAAUCACAUAUUCCACUUGAAUACUGGUCAGAUUGUAUUCUCUCUGCUGUCUUUCUCAUCAACAGAUUGCCUUCUCCACUACUAUCUGAUAAAUCACCAUUUGAGCUUCUAUAUGGUAAAUCUCCUGACUACAGUUCUCUGAAAGUUGUUGGUUUUUUGUGUUACAAAUCUACAUCAACUCAUCAAAGACAUAAAUUUGAACCAAGAUCAAGAGCCUGUGUCUUCUUGGGAUAUCCUGCGGGCUACAAAGGGUAUAAGCUUCUGGAUUUAGAAUCACAUCAGAUUUCUAUAUCACGACAUGUGGUUUUCUGUGAAACUUUGUUUCCCUUUGCUAAUAAUCCCAUUCCAGAAGAUUUGUUUGAUAUUCCUACUAAAGCUCAGAUUGAUGAAGUGAUUAAUGCUGAAGAAGAAGCAGUUGUUCUUAAUGAAAGGAAAAGCUUAGCAGAUACAGUGGAUCUAGAAUAUGUUGAAAGAGAAGAAGAAGAAGAGACAGAGAUUUUACCACUGGUAAAACGAGCAUCUUCUAAGAGAACAAGUAAGCUUCCUAUGCAUCUUAGAGAUUAUUACUGCAACAAUGUUUCUGAUGUGAGAUAUCCUAUUAAUGCUUACAUAAAUCUCUGUCAAAUAUCCUUGGAUCAUCAAGCUUUUGUGUGUGCUAUAGAUGCUUAUUCUGAACCAAGUAGUUAUACACAAGCUAAGAAGAUUAAAGAAUGGAUUGAUGCCAUGGGUUUUGAAGUAGAUGCUCUUAAGGAGACAAACACGUGGUCUGUUUGUUCUCUUCCUGAAGGUAAAAUUCCCAUUGGUUGUAAAUGGGUCUACAAGGUCAAGCUUAAUGCUGAUGGUUCUCUGGAACGUUUUAAGGCUAGACUUGUAGCAAAAGGCUAUACUCAGAUUGAGGGAAUUGAUUUUGUGGAUACUUUCUCUCCAGUUGCUAAGAUGACAACUGUCAGAACACUUUUAGCAGUCUCUUCUGCUAAGAAUUGGUUUCUGCAUCAGUUGGAUAUCUCUAAUGCCUUCCUUAAUGGCGAUCUUGAUGAAGAGAUCUAUAUGAAGUUGCCUCCAGGUUAUUCACCAAAAGAGGGGGAAUCAUUGCCUGAGAAUGCUGUGUUACGACUACACAAGUCCUUAUAUGGUUUAAAACAAGCCUCUGGGCAAUGGUUCUUAAAGUUCAGUUCUACAUUGAUUUCUAUGGGUUUUACUAAGUCACAUGCAGAUAAUACAUUGUUCAUUCGCCAUACAAAGGAGAAUUACAUUGCCUUACUAGUGUAUGUCGAUGACAUUGUCAUUGCAAGUAGCAGUGAAGAUGCUCUGCAACAGCUGAAAUCAGAUUUGGCAAGCUGCUUCAAACUUAGAGACUUAGGCCCUCUGAAAUAUUUCCUUGGAUUGGAGAUUGCACGGAACAGUACAGGGAUUUCAAUAUGCCAAAGACGAUAUGUUCUAGAACUUCUUGAAGAGACUGGAAUGCUUGGUUGUCGACCUUCUUCUAUUCCAAUGGAGCCAAGUCAGAAGCUUACUGCUUAUAGUGAUGAACCACCAAUUGAUACUCCAGAGGUCUAUAGAAAGAUGGUAGGUAAAUUGAUGUACCUCACUAUUACCAGACCAGAUAUAAGCUUCGCAGUCAAUAAACUUUGUCAGUUUUCUUCUACUCCUAAGAAGUCUCACCUUAAUGCCGCAUACAAGGUGCUUGCUUAUCUCAAAGGAACAGUUGGCUUGGGUCUUUUUUAUCCUUCUGACUCAGAUCUUCAGCUCAAGUCCUACACUGAUGCAGAUUGGUCUAAAUGUCCAGAUACAAGUCGCUCAACUUCUGGCUACUGCAACUUUCUGGGAAAUUCUUUAAUCUCUUGGAAAUCUAAAAAGCAGGAAGUCGUUUCUCGUUCAUCAGCGGAGUCUGAAUAUCGUGCAAUGGCCUUAGCAGGAUGUGAGAUUUCUUGGCUGGUCAAUCUCUUAACAGAGCUACAGGUACCUCAACAUAAUCCUGUUCCUUUGUUCUGUGAUUCUACCGCAGCUAUAUACAUUGCAAACAAUUCGGUCUAUCAUGAAAGAACCAAACACAUAGAACGAGAUUGUCACACCAUCAGAGAAUGUAUUGAAAGUGGCUUGAUCAAGACUCUGCAUGUGCGCACACAUCAUCAGCUAGCAGAUGCUUUUACAAAGCCUUUAUUUCCGACUCUGUUCAGGGAUCUCAUUGGCAAGAUGAGCUUACUUUCUAUCUUUGGCUCAUCUUGAGGGGGAAUAUAAGAUUAUGUACCGGUUUACUAAACCGAGUUAAUUAGAGUUUGUACCGGUAAACCGGAUGUAUAAAUACUUUGUCCCUUGUAACAGAUCAUUUAGUGAGAAUAACAACCUUUUAUCGAUUCUUUCGUUUUCUCACGAACACUAACAGAAAGAUUACCAUUCCGUGGAAUGAAUGCCUGAUAUAUGACUAAUUUGGUUGAGAGCUCUUCUCCAUUGGGAAGCCCUAUUCGGCUCCCUAUCUUCGUGCUUUUGAAAGGCAGCCGCGAAUCUUCCUUUCUGGUGUCUCACGUCAGAAGGAUCGACUCUGUAGAAGAUGGGAACCACAUGAAUCCGAUUCACGCUAUGAAGCUCCAUUAUCAAUCGGAGCUCCUCCAAGCACCAUUGCGAGGUAGCAUAGUUCUCCGAGAUGAAGACAACAGCGACCUGUGAAGUUUUUAUGGCUUCGAUGAGCCUUUCCUUAAUUUCGGAUCCUGCCCCGAUCCCCUGAUCGUCUUUAUAAGUAAGAAUUCCCUGGCGUAUAAGAUCUUUAUACAAAAAGCUGACUACGGUGCGCCGAGUGUCUUUCCCUCUGAAACUGAGGAAGACAUCAUAGUUGCUCCUAACAAGAGUUGACAAGGACGAGGAAGCCAUCACCGAAUAUUAUGGCGUUUGAGACUUAUAAGAGAGCUAUCUAUCUGAAAAAUUGGAAAAUUAUUUGUACUCUUCUAUAUAUGUUAGAAUUACUGGGGGUUGGAUUCUAGCUAGCCCAGGAAAGAGUGCCAAGGUCAGCGUUUACUUUCACAUUAAUCCAACUUGACCACUUCCCUUUUAUGUUUUAAUGUACCCAAUUGAACUGCCUUGCACGUUCAACAUAAGAAAUUGUAUUUUGACGCAGCAAUUUCAUAUUUAAAAAAAUCCAUCGUUUACUAUGUCCAAGUAGGGGAUCUUCUUCUGUUCCGAAGUGUGUAUCUCCCCGUCGUAGUCUCUGAAAUUCUCAUCUCUUCAGCGAAAGACAAUCUACACAACCUUUCUUAAUGUCUUCCUCUUCUUCAUCUCUUAUCCCCAAGUUUGAUGUCUUCCUAAGUUUCAAAGCAGAAGACACCACCAACAUAUUUGUAUCAGAUCUUCACCGUUCGUUGUCAGAAAAAGGCAUUACAACUUAUCAAAAAGAUGAAAAACAGGAGGAGAAAGACUCCUCCGUUGUUUCUGACCUAAAGAAAUGUAUCAUAGAGUCAAAACUCGCCGUUGUAGUGGUCUCAAAGAGCUAUCCAACUUCUGUUCUAUGCCUCAACCAGCUUCAAACAAUCAUAAACUUUCACGAUGAAGGUCAACUCUCUGUCCUACCCAUCUUCUACGGAGUUGAUUUGUCGAAUAUAAGAAAUCAGACUGGAGAAUACACAGAAGCUUUUAGAAACCUUGCUGAAGAAUUUUCACCUGAGAAGGUUCAAGCAUGGAGGAGUGCUCUUGCCAAACUCACCAGUGUAUCUAGCCUGGAUUCACGUUUUUGGUAACUAUGUUUCAUAACAUGAUUAAAACCACAUGAAUAGAGUGAUUACUUUAGGACUUAGUUGUACGCUAACACUUUGUUACAUAUAUGGUACUUUUUUAUUUCAAUCACAGGAGCAAAGAAGAGACGAUGGUAGAUUUGGUUACGAAUGAAAUCUUGCUUAUGGUUUCAAAUAAGCCGAAUAGUCCAUCAACAACCAAAGCAGAUGGACAUGUCGCAUUGGAUCGUCAUAUGCAAGCGAUAUAUUAGUUACUGGAUUUAAAAUCUAACAAGGAAGUUCGUUUGGUCGGCCUUUGGGGUCCCGGAGGCGUUGGCAAGACGACACUAGCGAGAUACGCGUACGAAGAACUGUCUACCAAUUUCCAUGUCCGUAUGUUUUUAGACAACACCGAAAAGAUCUAUCACCAAGACAAUCGGGAAACAUUCACAUCAAGAGAGACUCGAGAGGGGUUUCAAAAGCUGACAAGGGGAAUAAAUGAGAAAAGUACUGCAGGUGUGAUCAAAUCAGCAGUUAGACACCGAAAAGGUCUACUUGUGGUUGACUGUGUGGAUAAUAUCGAACAGUUAAAGGACAUAGCAGAGAUCGUUCGUUGGUGUGGUUCAGGAAGUAGAAUCAUCCUUAUCGCACAGGACGAGAAUUUGUUAGAUAAAUUUGGUAUGGAGCAUGUCUAUGAAGUGUCCCUGAGAUACGACGAAGCCCUUCAAAUCUUCUCUCAAUCUGCCUUCAAACAGCAACACCCUCCUACCAGUUUUGAAUCACUCUCCCUUCGUGCUAUCCAGAUUGCCAGUUUCCUUCCUCUGACUCUUAAAAUUCUCGGUUCGUUUUUACAUGGCAAGGAUGAAAAGAGUUGGGAGGAGGAGCUGCAAAAUCUUGAAGGAGACCAAGAGAAAACUAUAAUGAAAGUUAUGAAGAAAAGCUACAAAAUCGAAAAUGAGAAGGAGCAAAUCUCUUCAUUUAGUGAUGAUUAUAAGGAAAAAUUCACCUGAAAAGAAAAGGUGUUUGCUUUUUCAAAUGUGAACAUGUGAUAGAUGUAUUUUCAUAAUGUUUGAUGUAGCAUUUUCACUAUAAAAGCGAACUCUUCUGGGCUUGUCUAAUCUAAUCAAUAAAGACGCCCAUGGUACAAAGAGGUAGCAACUUGGUCAAACUUGCUCAAUAGAAGGCAAAAUACUGCAUAGAGUGACUUUCGUAAAGUUAAGAAUCUAAAAGUACUCACGUCAAUCAAAAAGUUAGAUUCUGAAACGAAAAUCAAAGGUAGUAGUAAGUAGUAACAUACCAAAACAAGAAUUUUGCGAUGUUAUUAGGAAAAGGAAAAAAAAAUCAAGGCCGUCAUGCUCUGUUUGUUGUAAAACCCGGUUGUUUAGGAAUGAUGUCCCAUCGCUGGUUAAUUUUUGGUUUUAGUUAGAAAACACAAUAGAACCAAAAACAACCAAACCGAUUAUAAACAUAAACCUCAAAUUGACCCAAACCAAGCCGAAGUCACACCGGAUUUGCUUCGUCAAUAAUGCGAAUUCCACAAGCUCUUAUCUCGCCUAGUGGAAACUGAAACUCCUCCUCUGGAAAUUGAAGAUGGGAUUCGAGUCGCAACUCUUCGAUUUUCUCGGUGUUUAAGCUACUCGGGACGUGGAUGAUAACCAGGUGAUGUGAUGCAACAGUUUCUUCUUCCUCAAUCUCCGAUGAAUGAUUGAGAUUUGGUUUGAGGUUAAUCCAAAUUACUUCAUCAGCUUCGCUGUUCCAGUCAUAACUAAACGCUGGGAAUUGGAGAUUGAAGGACCUCUCACAAGAAAUCAAGAUACAAGCAGCAAAACCCAGAAGGGUCGGUGUAAACAGGCUGAUCUUCGUAGAUGUUCCAUGGGAUUGAUUAUCGAAAUUUCUGGGCACUUCAUUUCCGGGUAAGCAAAGAAAUCGUUGUGAAACCUAGAAAGAAUUAAAAGCGAAUUGUUUCAUAACAGAGGAUUAGAAGAAUCGAAAAUAGCAAUUAACGAUAGCAGGAAGCUUACCUCUUGGCUACAUUUGUCGUUUAGAAACAAUGUAAUCAGUUGCUCAUCUUGUUGCAAACCGAAGCAAUGGCUAAGAUCGAGGUGUUUGAUUGAAUGAUUUCGGGAAAGGGAUACAUUUUCCAGGGAAUCGCAGCCGUGUGCGUAGAGAUGCUUGAGGCUUUGUGGAAGCUCUUCCACUGAUUUGAGUUUCUUGCAGUUAUUGAGGCACAUAGUUUCCAAAGAUGACAGCUCCUUGAUGCUUUCAGGGAUUGCGUCAAAGUCGUGGCUGCUUAGGUCCAAGUGUAUUAAAUUGGUGAAACGGCUAAGCUGUUCUGACAAUGCUUGGAGAUUCUUGCAGUUAUCAAGCUCAAGCUCUAGCAAACGGAAUCUGCCUUCAUCUUGAACUGCACAAGGAAGUUCCAGCAGUGAUUCGAGGUUGGAACAGCCGGAAAGCUUGAGCGUCUGCAACUCAGUCAGCUCUGGAAAUGUCUUGAGUUUGAUGCAAUUAGAGAGCCUCGCGUAUUUCAACUUCGAAAGGUUCUUCGUUGAUGCGGGUAAACUCCUGAAAUCAUUUCCGCUGAGGUCCAGUUUCUCUAGUGACUGCAUUAGACCAAUGUCGACUGGGAUUUUCUGGAUAUUUAAGUUGAUUAGAUUCAACUCUACCAAGCACGGGAAAGCUGAGAAGCUAAUGCAUCGGAAGGGGACACCAUCUGCGCUGUAGCUAACUCGCUUGAUACUUAGCGAUUUAAAAUCAUAGAAGCUUGAGAUGAACGGAAGUCUUUCCUUUGGAAUUACCAUAUAUUCCUCAGGAAUUUGUUGCUCGGAAAUAAAGGAGAGAUGCUCUGCAUUGCCCAUGAUAUCCCACAACCCGAUGUUUAUUUUCCCCUCUAUGGAUAGGUUUGCCAAAGAAUUUAGUUUCUUUACUGCUCUGGGAAGUCUCAAUAUUAUUUGCCGCCGUCGCCUGAGUCCAGGUUCUCGGAGGACAAUCUUUUCUGAUAUAUGAAUCUGAAGAUUCGUUAAGCCAUCACAAUUGGAUAAAUCGAGUUUCCGCAGGCAAGAUAAGCUUCCAAUGGACUCUGGAGUUUGCUUCAGUCUUGUACAGCCUUUCAUUAUUAAAUCCUUCAGCAGUGCGGCCCUUGAAAGAUCUGGAAUUUCGGUCAGAUUCUUUGAGCCAGUAACAUCUAGUCUCUUCAACUGACCGAGGUCCUGAAUAUAAGACAAAAAAAGAAGAAGGUGAAAUCUUAGAUACUUUUUAGUAAAUCGUGACACCUUUUAGUUGCUAUAACAGACUCAACACCAACGUGUUUCGAUAGCUUACCAGGGUUCCAUCCCAUAGAUGCACAAGACUGCUGUAACGCAAAUUGAGUUCAACCAGACAAUGCGGAUAGUAUCCAGGAGGCAAAGUUGUCAUAGGAUAGGAAUCCCAAUGUAGUAACUUGAGUGUGUUGGGAAGCAUAUCUGUGCCUGGAAGGAACUUCAGUUUGGACUCUUUGUCAUUCAAAUGCAUGAAGGCUUUGAAGAAUUUGAGAUUGUUGAUCGCGUUAAGAACGUUUCCCUCGAUAGACAACGCUUGAAGCAUCUCACACAUGUGUAGUGCUACACCUUCAGUCGUUGUUGUACCCUGAUGAGAGAAUUGGAGUCAGCUGAAAUGAAGACAAUACAAAUAUGACCAAAACCAGGGAAUUUUUUUAAUCUAAAUGUGUUUUAACACUUACUGUGUUGUUUUGUAGCACAAAGAUGAUUGGAUCAGUUUUCCACAAAAUUCUUUGUCUCCAAGGCAUGGAGCCAGAUUCUUGGCGCACAAUUUCUCUUGCUGCUUGUUCUAUCAAGACAUGCAUGGUGAUGCAUCCAUCAGGUGAUAUUUCUAUGAGAGACUUCGCUUCUAAAGCUUUUGUCCUUAUGUCACCAUCAUCGAUAAGGGCAUUUACACGCUGGACAGAGGUUCCAUUGAAGAGGCAUGCAACGUGAAGGAACGCAGCCUGUUCUUGCUCAUCUAAACCGUCAUAGCUAGUUUUCAAAAUAUCCAUGAUACUUUGAUGGGGAACUGUUUCAAGAAUACCCAAUGCCUUUUCCCACCCUUCUAUCCAGGUAAUCCGGCGGAGAUAUGUGCCAAAAGCUUCGAGGGCUGAAGGAAGGCCUUGAGCGAGCCUAGAAGCACGGAUUGAGAAUUGCUGGUAGACAUCAGAAGGAGCUUGCCCUCCUUCAAAAGCAACCUGUUUAAAGACCUGGAUAGCAUCACCGAUGUCCAAAAAGCUGACAUGGUAUAAUAAUCUCACUCCAAAGGAGUAGAGCAAGCCAAAGUCUCGUGUAGUUAUGAUGAUUCGGCUCCCUGGUCCAAACCAGCCAGUAUUUUUUGCCAGGGCAUGCAGCUGGUCCACGUUGUCCACAUCGUCAAGGACAAGGAAAAUUUUAUCCUUAAGCUUUGACUUGAUACAACUGCAUCCUUUCUCCACGCACCAUAGGGUCUCUUGUUUCUUUCCUCUGAUAUUGGAAAGGAGCUUUUUCUGCAAAUACGGGAGGCCAUUCUUUGCAGCAAUCCUAACGUUUUCUAUGAAACAGUAAUGAGCAAAUCGACGUGAAUAUUUUUCAUAGAGACACUUGGCUAUGGUGGUUUUCCCGAUGCCUCCCAUUCCCCAGAUUCCUAUCAUACGAACCUCAUCCUCCGAUUCAAUACUCAAUAGAGGAUUCAGUCGUUCCAUGUGAACUUUCAUCCCUACAAUAUCACUGAAGUCUAGUGGCUCCAUUGAGAACACUUGUUUUGAAAUUUGCCCAACAAUAUCGGCAACCAUCGUGGCCUCGUCCUUACUAAUGUGGAGGACAUACAAAAAAAGAAAGAAAAAGAUGUCGCUUUAGAUAGGUAACUUCAAAUAUAGUAGUUCACAAAGCAGCAUGCAGAGGAAGAGGCCAAUGAAGGAAGGGACCAAUGAAAAAGAAGGUAGCAAGCACAAUAAUGGCUGCAUUUGUCUACAUCACCCUAAUAAGCAUCGGAAUAUUUUUAUUAGACUAUGUUAACAGCUUAGCAAGGAUGAAUAUGGAUAUAUUAUGUAGAAGACAAUGCCAUGACUCAAGGAAGAACCAAGAUGGAGGUGGCAUGCAUAUAUAAGCUAAUGGGCACGGGUACGAUGAAGUAUAGACGACAGUAAGGCUCAUUCAGAGGACUGUGGGAAAGGUUUGAUAUUCUUCAUCCGCUUUCAUGGUCAUUUCUCAUGACUCAUCCUUUAUUAUAUAAAAGAGAAGUCAGUCGGCGAUUUUCGUUGCGACACGUGUAUCUUCAUUUUUCAUAACUAACAACUUAUUCUAUAUCAUCUUUGUUUGGUUCCACUAUAGAGGAUGCUUAGUAAUAGUGAUUUACAUGGAAAAUGCAGCUGAAAAGUGAAAACUCACCAAGUACUCAAAUCUUUGCCUGAUGUUCCUGCGACCUCCCUGAGAGCUUCUCUCCAUUUCUGAAUCUUUGCCGCCAUUGCUCUUUUCUUGCUUGAAAAUAGUAGCAUAACUCUUGAACAUUCGUACCUUUCUAAGGCAAAGGUUCCUCUCUGGUGUCGUACAUCGGAGGGAUCAACGUUGUAGAAGAUUGGAACGGCAGUGAGUUGCUUUUCCUUGUGAAGCUCCAUUAUCAUUUGGAGCUCGUCUAGACACCAAGUCGAGGAAGCAUAGUUCAUUGAGAUAACUAGGAUUGCAAAUUUCGAAUUAUGUAUAGCUUCCUUGAUUUCUUCUGAAAUGGAGUCGCCAAUCUCAAGUGUUUGAUCAUCUUUGAAGAUUUUGUCAAUACCCCUGGCAAGAAAUGCUCUGUGCAAAUGGCUGACUAUGCCUUUGCGAGUAUCUUCCCCUCGGAAGCUGAGGAACACAUCGUACUGCUUCACAACACGAGGUAACUCCAUCGGUACAAUGUGUAUCUGUGCAGAUUAUAUUUUUGUCUUGGGCCUUAAUAAGCAGUUAGGCCGUUGUUUUUUUUAAUGUUGAUCGAAGAAUGUUCAUGAAGAUAAAUGGAGGUCAACGUGUUUAGUUACACACUGCCAUGUUGUACAUAGGCGCGACACGCCUGAAACUGUGAUUUGAAUCUUUCAAGCUUGUGACAGAUUGGCUUAUAUUAUAAAAUCAUCAGUGGCAACAUAAUAUAGCUCUUGAAUUUCAAUCAUACGCCUGGCCAUUCUCUGUAUUAUUUUUUACUAGAUACUCGGGAAAAAAUUUCCAAAAAAUAUUGUGUGAUAGAACUCUUUUUUUUUUUUUUUUUUUUGGUAUCGGUGUGAUAGAACUUUAGAAUUCUUUUGCGUUGUUUGACCAUACGCAGAUAAAAUACGAGAUAUACAGAUUAAGCAACUUGAUUUCUAAAUACCUGAGUCAAAUGGAAUUCUGACAUAUACUCGUAUAUUCCACUACUUUAAAAAGUGUCAUGUCAAUAUCAUUCUGAUGUAAGAAUCUAUCUUCUUAUCUCAAAGAAGGGAAUGUUUCGCGUGUGUUUGUAAUAGAGAUGUGCAAGCGACGACUUCAUCAGUUGCUUUAUAAUCUUUCCAAGGAACUGUAGAACUUUCUUUGCAAAAAAUUCAAAAAGAAGGAAAGAAGAACUUAGCUUCCUUAAUUUUGCCUUUCUCCUAAUCAUGACGCACGACGUGUUCCUGAAUUUCCGAGGAAAGGAGAUGCGCAAAACUUUUGUGAGCCAUCUUCUUAGCUCGUUCACGACCAAAAACAUCACAAGUUUCAUAGUCUCUGAUCCUUUCGAGGACCCGGAUCUGAAGGCUAUGGAACAGUCGCUAGUUGCGAUCCCCGUGAUAUCAAAGAACUACGUGAUUUCUAACUUGUGGAUGGAUGAUUUGAGAAAGAUAAUAGAGUGUGAGAAGAUAGGAACUUUGACGGCAAUUCCUAUAUUCUUCCAAGUUAGUCCUUUGGACAUCUUACACGCAACAGAAAAAUACGCGGACACGCAGGAUGAGACCUUGGAGAUGGUGAGGAAGUGGUUGUACGCUCAGGUGUCCCGUAAACCUAGCUUCCAUUCCAAUGACUGGUACACUCUUUGCUAUUAUAUAUUGCUCUCCUUUUUUUGGGUUACUCAGCAAAUAUUGUUUUGAUGUGAUAUACUGGCUAUAAACUAGAAUUGUUCCUGGUCUCAAGACUUAGUAAACAAAACAAAAAAAAAAACAACUUAUUUGACAUGAAUGAUAGGGACGACGACUCCGAGCUGGUGGAUAAAAUUACGAGUUUCGUUUCUGAUAUCCUGGAAUCUUCCACAUCAAGCUAUCAAAGUACUGGUUUAAGUCCGGCUCCGAGUUUGAAGCUAGAAAGUGCGUUCAGGGUAAGCAAGUUUAUGCACUGGAGAUCUCUGUCGCUACCAAGCUCAGCUUUUACACCGAUCUCACUGUCUGCAUUCAGUCAAUUCCCCCUCCUAGACAUGAAGGGUCGCUUAGAAAAUCUGCGCGCUAUGAUAUUGCGCGUAGAGUCUAGAGCAAUUGGUAUUUGUGGAAUGGAAGGAGUUGGGAAGACAACUCUUGCUAGGCACCUUUACGAGGAGAUGGCACCACGAUUUCAGCACCAUAUAUAUAUAAAGAAUGUCAUUAACAGGUCCCAGUGCCCAUUCAGUUUACUAGAUAUGCUUGCUAGUGAAACUUUCAAGGAAAGUAGCUUCCGCGGGAGCUCUGAUAGUGCCAUCAGAGAAAUGAUUGGGCACCGGAAGGUUCUGCUUGUUGCUGAUGGUGUUGAUGACAUUAAGCAGCUUAAAGGUAUAACCAAAGACGCAAGUUGGUUUGGUCCAGGAAGUCGGGUCAUUGUAAUCACUCAAGAAAGGUCUUUGCUUACUGAAUGUGGAGUGAAACACAUCUACGAGGUUGAGUGUCCGAGAUACGAGGAAGCUCUUGCUUUCUUCUCAGAAUUUGCAUUCAAGCAGAGCAGCCCUCUCCCUGUUUUCGAAAGUCUCUCUUUUCGGGCUGUCCAUGUCGCUAAUCGUCUUCCUCUGGCCCUGAAAGUGUUGGGAUCGUAUUUACGCGAUAGGGAAAUAGAUGAAUGGGAAAGUACAUUGCGUAAACUCGAAGCAUCACGUGAUAACUAUGCUUCAGAGGUUAAGAGUUACAUCGGAGCAGAUGACUAUGCACCGAGACGUCCGAUCAAAGUGGAUCGACACAUUGGAGUGGAUGAAGCAAAUUGUUUCCCGUUAUAUUGCUUGGCUCUUGAAUGAUCAUUGGUCUUGUUCAUGAGUCUACUUCACUUGGAUUUGUUUGAAAAGUAAUGUUGUGCAUUUAGUGGUUGAAUAAGACGAACAAGGACAUCUGCUCGUCACUAAACUCUUUUGUGUAUUGGUUAUUUAUUAUGUGUGUGUGUGUUUUUUAUUUUCUCUUUUGUGUUUUUAUGAUGGAUGGAUUCAGCUAAGUCUCGUCAACACUCGUUGGAUUCAGAAGACGGAAGGCAUUAGAACUUUCGUGCUUGAAAAACCGAAUCAAACCGAAAGCCUAGCUUUCUUUUCUUGUUUCAUACGCUUUAGCGAUCUGUUUUCUUAUCCUUCCACCGAACUUGGUUGAAACAGUUUCAACACCUUCUCGUUUGCUUGUUAUUCAAUUCUUUCAAACUAAGUAUUCCUUGAUCAGUUUUACCAGCAACACCAACCGAUUCAAUCUCCACAAUACUCUUCUUCUGAGUGGUAAAUCGAUGAGCUUUCCCUGAGAUUGCCAGAUAUCUAAACAUCAUAGUCGAAUUUACUAAUCUUGGACCUUCUGAACCAGCAACUAAUAUAAAAACAGCAAAGUCGAGGUAUAAAACUCCUAAAUAGGGAAUAAACUCAGAGCAGCUCUGCCAAGCAGGCGAAGCUGAGCUCCUAGACUUGAUUGAUUGGACAUGAAAUACCCAGCACCCGGUCACGAUGAGCUGAAACAGCUUGCCAACUAAGACUCUGCCUCCACAUGUUUUGUUUUGUCACCUUGAAACACUAUUCAUAUGUAGACAAAAUGUCAACUUCCCUAAAUCAUUGAACACUGAGGCUCAGAUUUCACCAUCACAGAAUAUCAUCACCACAGCACUGCAUAUAUCAUGUUCUUCGCAUACAAAAGUCAAUACCACAAAACCAGAUUCUGAGACUGAGUUUUAUUAGAAAUACCGACCUUGUUAUAUGAGGGUGAUGUUGGAAUUUCCAUGUUAAGAGAGCAGUCUUUAGGGAAACCUUCUUUCUCUAAGUCUCUGAUAGUUGCGUUUAUCAGAGGUAAGCAGACACCAGUAGCAUCCUUAAACACACUUUCUUGGCUUUCAUCAUUCUUCCUAUAAUCGAUGUGCCGGGUACAAUAAAAGUGAUGUUUCUGUCAUCUAUGUUGAUAGUUCGUUACACUAAUGUUGUUCAGUGUUCAAUAAGACUAGCAGGAGAAAAAGGUGGUGUUGUCCCUGUUGUAUAACCUGGAUAGGGAAAAUGUGCAACCAUCAAUGCAAAAGUUGUAAUUUACGUUUAUAAUUCUUGUAUCCAUAUGUGAUUUGUAGGUCAUGUCAUUAAGGACUGAGAUUGAAGAAGAUAAAAUCUGAGACAAGACGCUUACCAGAGAUUUGACUAUUUGAGAUUAAAAUCAGUGACAUGAUUCAAUAUUAUUCUACUCAGAUUUAACCGAUAGCCACAUAAUUCAUUCACAUUCCAAAGAGAUGCGUUUGAUGAAAAAACUGGCAAAAUUCAAAGGUAGUUCAUGUAUCGGCAGAGCCGCAGAGGCAAUAGUAUCAGCCAUAGUAUUUUGGGUAAAAGAUCGUUCUUCUCAAUCAAAAGGUAUACAAAAAAAAUACAAAUUGUAUGAAUUCGAAAUAGAGAAAAAGCAGACCGACCUUUUUUCCAAUUACAAAGGUAAAAAAGCUACUGACAAACAAACAAGCCAACAAGAGCAACCCAUACUUGUAGGGAGAUCAAAUAAAUAAAAUAAACAACUGGGUUAAAUGACAACAAGACCACAAGAACAAACAAAUUCAGAAUCCAGUAAUCAGAUUUGUUGGGAGAGUUUUAGCCAAAUCAUGUAACAUAAUUUACGAUUAUGACCUUUUUCAUUGAUCAGAGUUAAAGGGCUUUGGAGAUCCAUUCCGAUACUGCGGCUUGAGUGUCCGAAUCAAUAUUUGGAAGUAGAGACAAUGGAGUCACAGAAACCUGCCAUUGCCAAAAGGAAGUAAUUUAGAAUCCAGGUAUAUUUUCCUUAGAAAUAUCUAGAGACUUAAGACUUUAACCAAACAAAAUGUUUCAUGAUGAGCGCAAGUUUUGAUUCAGAAAAGAGCAGGAUGCAGAAAAGGAGAAUGAAUGAAUGAUACAAAAAAGAGUAUGAUCAUGCCAACUUACGAAACCAUCUUCUAGAGCCUUGACAUCCAAAUCUUCAUCUGUGUGUUCUUGUUCUUUAGCAAGUAACUGCAAAUAUAUAUAAGUCGGAAUCAAAAACACAGUGGUAGACACUGAUUAUCCAAAGGAUUUGUGAAGAGAACGGUUCAAGUUUUCUUUACCUCUAGACGAAAGAAUUUCUUAACACGGGUAUCAGUUUUACCAGCAACACCAACCGAUUCAAUCUCCACAAUACUCUUCUUCUGAGUGGUAAAACGACGAGCUGCCCCCUGAGAUUGCCAGAUAUCUUAAUAUCAGAGUCGAAUAUACUAAUCUUGGACCUUCUGAACCAACAAUUAAUAUAAAAACAACAAAGUCAGAGGUUUGAAACUCCUGAACAGGAAAUAAACUCACAGCAGCUGAAGCAUCCCUGCCAAGCUGGGCAAGCUGAGCACCUAGACUUUGUUGGUUGGACAUGAAAUUCCCAGCACCAGGGUGACGGUUAGCUGAAACAGCUUGCCAACUAGGACUCUGCCUCCACAUGCUUUGUUUUGUUACCUUGAAACCCUGUUCAUAUGUACACGAAGCAUCAACUUCCCUAUACCAUUGCCUAGUGGAGUGUUGUUAGAGAUACAAACCUUGUUUGAUGAGGGUGAUGUUGGAAUUUCUAUAUUGAGAGAGCAAUCUUUAGGGAAAACGCCUUUUGCAAUGUCUCUGAUAGUUGCGUUUAUCAAAGGUAAGCAGACACCAACAGCAUCCUUAAAGUGACUUUCUUGGCUUUCAUCUUUCUUCCUAUAAUCGAUAUGAAACAUUAUGGCCAACAAUUCCAAAUAUGUAUCAGCACACAUUCGCAUGAUAUACUCACCAGUUCAACGAUAUUGACAAAGAGGGUACUCCAGAAAUCAAAGCCUCCCUGGCUCCAGCAACUGCACCUGAAUAGAACCUGGAGAAUUCUCAAAUCAGGAAACACAGCGGAGACGGCCAGACAAGGAAUAACCAUUUAUAUACAAGACAAAUGCACUUACAUUUGAUGGCCACAGCUUGAACCCUGAUUGAUUCCACUAAUUACCUGAAGAAAAUAAGCAAAGGCACAGAUACAAAAAUUACAAAAUACCAAAAUGUCAUACAGUCAAAUGAUGAGACUGUCAAAAUGCUAACCAGUAAUGGUUUUGACCAAGCAAAAAGCGCUCCAGAUAAUCCUAAUGAGAUGCAGUCCACAGAAGUCCCUGAGACAAAAGAAUAAUUUCAAAUCCUAUGAACAAAAACAGUACUCACACCACAUGUAUUAAAAAAACAAGAUCAAUCAAUCUUCUUGUUUCAACAAAGACUCCAACUUUCACAUUCGAUAUACUUAUUCGUCAAGCUUAUAGAUGUUGUGAACUUCAGAAAACUGUACUAAUAAUCAUUUCAAUCAAAUCCGCAUACCUGAAACUUCAAAGGCUGUGGCACCUUUGAUACUAACAGAGCUUACAGCGAUUGUUUCUCCAGGAGUCGUAGAAUGAGCAGAAGCUGAUUUAUCCCUGCAAAUUCCAAUUCACAGGCCUUGAGACUCACCAAAAGUUCAGAAAUUUAACAAAAAAGAUUAACCAAAACUAAAUAUAAACAAAUCAAAAUCAAAUUAACAAUCAAAAGGAGAAACCUUACGUUUGAGGAGCACAAACAUGAACAUUGUAAAUCCCUUCAAGAACCAAAGCCUCAACGAGAGAAACAAGCCCUGGCGAAUCAAUCCCAUCACCAUUCGUAACUAAAACAAUAGGUCUAGAGUCAUCGAUCUCUUCCUCCACCGCCGCAACAUCAACGGAAUCAGAUGUAGACGGAGCCUCCUCCGCCGAUCCAUCGCUCCCAACUUUUUCCUCGUUCCCUACUUUUCUCUUCGAAAGCACAUCUUGGAGAUUCGAAACAAGCGCGGCAGACAAACCAUUGUUCUUCGAGGUCAUCGUAGACAACGAGAGAAGAAACGAAGAUUGAUUUGGGUUUGUGUUGAAAGAAUCAAAAACCCUAACGAGAACACGAAGAAGAAGAAUAACAAAAUUAGAACAGAGAACGGGUCUAAAGGAGUUUUCGUAGAGAGAGAGAAAGAAGAAAAGAGAGAUACUUUAAUUGGUAGAGAGAGAAAGCUUGAAGAAGAGAUUACUUGUGAACUGUAACAAUUUGAGUUUCCUCCGCUUAGAUAGAAGAAGAAGAACAGUGACGCGCAAUUUAUUUUCAGACAAAAAAAACAAUAUAUUAUUAAAAUUCAAUCCGAAAACAUCCAAUAGGAAAUUAGGAAAUGCUUUUUUUUGCUAUGUAAAUAGUUAAUUAUGCAUUAAGACAUAUACUCUAGAUCUUGAAAAAUUAAAAUAUUUUUAUGUAUAUUAAUUGUUUUAAAAUUAAAAUAUUUUUAUGUAUAUUAAUUGUUUUACUCUUACUAUGGUCAAAAAGAUGAAACAUGUUAUAAAUGGUCCACAUCUAAUAAUUAUACAGUUAUCAGAUGUAAUAAGAAGAAUUAUGACAUACAUUUAAAGAUAUUGGAAAAAAAUAGUUUGAACCGACAACAUUAUAGUACCAUGUUGGUUGAAAAUUUUAAAAUGUUAAUUGUUGCUAGAUCAUAUGCUAGUUAAAUAUUUUUUAUUUUUGUCAAAAAUAGCCUUUUGACUUAAUUAAGUUUAGAUGCACUAUGUCAUCAAUUUGCUUUAUUACUGAAUUAGGAUAUACUAGUAAAUUCAAAUUUAUAGUUGAAGGAUAAAAUUAGCAUUUAUAAGUUUGUCUAUUUGGUAGCUUACUCCAACUAAUAAUUAAUUUUCUUAGUUUAUUGUUGCAUAUUAAUGAUUGAUGAUUUAAACCUUUAUUAAGAAUGGUAAACUAUAUUGUAGGAUCUGAAAGUCAACAAACGAAUUGGAAAAUGUCAAAACGAGAGAUGUGGAGUCAUUGUGAUAAUUGUCUUCGUAAUCAUAAAUGUCAAAGGUUUAGCUCCUUUAGUUUUGAACUUUUGAUAAUUGAAGUGAUCGUCACGUCGUGAUAAUUAUUCGAGUAUUCGAUAAUUUUUUACAUUCAUUGUUUAAAGGAAAACAUAAACAUUGACCCAAAAAAAGAGGAAGACACAUCUUAUCAAAAAAAAAGGAAUGCAUAAACCGUUGUAAAGUGAAACGAAUUGGAGUAUUUAUUUGUUUUCACCUUAUCCAUAGUCCGCUUAACGAAUUCAAAAUACUUUUUUGGUUGUCUGAUUAUUUGGGCUCUCUUUUGCUUUUAGUGUUUAGAUCUUUUAACAGUUGGCUACAAACACUUCUAGAACUUUACAGAUAUAAAAUAAUAAUUGAACAAAAUGUAAUUCAAAGUUAAGAAUGGUUCAUUUGUUUUCUUUCAUAUUUGGAUAGACUCUUAUGCAUUGCUAGGAAAAGUGUUGGGCCAAACUUAAGUAGCCCAUAAGGAUGAUGCAAAGUUGCAAACCAAGAAUAAAAAGUCUGCCUAUACGGAGUUACGGACGCCAAACAAUAUUGAAUAUUCCAUAAUACACUGCUUUGACCAAAGAAUUUAAAUUUGUUAUUAUCUAAUAAGUAAUAACCAAUUCACCUUCACUCGUUCGAAAAAUACUAAGUAUUUUUCGAACAACUUUAUAUUAUUUGGAUGGCUCAAAUAAACCAAUCCAAGAAAACAUUAUUUACAUUCGGUUAUUAAAUAGCAUUGGAAUCGCCAAAAUCAUUUUAUAUUUUUAUCCGCUAGUAUUUUUCAUGUUCAGUUAUUCGUCAAAAUCUUAUCAAACUUGUAUUUCACAUUUUGCCAUUUUAAUUUUUUAAAAUACUUACGAAAACUUUUGUAACAUUUUUUAUAUAUCAAUAUUAAAUAUUUAUACCAUUUUCCAAAUUUACUUUUAUAACUUGUCUACUUAAUUACUCUAGUUUGAAUUUUUCCCUGUUUCCGUCUACACGUCUACAAAAGUAAAUUAGUAAAUUUACAGAGAUAUUUUACAACUUUAUCGACAUUUCAAACUAAAAAUCAGAUCAAAUGUUUAGCUUAUGACUCUUUCUUCUUUUGAGUUGGUAAUAGCUCCGACUCUUGCCCUUGAAUAAGAAAACAAUAUAUCCAACGAAAAAAAUUGUAUUUGACUUAUUGAAAAAGCAAGAAGAAAUUGGUCAUGGCACUUUAAAUUGAACUGAUAAUAGUAUAGAUAAUGAAAAAUAUAUAUGGUCGAGAUUAAUUACUGUCAGGCCCGGCUCACUCAUCAGUAAGACCCGGUGCCAUACAAAAAAAAAUCCUAUCUUUAAUAAAAAAUUUAUAUAUAUAUAUUUACAAAAAGUUAUAUUUCAUAAAUUAUUUUGUAUUUUAUAGCUAUUUGGACAUGUUAUUUUUGUUUAUUAAUUUUGGGCCUCAAUAUUACCUUUUAAAAUAAAAUUUUGGGACCUUUACAUAUGAAUAUUUUAUAAAAUUUCAGCAUAAUUAAAUAAUUAAAUAAUAGAAAAACUAUGAAUUUGGACCUUAAAUUUGUUGGACCCGGUGCAAAUGCACCACUUGCACAUGCCAAUAACCGGCCCUGAUUACUGUUCGUACGGUCGACGAACAUUUGACUCGGGAAAGUAUAGUAGCAUACGUUACGUACGUUGCGAACUCGAUGACUACAUGUCUACAUUGUCUACAACGACAAAACGUAUAAAAUAUGUUAGAAUCUUUCAACGGCGAAUAUUUUCAGCAAACAAAACGUUUUUAUUAAGAGAAAUUGUUAAAAAUGCUUCUUUUUCAAUACCGUUUUCAAAAAUACCUCUUUUGAGAGUCCAUUUUUAAGUUUGCCCUUUUUUAAUUUUUAAUGACCAUUUUACCCUUAUUUGAAACAAAAUUAGGUCCACAAAAUACAAAAUAUUUUUUGGAAGGAAAAGUGAUCCCGCAAUUUUCCCGCUAAAACACUUGUAAAAGCCUUUAAAAUAUCUUGUAAAAUUUUCCCGCCAAAAAUUUAACGCCAAAAAAAUUGCGGAAUCACUUUUCCCGCAAAAAAAUUUUUUGGCGGGAAAAAAUUUUACGGAAAAAUUUUACAAGGUAUUUUAAAGGUUUUACAAGUUUUUACAAGUGUUUUGGCUGGAAAAAUUGCGGGAUCAAUUUUCCCGCCAAAAAUAUUUUGUAUCUUGUGGACCUAAUUUUGUUAUAUUUUCUUAUAUAUUUGUGAUAUCUUUUAUUAAAAGAAAGGUAAUUUAGUCAUUUUAUACAUAAAAAGGGGUAUUUUUAAAAAUGGACAGCCAAAUGGGGCAUUUUUGAAAAAAGUAUUGAUAAAGGAGCAUUUUUGUGAGUCUCCCUUUUAUUAAUUCUAAGAUACAAAUCAAGGUACACAAAUCUUCAGAAUCUGUGACGUUGCAUGCAUGUGUUAUACAAAAAAAUUAAAUAAUCACUUUAGAAUAUAUGAUUGCAACAAAAACAAUUCCAAGAUUUUAUCCAAAAUUAUUUUUUCAACUUUAGGAUGGUUAUUAUAUUGGCGUUUACACGUAAACAUGUCUCCAGAGGUAGAACAAUUCGCUGGUGAAUUAAAAGAUAAACUCGGUUUAUAAGCGUAAAUUUCCCGUGAUCUAGCAGGAUGUACGAUGCGUCAUGGACUGCGUCAUGGACCAUGCCUUCAAAAAUAUCUUUUUUUUUUUUUUUUUUUUUAAUUUUUUUUUUUUAAAUUUAUUAUUAUAAAGAAAACUGUUACAAGACAGUAUGAUAGUAAUCGUACAAUUCAACAAAGCGGCAAUGAGUAACAAAGCACAACAAAAGAUGCCAAAGCAUGACAACUAUCGAGACAAUAAACGAUUAGAAACAUGAAUCGAUUAAAUGGGUUCAGCCAAACCCACCUCGUCGACCCCGAUUCCCUCGACCGCGUCUUCCCCCUCCUCUUCCUCCACGACCCAUAUUUAUUGCCUUGAUCGGCAAUUGCAACGGUCUGUCAUGUAGAUAUUUUUCUGAAAAUGAUGACUUAAGAUUCAAAAUGAGAUCCUCAUCUGAAUCAUCCGACCCGGAAGAAAAAUCUCCUUCUGAAUCAUCUGGCAGUACCACAUCCGAUGCUAAAUCGAGCACUGCAAAUUUAUUUGAACUAGAAGCUUUGCGAAAAGAAUUAGCACUAGAUUGGACAACUGAAGCCGAGGUAGUGAUAAUUGAAAAAACCUUUGCGGGAGUAGCCAUCACAUUCGUGUCUGAAGAAGGCAGCUCCUUCGCUUCUGAAUAAUGAACGACAUCCACAUUCUUACUUGCAUCAAUAACUGCUACUGAACCCAAGUCAAUGGCAGCUCCUUCAUUCGGGAUUGAAGAGGAGAGAAACUCGGUGUUAGGUUCUACUACAUCAGUAAUCCACUGAGAUUUGCCUUUGCUCUUUGCGUGUCCAGAGGAUUUUUUUUUCCUGGGACAAUUUUCUGAAGAGUGGGAAGAAGACUUACAAUCCAGACAAGUGAUGGGUGCAGUGGGACACCGGCGGAUGUUGUGACCAACUUGGUUGCAAUGGGAGCAAAUCGGAGGGAGCCAAGGGCAAGAGACAUCCACCCUAUGGAUUUUUCCAGACUCAAACUGGACAUUCACAGCUUUAGGGAGAGGCUUAGUAGGGUCAAUAAUAGUAAAGACCUUACCCACUUCCAAGUUAGUCAUGUUGACAGUAGAUGGAUGGCAGAAGAGGGGAUGGCCAAGCAUACCAGCGACGUGUUCGAAACCUUCUUCAGAAAAGAAAUGAGGGGGAACUCCACGGAAUUCCAACCAAACAGGAGCUUCUGUAAGUUCUGGCAUUUCAGGAUUAAGGCCAGGUUCCCAUUCAGCAACAAACAUACUUUGUCCCUCAAUGUGCCAAAUCCCUUGACUAAGAACGCGUUUUCGAGUCGUUGGGCAAGGAAUUCUGAUAAGGACCGACUUUGCACCUAAACGGGAAACAGUGAUAUCACGGUACCGAUUACUCCAAAUUCCGUUGAAGAUAGCAUGAAGAGCACCCCCAGAGGGAAGGUUACCAUUGAAUUGACCAAUAAUGAAAGAUUCCCAUCUUUUGAGGUUACGAGUGAUUAAUUCAUUAGGGAUCUGAACACAAAGUUCACCAGAUUCAAGCAGAAACGGAGACCCUUUCUUUACCAUCUUACUCGAAGAAGGUCCUUUCACAACGUCAACCCAGGGACUUUUGAGAAUAGGUGAAGCUGAGUCAACCGGUGAGGAAGAGUCAAUAUCCAGAAGCUGGGCUUUGGAUCCAGGUUCAGGGAUCUUAGAGUUAGUAGCCGAACUCGCAGCAACAUUUGUUUCAACAACAAAAACAGGAGCAGUCACAGAUCCCGUGAUUGGAGGACCCAACGUUACCGUAGUAGAAACCACAGGAGAAGCCGGAGGAAUCGCAGACGAACCAGAGGCCACCGGAGAAGCCACAAGCGAAGCCGGAGGAUUCGAACCAGAAUCCACCGGAGACGCAGAGGAAACAGAAGGCGGCGGAGGAACACGAGAAGGAAUCGAAGUUGGAACAGCGGUGGGAGGGAGCUUAGGAGGAGGUUUCUUCGGCGGGGACCGCUGAGACUUCCCCAUCGGAAAGAGAGAAAGCCGCCGCCGGGAACGGCAACGGUGGAUUCGAAGCUAUUAGGUUUUGCUUUAAUCGCCCUUUAAUCGCCCAUUAAUCGCCCUUCUUUUCUGCCUUCAAAAAUAUCUUAUGCCAUGCAAAUAUAAUGGACAUUUAAUUUAUUUAAUUGUAUUUUAUUUUAAUAUGUGGUUUGCAUUUUUUAUUUUUGAAAACAAAAACAACAAUAUACAUAUAUAUAUAUAUAUAUAUAUAAUAUAAUUGUUAAAUUUCCAUGAAAUGAUUAAGCAAUACAUACACCACAGAAAACUAAACUCAACUUCUUCUUAGCUAAGCAGCAUAGAACUCAGAGUGGGCGGCUGGACUUAUCUAUAAUAAAAAUUUGAGUACCUCUAACGAAUAAAUUGGAGAUAUUCUUAUAGUUUUACCCUAAUUAUGAUCAUCAAACAAUUAGAAAAGUUUCUUGGAAAUGUAAUGGUAAUUUCAUUACCGUAAAUUGUUUUUCUUUCUUCCUCACUUUUUUUUUUUUGUCAAACUUCUUUAGAAGUUAUUAGAAUCCUCCUCUAUAAAAAGCAAACUUAAGUACUUAACUCGUUGCUCCCUUUUAAUACACUUGCUAAAUGCUCUCAAACUCAAAAGCCCAAUAAAGAGAGUAAAACAAAACAAAACAAAAAAGCAUGAACACGAUCUUAAAAAACUUAUCGUGUUUUAAGAAAAAGGUUAAAUCUUUACGAAUAUUCGAAUCCAGGUCACUAUCUUCUUCGUCUUCUUCCUCAUUCACUCCUCAAAUAUUCGACGUUUUUCUAAGCUUCAGAGGCAAAGAUACUCGCAAGAACUUCAUCAGUUUUCUCCACAAGGAGCUAGAAUCAAAAGGGAUUCGAACUUUCAAAGACGACACGGAACUAGAGAGAGGCCGUCCGAUUUCGCCGGAGCUUCUCCAAGCAAUCAAAGGGUCGAGAAUCGCCGUCGUUGUGGUCUCUGUGAAUUACCCUGAUUCAUUCUGGUGUCUCGAAGAACUCAAGGAGAUUUUGAAACUUGAGAAUCAGGGUUUGCUCACUGUGAUACCCAUUUUUUAUGAGAUUGAUCCUUCAGCCGUGAGGAGACAGAUCGGAGUAGUCGCGAAACAGUUCAAGAAGCAUGAGAAGAGAGAAAGCAAAGAAAGAGUCAAAUCGUGGAAGGAAGCCUUGAACAAAUUGGCUAACCUCUCCGGCGAAUGUUCAAAGGAUUGGUAAAAUCUCCUAAACCUUACAGAUUUAUGAACCAGGUCGAGAAUUUCAGAUCUAUAUCUGUUGAAUCGUUUCUCAAAGUUACGAUUUUUGUCUCUGUUUCUCAAAGUUUCGAGUUUUAUCUCUGUUUCUCAAAGUUAGGAUCUUUGUCUCUGUUUCUCAAAGUUAGGGUCUUUGUCUCUGUUUCUCGAAGUUUCGAUUUUUGUCUCUGUUCCUCAAUGUUAGGAUCUUUGUCUCUGUUUCUCAAAGUUAGGAUCUUUGUCUCUGUUUCUCAAAGUUAGGGUCUUUGUCUCUGUUUCUCAAAGUUUCGAUUUUUGUCUCUGUUUCUCAAUGUUAGGAUCUUUGUCUCUGUUUCUCAAAGUUAGGAUCUUUGUCUCUGUUUCUCAAAGUUAGGGUAUUUGUCUCUGUUUCUCAAAGUUAGAGUCUUUGUCUCUGUUUCUCAAAGUUUCGAUUUUUAUCUGUUUUUCAAAGUUAGGGUCUUUGUCUCUGUUUCUCAUGGUUAGGAUCUUUGUCUCUGUUUCUGUUUUAGGGAAGAUGACUCGAAGCUGGUCGACGGAAUUACUGAGAAGAUAUCAAAAAAGUUGUUCUCGGAAAAACCAAGGAAUGAUAAUAUCCUAAUUGGGAUCGACCAACACAUGGAGGAAUUGUAUCCACUACUUAAUCUGAAUUCCAAUGAAGAUGUUCGUGUAAUUGGGAUUUGGGGAAGAGGAAGUAUUGGUAGAUCAGCACUAGCAAACCACGUUUACCAAAACAUCAAACAUCACUUCGAAGCUCAUUGUUUUCUCGAAGACGUGAGACGGAUUUCACUACAUUGCCGCAAAUCUCAUUUACAAGAUGAGCUUCUUUCGAAGAUGCAAGGAGAAGGUUUGACAACAAAGAGCUGCCGUAGGUGUCUUAAGACGAUUAAAGCAAGGCUCAGGAACAAGAAGGUUCUUCUUGUGGCGAACGAUGUAGACAAGCUCGAACAAUUCGAUGCACUAGCUGAAGAAUUUAGCUGGUUUGGUCCUGGGAGCAGAAUCAUCAUUACCACACAAGACAGGCAAUUGCUUGUUUCAUCAGUGGUGAGGAGUGUCUACGAAGUUGAGCUGUUGAGAUGCUACGAAGUUCGUCAGCUCUUUAGGUCAGAUGCCUUCAAAGAAAGAGACGAUCCUGUUGGUUUCGAGCAGUCUACAUAUCGAGCCAUGUAUAUUUCAGGUCAUGUUCUUUUGACCUUGAGAUAUAUUUUCACUUUGUUGUGUGACAGAGAUCAACUCAGAGAAAGAAUAAAUGCAAUAGUACAUAGUCUUUAGAUUCAUUUGAUUUUAAAUACAAAGUGUAGAUUUAGAGGUCAAAUAAGAUAGUGUUUAGAUUCAGGAAUAUUAAAUUGAAGUGUUUAUUUGUUCCUUAGUUCUUAACAUGUUAAGCCAUUUUGUACAUCUUGUAUGUAAUACAGUUCUCCCUUAAAAGAAAUAAAGAAAACACCAUUUUUUAUAGAUUUGUCUGUACAAUUGGGGUCUUUAAAAUUUAGAACAGGAGACACAAAGUUACAGGUCUAAAGCAGACAGGAAAAAGCUUUGCUUUUGCCCUUUACAUGAUUUGUCCUCUAAUACUACUUACAGUAAUACUGGUCAAAGCCACUGACAAAUUUCUCGCCUCUUUCCUCAUAAUGAGAAACUCUCAUCUGCUUUUCUGAUUUAUGCUUUUUGGGGGUACUUGGAAAGUUGGAAGAUUCACUCACAGGCAGACACUAAUGAAAAUGUGAGCCUUUUAUUUUUGGUCAACUGAUGGAUUUUUAUAUAAGUUAGAACUUAGAACAUUAAAAACAAACUUGAGAAAAGUCUCCAAAAAGUCAUGACCAAGGAGUAUAGAACUCACUAAGCUACUAGUCGACCCACUAAACUAUGAGUCAACUGGCCUUCACAAAAGAAAGAACCUCCUAACUGAGCCAUACACUAGAAACAAACCAGCAUAAAGAGGAAAACAAUCUCUCAUCAAGAAAGAGACCUGCAAGCCAAAAAGGAUAGCUACAAGCAACAUAAGAAUUAAGACGAGAAUCCUUAGUGACACUUUGUGCGAUGAGAGAAGCUUCUUUAUUCGAUGUCUCGGAGUUUCCACAGCCAUUCUCCAUUCCAAAAUAAAACUCAAUAUCGACAAUAUUUGAGAUGACUGAAACCUGAAAGCAGGCCCUUCUCAAAAUUGUAAUGGACCUUCUGCCCAAACCUAAAAAAAAUUCAAAUCUUAGCUAGAAAUUAAAAAAUAUGGACUCUUUUUACAGAAUUUUAAAAAUUUAGGACUUUUUUAUCUAAAGAAAAUUUAGAAAGAAAAAAAAAAAAAGACCCCAGCACAUGCCCUAUGACGGGCCUGCGUGAAAGAUGGGCAAGCUUGAGGCCAACUAGAACUACAUUCUCUACAACGAAGACAACUCAUUUUACUCUGUGGCUAACCAUAUUCUCCCCCGCCUAGACAAUGCAAAGAAAAUGGGCUUCCGAUUUAGUUUUAAAGUUUGUGAACGCCCGACGACUAUAUAUGCUACAAAACAUGUCAUGAUUCCUCUCUUAGAUGUAAUAACCUUGAUGUAAUCUAUUCGUUUAAACUUGUAAUUGUUUUUUAAAUUAUCCACAUCAAUCAUCUUUGACUCAGUUGUAACCAUUCGUUUGAUCGAUAAUACAAAAAACAGUUGAAUCUUCAACCAAUCACCACUAAAUUGCAAAACACCAGAAAAGUAAGAGGAUGAUUUUUGUUCGUUAAUAUUUUAUCCAUGUUCAUUUUCUUAUUUUGGCGGCCCAUCUUAUCUUUCUGAGUAGUCGAGUGAAACAGAAGCUGACAGAAGAAAAAAAAUAGAGAAAAUGCGAGGAAAUAUACAUUUAGCAGGAAGACUCAUUAGGUCAACUCCUCUAGUGUUAGUGUGCCUAUAAAUAUCAUUUUGAGUUAUUAUUCAUAGAGAAUCAGAAAUCAAAAUGACUUCUGCUACUGCGACUAAGUACGAUGUUUUUCUGAGUUUCAGAGGACUCGACACUCGCCGCACCUUCAUCAGCUUUCUCUACCAAGAACUGGCUCGAAGGAACAUUCGAACUUUCAAAGACGACAAAGACCUGGAGAAUGGCCAGAGGAUUUCGCCGGAGCUCAAACGAGCCAUCGAGGAGUCGAGAUUCGCCGUCGUUGUUUUCUCCGAGAACUACGCUGCGUCUCCUUGGUGUCUCGAAGAGCUCGUGAAGAUCAUGGAUUUCGAGAACAAGGGUUCCAUCACCGUGAUGCCCAUCUUCUACGGCGAUACCUGUAGAAUGUGAAUAUGUAAAGGGUAGAUUAGUCUUUGUUUAAUCCCUAAUUAGCUUAUGAUUCUCCUUAUAUAUAUUGUAACAUGUAAAUCUAAAUCAAUAAGACAUUCUCAAACCUAUAUGGUAUCAGAGCUACGAUUCUCUUAACAAUAGCCGUCACACUUUCAAAUCUCAUUUCUCUUUCAAAUCGCCAUGGCUUCCUCUCCGGCCUCCUCCUCCGACACUGUGAUCACGACGGCCGACUCGCACACUGUCCUCAAUGUCAAUAUGACAAACGUCACCAAACUCACCGAUCUCAAUUUUCUAAUGUGGAGCCGUCAAGUUCACGCGAUGCUCGAUGGCCAUGGUCUCGCCGGAUAUGUUGAUGGCUCCAUCGUCGCACCACAGCCUACCAUCACCACAGAUGGUACCACCACCGUUAAUCGUGAGUUUACUAAAUGGAAGAGACAAGAUAAGCUCAUCUACGGUGCCUUACUUGGUGCGAUCUCCGUCAAUGUCCAGCCAAUUCUCUCUACGGUUGACACAUCUGCUGCGGCUUGGGAGAAGCUAGUGGAUACAUACGCUAAGCCUAGCCGGACUCACAUUCUCCAACUGCGACAACAAAUCAAACACUGGAAGAAAGGUUCCAUGUCGAUCAGCGAGUACGUACGGGGCUUUACCACACGAUUUGAUCAGUUGGCAUUACUCGGUGCUCCCUACACCCACGAAGACCAGAUUGAUUUUGUUCUUGAGGGUCUCCCGGAUGAAUUUAGGCAGGUGCAGGAUCAGAUUGCAAGCCGUGAGAGAGCUCCAUCGAUCACGGAGCUUCAUGAGAAGUUGAUUAACCAUGAGCUUAAACUUCAAGCACAAGCAUCCGUUGACUCAUCCUCUCUACCAAUCACAGCAAAUGCUGUUAACUAUCGAGGCAACGGUGGCAACAAGAACAACAAUGGCAACAACUAUCGCCAACAGCAACAACGUUUUAACAACAAGCCGAAUCAGCCUUGGCAACAAAACCAACAAUACCGACCACGCAAUGAUCAGCAGUCGCGUGGCUAUCAAGGUAAAUGUCAAAUUUGCGGUGUGUUUGGUCAUAGUGCUCGCCGUUGUUCGCAACUUCAAAUUUCUGGUGGUACUAUGUCAUCUUCGAGUCACUACUCAUCGCCUCCCAACCAAUAUUCGCCGUCUCCUGUUCCGUGGCAGCCUCGUGCUAACAUGGCCAUGGCGUCAUCAUCCUCAUACAAUCCCAAUCCUUGGAUUCUUGACAGUGGAGCAACUCAUCAUCUCACCACGGAUUUGAAUAAUCUCGCUCUACAUCAGCCUUACAAUGGUGGAGAAGAAGUCACCAUUGCUGAUGGCUCUAGUCUUCCGAUCUCGCACACUGGUUCAUCUAAUCUCUCUACCCCUACUCGUUCCCUAUCCUUGACUGAUAUACUUUAUGUGUCAAAUAUUCAUAAAAAUCUUAUCUCCGUUUAUCGCUUGUGUAAUACUAAUAGAGUAUCUGUUGAAUUCUUUCCUGCGCAUUUUCAGGUGAAGGAUCUCAGCACGGGGGCCCGAUUACUCCAAGGCCGAACUAAGGAUGAGCUUUACGAGUGGCCCGUCAAUCCAAACACUCCCAUCUCAUUUUUCGUCUCUACAACUCUAAAAACAUCUCUACCAUCGUGGCAUUCUCGACUUGGUCACCCGUCUUUUUCUAUUUUGCAAUCUCUUGUUUCUCAAUUUUCUUUACCGCUUUCUCAUUCUUCACAAAAACAGUUUCCUUGUUCUCAUUGUUUCAUCAAUAAAAGCCAUAAACUACCAUUUUAUUCAAACACAAUUACUUCUCAAAAACCUCUUCAAUACAUUUAUACCGAUGUGUGGACGUCACCAAUAAUCUCUGUGGAUAAUUUCAAAUAUUAUCUCAUUCUUGUUGAUCAUUACACGCGAUACACAUGGUAUUAUCCGUUGCGACAGAAAUCACAAGUACGGGAGACGUUUAUUGCGUUUAAGAGUCUGGUGGAAAAUCGAUUUCAAUGCAAGAUCCAAACACUCUAUUCCGAUAAUGGUGGUGAGUUUGUUGCUCUCCGACAAGUACUAGCGGCUCAUGGCAUUUCCCAUUUGACGUCACCUCCACAUACACCGGAGCACAACGGUAUUUCGGAACGCAAGCAUCGUCAUAUCGUGGAGACUGGGCUCACAUUGCUCCAUCAAGCUUCCAUUCCUACGACGUAUUGGACUUACGCAUUUGCAACGGCGGUGUAUCUUAUCAAUCGUCUACCAAGUCCGGUGAUCAACAACACCUCUCCGUAUGCAAGGUUAUUUCAACAACCACCAAAUUAUCUAAAACUCCGAGUGUUUGGGUGCUUGUGUUUUCCAUGGCUUCGCCCGUAUACGAGUCAUAAAUUGGAGAGCCGCUCCCUGCCGUGUGCGUUUCUAGGCUACUCCAUCACUCAAAGCGCUUACUUGUGUCUUGAUCAACGAACUGGCUGCAUCUACACCUCUCGCCAUGUAAGGUUUAUGGAAGAUCAAUUUCCGUUCUCGUCAGCCACCAAUCAAAUAGCCUCCUCGUCCGAACCAGAAAAUCUUUCACCACAAAGUCACUCACCUCCAACAUACAUUACACUCCCUCAUCCGCCACUCGUAAUAGCCCCUUCGCCCCCGAGCACGGAUCCUCACCCUCCGCCACCGCCACCUGCUCCGGUCCCAGCGCCGGACUUCACUCUUGAGUCACCAAGGCAAGAAUCAUCUUCGUCUUUGUCACUCUCGGGUGAAGCUGCAGGUUCAGGUAAUGUAAAUUUGGGCUCAGGAAUUAAUUCAACAAAUACUCAUGGUAUUUCGCAGGCCCAAACGGACUCAGAGGCCCAACAGUCACCAAACCAUUCACACAGCCCAACCCGAUCCAACAACUCUUCCUCCUCAAAUCCAGCAGCUUCAUCAUCGUCAUCUUCCUCCGAAAACCUGCAACCACACCCAAAUUCACCGCAACCUGCAUUCACAAAUCAACACCCAAUGAGAACCCGAGCCAAGAAUCAUAUCACAAAGCCAAAACAAAAGCUCUCUCUCACAGCCACCAAAAUCCCGACCAAACCUUAUAUCCCUAAUACCGUGAAUCAGGCCUUGCGAGAUCAGAAGUGGCGUGAUGCGAUGAGUGAAGAGAUGAAUGCACAAAUUCGCAACAAUACAUUCGAAUUGGUGCCACCAAGUCCACACCAGAAUGUCAUAUCCACAAAAUGGAUUUUUACUCUAAAGUAUCUUUCUUCUGGUGUCCUUGACAGGUAUAAAGCUCGGUUGGUGGCGCGAGGCUUCAAUCAACAAUAUGGGAUCGACUAUGCAGAAACAUUUAGUCCUGUUGUGAAAUCGCUCACAAUUCGCCUAGUGCUACAACUUGCAGUCUCUCGUUCGUGGGAUAUCAAGCAAUUGGACAUAAACAAUGCAUUCCUUCAAGGAACUCUCACUGAUGAAGUCUAUGUUUCUCAACCACCCGGGUUCAUUGACAAAGACCGUCCACAUUAUGUAUGCAAGCUGAAGAAAGCUCUUUACGGAUUGAAACAAGCUCCGCGCGCGUGGUAUCAAGAACUCAAGACUUUUCUUUGUACCACGGGAUUCUCUAAUUCACUUGCUGAUACUUCGGUGUUUAUUUAUAUCCAAGGAGCUGACAUUGUCUACAUUUUGGUAUACGUUGACGAUAUUAUCGUCACGGGUUCAAGACAAAGUCUCAUCUCUCAAUUCAUCACCAACUUGGCCAACCGGUUUUCGUUGAAGGAUCCAAAGAAUUUGUCUUAUUUCUUGGGUAUUGAAGCUACUCGAACAACACAUGGCCUACAUUUAAUGCAGCGGAGGUAUGUCUUUGAUUUGCUGGUCAAAAUGAAUAUGAUUGAUGCCAAUCCUGUUUCUACUCCAAUGGCGCCAACUCCAUCAUUGACUCUAAUGUCGGGAACAUUACUUGAUGAUCCCAAAGAGUAUCGAACAGUGGUAGGCAGCCUUCAAUAUUUGGCUUUCACACGGCCUGAUAUAGCGUACGUUGUCAAUCGCUUGUCGCAGUUCAUGCAUCGCCCCACUGAUUUACAUUGGAACGCGGUAAAACGGGUAUUAAGAUAUCUCGCUGGAACAACGUCUCAUGGGAUUUAUCUGAAUGCUGCUUCACCACUUACUCUUCAUGCGUUCUCGGAUGCGGAUUGGGCACGAAAUACCGAUGAUUUCGUCUCCACCAAUGCUUACAUCCUCUAUCUCGGAAAAUCACCAAUCGCGUGGUCGUCAAAGAAACAAAAGGGUGUAGCUCGCUCCUCUACCGAGGCUGAAUAUCGCGCCGUCGCUAAUACUGCUUCCGAGAUCAUAUGGGUCUGCUCUCUUUUAUCCGAGCUUGGUGUCAUCCUAUCAUCUGUUCCAAUCAUCUAUUGCGAUAAUAUUGGCGCCACAUAUCUCAGCGCAAACCCGGUCUUUCACUCAAGAAUGAAGCACUUGGCGUUGGACUAUCACUUCAUCAGAGAUAAUGUUCAAUCCGGAGCUUUACGGGUAGCUCAUGUCUCUACCAAGGACCAGUUAGCGGACGCUCUUACGAAGCCGUUAGCACGAUCUCGAUUCCAUGAACUAUUUGACAAGAUUGGAGUGACUAAACCCCCUCCAUCUUGCGGGGGCGUGUAGAAUGUGAAUAUGUAAAGGGUAGAUUAGUCUUUGUUUAAUCCCUAAUUAGCUUAUGAUUCUCCUUAUAUAUAUUGUAACAUGUAAAUCUAAAUCAAUAAGACAUUCUCAAACCUAUAAUACCAUCCUAUCCUUUUAUUACCUUGUUUUCCUUUACAAUCGUGUAGAAGCGAGCUUCUUGGCAAAGAGUUUUGUGCUUAAUUUUGUGGAAUCUUCUGAACAUUGGCCUUUAAAAAGAGAGACAUUUCUGCUGCGUUGGCAAAGAGUGGGCUUCUUGGCAAAGAGUGGGUUUUGUGUAGAACAACGAAUUUUGCCACGGAAUGUUUUGGUUGUCAAAGUAGUAGAAUCAGUUUAAUAAGUUAAUAUCCUGCCCUUAGUCAUAUGCAUUAAGUUAACUAAACUUAAUAAGAUGUAUGGCUUAGAAAUAAGAUGUUUUUGUCUAUUUUUGGAGUUGCUUAGUGUGUAGAAAAAUAUCACUCUUCAUUGGAUUAAAAAUAUACAAUUUUGUAUUUUAUAAAUCAAAUCUGUGUAUUUAGUUAUAACCUAAAUGUUGUGUUUCUCUUUCUAGUCUCUUAAGAAAGCAAGUCUAUUUUUUUUCUUAAAAACAAAGUUUGUAUAAUUUCUUGGGAUUCCCAUGACCAUAUGUUCUUUGAAUACCCGAAUUCUCAAAGGCAGUUUGGUUGUCCCUCGCAUCUCAUGUUUUCCAUAGCCCUCCUCUGCACUUGCUGAAGAAGUUAAAUGGUUUAGUUUUGGAAGCAGAAUCAUCAUAACACAAGACAUGCAAUUGCUUAUUUCAUCAGUAGUGACGAGUGUCUACGAAGUUGAGCUCUUGAGAUGUUACGAAGUUCGACAGCUCUUUAGGUCAGAUGCCUUCAAACAUAGAGAUGAAUGAUGAUCAUGUAUGUUUCGAGCAGUCUACAUAUCGAGCCUUGAAUCUUUUAGGUCAUGUUUAUUUGACUUUGAGAAAUAUAUUCACUUUGUUGUGUGAAAGAGGUCAACUUUAAGAAAGAAUAAAUGCAAUAGUAUAUAGUCUUUAGAUUCAUUUGAUUUAUUUAGGUCUAAUCAGUUGUUUAGAUUCAGGAAUAUUAACUUGAUGUGUUUGUUUGUUCCUUAGUUUUUAAGAAUCUUAGCAUCUCCAAUGGUGUAUCUUAGGUGAUUCUUAGCAAAAAAUCUUAGAUUAAAAUACUUGAAAAUAAAACAAAACUCUGUAAAUUGCUAAGAAGUGCUAAGAAGUAUAUCUAAGCUAAGAUUUUUUUGGUGUGUUAAGAAGUGAUGACGUGUCGAGUGGUGGUUUGUCUGAGAAAUGAACAAAAUGAAAAAAAACAAAAUCCCGUGUUUUUGUUUCUUCUCUGACUCCGUCGACUCUCUCUCUAUGUCUCUCUAUUCUUCGACUCCUCCGACAGCGAAAUCUCUCCGAUGCUUUUGAUCCGCCUCAGAUCUCUCGCUCUUUCGUCUUCUUCUUCUUUCCGAUUUGCACAUCGUCCUCUGUCAUCGAUUUCACCGAUAAAGUUACCGAAUUUUCGUGCUUUCUUUGGUACCGCAAUGACAGAUACUAAAGAUGCUGGUAAGGAUGCUGUUCAGAGACGUCUCAUGUUUGAAGACGAGUAAGUCUUUUCUUUGAUUUCUUAUUCUCUCUACUUUGAUUUCAAUUUUUGGGUGUUGCCAAAAUUUUACAUUUUUCUUUUAAGUCGUAUUCACGAACCUGGUUUGUCUUCAUCGUUGGGUCACUGGGAAAAUGGAAAGAAAAUUGACCAAGUUAGGUAACUGGAUUUGGAGUUUUUUCGAUUAACAAUGAUUUAGGAACUUGGGUCUGUUGAUUUGUCGACUUUGAUGUAAUAAAAAAUGAGUUUUGGAUUUAGUACUUGUUAGGGCCAUCUUUUAUGGUAUCUUCUGUGAAAGGUGUCAUUGUUUUUAGGAGGAACAUAGUCAUGUUUAGCUAUGUUCACAGGUUUUUGGCCAACAAUAGAUUCUUCGGAUAUAUAUUUUUGUAUCUCUCCUUUUAGACAAUUUUCUGAUCAUAAUGAUUGAUUUUUUUGCUAUGAUGGAAGUGUUUCCUCUAAGAUUUUUAGGUUUCUUGAUGCAUAGUACAAGAAUCUAUACGAUCUCUCCACCUUAAUUUAGUGAUUUGAUUCUUCGUUUUCAAUCUUGCUUGCAGAUGCAUUCUUGUUUAUCGUUCUCCUAUGACUGAAGUCAUUGAACUUAGCUACAGUUGGGGGAUCAAGAAUUGAUAUAGCGUGGGUGAUUUGAUUUAAUGUUGAUCUAGCUAGCACCUUUGAGUGUCCAUGAAAUGUCUUAGGUCUCUCCGUGAAUGUGAACAUACUAAAAUGAUAGGAGGGCUGUUUAAUCUCUGUCUAUUCCCUUGUUCAAGAUACUGAUACCUUUUCAAAUUUGCAGGUCAUCUGAUGGCUGUUCUCCUCUGUUUCUCUCUGUGACAUCUUCCCCUCUGUUUCAAUGAUGAUACUAGCAAUUCUUUAAAUUCUCCUUUGUAAUGUGUUUUACUCAUUGUUACUUGUAUUGUAAGACAAUGUUUUACAACACUUUGAAUUUUUUUUUUCUUAAGAACCCCUUGAUUCUUAACCAUUGGAGUAGUAAUUUGUUAAGAUCUUCUCUAACUUUUCUUAGCUCCAAAACAGUGAAAUUUUAAUUUAAAAUAAGGCUAAGAUUCAAGGUUAAGGUUAAGAAGAAAGAACCUUCUAAGAACAUAUGCAAUGCAAGUCUCUCAACUACAAAAAUAAUAAAAUAACAAAUAAUAAUAUUAAAUUAUAUGAGUCUCUCUAAAGAGAAGAGCGAGUCUCUCAUAGUCUCUCCCAUCCAUACACUAGAAACAAACCAUUAUAAAGAGGAAAACAAUCUCUCAUCACUAAAGAGACCUGCAAGCCAAAAAGAAUAGCUACAAGCAACAUAAGAAUUAAGACGAGAAUCCCUUAGUGACAUUUUGUGCGAUGAGAGAAGCUCAUGUAUUUGAUGUCAGAGUUUCCACAACCAUUCUCCAUUCCAAAAUUAAAUUCAGCAUUGACAAUAUAUGUGAUGACUAAGACCUAAAAGAUGGCCAAGCUUGAGACCAAUUAACCACUCCAACUAGAACCACAUCCUCCACAACAAAGACAACUCUGUUUACUAUGUGGCUAACCAUACUCUCCACCGCCCAGACAAUGCUAAGAAAAUGUGUUUCCAAUUUAGUGGAGUUGUAACUGUUAUGCAUCAGAAGAUAAGAGGUAAAACUCCACUAGAAUCUUCGAAAGGAAAACCUUAAUUUUUGGUUCAGUCUUGAGCUUCCAAACUUUAUGUUUUAACUCGUUGGUUGAAGGUUGCACAUUGCUUCAUAGAUCACACCACUCUUAUAAAGCUGAGUAGCCAACCAAUAACCCGAUUUCACGUAGAAAUCUCCACAUUUAAUUUGUUGUUUUUCAAGACUACAAAAUCAUCCAUUGACACCACUAGUUUGUUGCGAUCUUAUAAAGCUGAGUAGCCAAACCAAUAACCCGAUUUAAUUUAGAAAACGUACGUGAGUCAAGCCGAAUAAACUAGAUGCAACCUAUUCGUUUUAAACUUGUAAUUGUUUUUUAAAUUAUCCAUAUCAAUCGUCUUUCUCGUCGACAGUUGACUCAGUUGUAACCAUUCGUUUGAUCGAUAAUCAAACAAACAGUUGAAUCUUCAACCAAUCAAAACCACUAAAUGCCAAAACACCAGAAAAGUAAGAGGAUGGUUUUUGUUCGUUAAUAUUUUAUCCAUGCUCAUUUUCUUAUUUUGGCGGCCCAUCUUUUCUCUACCCUCUUUCGGAGUAGCUUAGUGAAACAGAAGCUGACAGAAAAAUAGAAAAUGCCAGGAAAUGCACACUUAGCAGCAUAAAGACUCUUUAUAGUCAACUCCUCUAGUGGUAGUGGCUAUAUAUAUCCUUGAGAGUUAUUCAUAGAAGAAUCAGAAAUCAAAAUGUCUUGUGCUACUGCGACUAAGUACGAUGUUUUUCUGACUUUCAGAGGACUUGACACUCGCCGCAACUUCAUCAGCUUUCUCUACCAAGAACUGGUUCGAAGGAAGAUUCGAACCUUCAAAGACGACAAAGAGCUGAAGAAUGGCCAGAGGAUUUCGCCGGAGCUCAAACGCGCCAUCGAAGAGUCGAGAUUCGCCGUCGUUGUUGUCUCCCAGAACUACGCUGCGUCUCGUUGGUGUCUCAAAGAGCUCGUGAAGAUCAUGGAUUUCGAAAACAAGGAUUCGAUCACCGUGAUACCCAUCUUCUACGGCGUGGAACCGGCCGGUCAUGUGAGAUGGCAGACCGGAGUUGUCGCUGAACAUUUUAAGAAGCAUGAGAGUAGAGAAAAGCAUGAGAAAGUGCUUCAAUGGAAGCAAGCGUUGGCCGCUUUUGCGCAACUAUCCGGCGAUUGUUCAGGGUAACUUGCUGAUAAAGAUUGAAUUUUUUUUAUUGUUAAGACUUAUUUGAAUCGAUGCUAAACUUUCCUUUUUUUUUUGUCUCUGUAGGGAUGAUGACUCGAAGCUGGUCGCUCACGAGAUAUCAAAAAAGAUGAAGAUUUUUGCAACAAUAAGCAAUGGGAGGAACCUAGUUGGGAUUGAUACACACAUGAAGGAACUUAACAAAAAAUUGGAUUUGAAUUCCAACAAAGGUGUGAGAAUGGUUGGGAUUUGGGCAAGAGGAGGCGAAGGUAGAUCGGCUCUAGCUAAAUAUGUUUAUCAGGACAUGUGUCAACAGUUUGAGAGCCAUUGUUUUCUGGGAAACGUGAAAACGGUUUCUCAGGGUCGACACUCAGCGCAUCUACACCACGAGUUUCUGCAAAAUAUUCAAAGAGAAAACCCUAGCAAACAAACUCUCAAGAACCAAAAGGUUCUGCUUGUGGCAGACGACGUCGAUAAGCUUGAACAGUUAGAAGCUCUUGCAGGGGAUUUCAGCAGUUUUGGUCCGGGGAGUGUUGUUAUCAUCACCACACAAGACAAGCAGUUGUUGACUUCUUAUGGUAUAAAGGAUGUCUACGAAGUAGAGUAUUUGACAUUCCAGAAAGUUUGUCAACUCUUCCGACGACAAUUCGCCUUUAAAAAGAGAGACUUUUUUGCUGCGUUCCAGUGGGCUUUGUGUAGAGCAACGAAUUUUGCCACGGAAUGUUUUUUUAGUACAUCUGGUUAUGGGAAAGUGACAGAUCAAAUUUAAUAAGUUAAAUCCUUCUUAGUCAUAUGCAUUAAGUUAAUAAGCUGUGUGGCUUAGAGAUAAGAUUGUUUUGUUUCUUUUUGGAGUGGGUUGCUUGGGGUGUAGGAGAAUAUCAUUCUUCAUUGGAUUCAAUAAUAUACAAUUUUUUUAUAAAAAAAUUCAAAUCUGUGUAUUAUAGUUAUAAAUGUAAAAUAUACUUUAGAGAUAAAUGUAAAUAUUCCAUACUAAUAUAUGAUAAUCUUCUAGAUCCUUCUUGAUCUUCAUGAUUUCCUUAUUCUUGGGCUUCUCAUCUCGACCGUCGAUUUCGGUUGAUCUCCGGUUCAACCAAUACCCCCCGGCAAGCUCAUACGUGGUAACACGUGUGAGAUUGGACAAAUCUUAAAAAUAGCGGCUUUAUACCCGGCCAUCGGGUCAUCAUCGACGUUUAUACCCGGUCGUAGGGUCAAAGCGGCUACAAAACCCAGCCGUUAGGUCAUUGACGUUUAUACCUGGUCGUGGGGUCAUCAACGGCGUGUAUACCCGGCCGUAGGGUCAAAGUUGUGGUCACCAUCAUGUUCGUAGUUAAUGGAGAACCACAUGGAAAAAUACAUCACCAUCGUAGUUAUGUAUCUCCAUCGGUUUUAAAUCACAAGUCUUGGUCGCUCUUCGAACCUUUUGUUCAUAAAGAAACUUGUGUUAUAUUCAAAUUCAUCACCACCGGAUCAGCAUCGUAUCUAUUGGAGUCCUAGUCAUCAACUCCACAGCAUCGUUGGAGUAGUUUCAUCACCAUCACCAUAAGCAAUCAUCGGAGGUGUUCAUCAAUACGGCAUCACCAUAUAUAAUCACGUGACUUAAGAUAUCUUUUUCUCCAAGGUACUAGCAAGUAUGCUAGUCAAUAGAAAAAAAAAAAAAAAAACAUCAAUCGUGACCAAUAACUUGACCAAACCAACAACGUAUACAAUAUCACGUCGUCUCCAUUCUUCUUCUUUUUUUUUUUCUCGAUACACCAAAAGUAAACAGAAAUUGAAAUCAAAGGAGCAUGUUUGAUUUUCCAAAGAUGAAAAGUAGUAAAUCAAAGAGACGAAUCUCGAAUCAACAUUUUUUUUUUUUUUUUCAUAGUUGCGGAAGCAAAGAAAACCUUAACCCAUAUAAAUAGGAUCAAGGCUCUGAUACCAUGAUAAAUUGAUGAGAGUAAGAAUACAAAAAGUGUUUAGAAAGAAUUAUAAUUAGACUCUCAUAAGAUUCAUGUUCUAAAAUACAUCGAUAUAUAUAGAGAAAGACUAAACUUAAUUUCCUAAAUUAAAAUAAAGAUAAAUGUAAAAUAUACUUUAGAGAUAAAUGUAAAUAUUCCAAACUAAUAUAUGAUAAUCUUUGAUGUGUUGCGUUUUUAACGGUUUCGAGUCUUGGUUUAGUUCAUGUUUUGAGUCAUCUAUCGUGUCAAAGUCCGUCUUUUGCGCCUUUUCGGUUGUGUCUUGAGUCCUUUGCAGGCUAUAGGUGCUCGAGCUGGAUUCGGAGCAUCUUGUGCAUGAUUGAGCCUAUUCGGAGCUAAAACAAUGGAGAAACGGUACAAGAGAUCACCAGGAGCUGGGGAUCGAUCGAUCCAAGGCGUGGAUCGAUCGAUCCCAAUUGUGACGAUGAAGCCAAAAGUUCCAGUCGCUCGAGAUCGAUCGAUCCCAGGAGGGGAUCGAUCGAUCCAACCUCAUUCGUCCAAGACCAAUUGAUUCAGCAUUUCUGGAUCGAUCGAUCCACCCAUGGGAUCGAUCGAUCCAACCUCAUCCGUCCAAGACCAAUUGAUUCAGCAUAUCUGGAUCGAUCGAUCCACCCAUGAGAUCGAUCGAUCCGAGCCUCGACGCCCCGAGACGGUUUUCCUAAACCGGGUUUUGUCUUUCUUUUUUGUACUUGGAUAUAAAAACCGCAGAAACCUAAUUUUCUUUUUACGUUCUUUUCUCUGCAACUUUUGAGACUUCUCUUUGUAAGCUUUUUGGGAUUCUAGAGAUUCAUCCUCUUUGACACUUUGGAGAAGAUUUCUAAACCCUUAUUUCUUAUUUAUCAAUUCAAUUAUGCUUUCUUUUCAAUCUAUUUCUCUUGUUUCUGUUGUUAUGUGUGAGUAGUUUUUUAAUUGGGAUUUAGGGUUCUAAUUAGGAGAUUCAAUGGAUUAAUGGAUUGAUUGUUAUUAGGAAUUUCAUUCUUUAGGUUCUUUGAUUCACAUGUUCUUAAUGCUAGAAUAGGAUUGAUCACCCUGUUGUAGAACCUAGGUUUUUCUAUGCAUCAAAAGUAUUCGAUAGAAUGCCUGAAAGAAUGUGAAUUGAGCAAUGUAUUUCUAGCCAACGAAAGUUGACGUUAGGACGCAUUGUGAACUUAAUGAACUUGUUUGGUAAUGCGAAUUUGACUAGGAAAUUGCAUGCGAAAGUUUAGUAAUCGAAUAGUCAAAUUUAGUGAUUAAUGUCUUGAAAGGGAAUUGGUCUAAAUGUGUUCAUGUUCAAGAACGGGUCGUAAUUGUUGAAUUCCUUGUCUCAUGUUUCCAUUGUUCGUUGAUCUCUGAAAUACCCUAACGCCCAAUGUCUUUAAAUCUUGAAGUUAAAUCGUUUAAUUAAUUUGCAUUUUUAUUUUACAAACUGAAAACCCGAACAAGCAAUCUUUUUAGUUUUAGCUAAGAACAAGUCUCGGAAAUCCUUAGAGUAUCUUUGGUCCUUGUGGAUCGACCUCGAAUAUACUGCUUAACGGUUAAGUGUAUUGAGUAAUUACUCGAGCAAUCAAGUUGGCGCCGUUGCCGGGGACCAAUUGCGUUACCUAAGGAUUUAGGAUUAGCUUUUAGUCUAAAGCAUUUUUUAUUUUCUGCUACUAAUUUUCGUUUUCGUUUUCUCUUUGGUGUUUUCAGGUGUAUGACCCGCAGCCAAGGCUCGUCACAUCUAGCGGAUUACCAAGAGGAUAUCGGAAAAUUUGAAAGAGCGAAUAAGAAAAAGAAGAAGAUAGCCGAGCAGAGAGAAGCUGAAAUGGCUGAAUUUGAUGCUGCAGGAAAUCUUCAGAAUAGGGAUGAACUUCCACUUGGAGGUGAUCAUCAAGGAGUGUUUCAGGAUCCUCCACCGCCUAGAAACAAUAAUGCUCCUGCUGCUGGUGAACGUGAUGCUGCUGCUAAUGCCGCCCGUGUAGCUGUAGCAAAUGCUAGGCCCGUGCCUGCUCGACAGACUUUGAGAGAUCAUGAUGCUCCUAAUGUUGUGCAUUUUCGAGACAGGAACCAACAGCUGCCAAUCAAUAGGAAUGAUUUUGAGAUCAAGACAGGGUUGCUAUCUUUGGUGAAGCAGAAUCAGUUCCAUGGUCUCACCUCAGAGAAUCCAGUCUACCACUUGGAUAACUUCGAGGAUAUAUGCAGUACAACAAGAAUGAAUGGAGUACCUGAUGAUAUCAUCAAAUGCAGACUUUUCACCUUCUCCUUGGCUGACAAAGCCCAUCGCUGGUUGAAGUCUUUGGACACUGAGAAUUUAAGAAGCUGGGAAGACUACAAGGCUGCAUUUCUGUCACAGUAUUUUACACAGUCUAGGACAGCCAUUCUGAGGAACAAGAUCUCUUCUUUUCAGCAGCAUGGUACAGAAUCGUUCCAUGAUGCUUGGGAGCGGUUCAAAGACUACUACAGAGAAUGCCCUCAUCACGGGUUUCCAUAUGCCACUUUGAUCAAUACUUUCUACAGGGGAGUCGAUAAGGACUACAAGAUGGCUUUGGAUACUGCUAGUAAUGGGGAUUUCAUGACCAAGACUGAGGAUGAAGCUACAGAGCUUAUUGAGAAUUUGGCAACCAGCAACAGUAACCACAAUGUUGACUAUGACAGGUCGAACAAAGGUGGAGGAGGAGAGUCGAAACAGAUUGCUGAGUUGACAGCUAAGGUAGAGCAACUCCUCAAGAGAGAUCAGCGGGUUGUUAAUUUCUGUGACGAUAGUGGUGAAGCUCAGGUGUAUCAAGAGUUCGUCGGGGACGGUUCAGAGGAUGUUCAGGCUGAGUUAAACUACAUCAACGGUCAGGGCAAUUACCAGAACAGGGGAUUCAAUCAGAACUACAGGAACCACCCUAACCUUUCCUACAGGAGUACCAAUGUAGAGAAUCCGCAGGAUCAGGUAUACCCAGCGCAGACGGGAUCACAAGGUCAGCAAUUUCAGUCCAAGCCUUUUGUACCUGGACAGGGAAAUUUCAACAAUAAGGUGUUUGUACCUAAGCCACAGAUGCAGGGCAAUGGGUACAAUCAGGGAGGUUUCCAGCAGAAAUCUCAGUUUAACAACUUCCAGGGAAGUUACCAAGCACCUACAGGUAAUAAUUCUGCAUCUUCUUCAGGAGACAAUGAGAUGAAGCUCAUGAUGCAGCAAAUUCUUGAGGGACAGAAAAAGAACGCUGCAGAUAUUAAUGUCAAGGUUGAUAGCAUGUACAGUGAUCUUCAUGGGAAAUUCGAGUCACUAGCUUCACAUGUUAAGACACUUGAGAAUCAAGUAGCUCAAACAGCUUCUGCAUCUACAAGACCAAUGGGGGUUCUUCCUGGAAAGCCGAUCACGAACCCGAAAGACUACAACAAUGGUAAGGAGUAUGUUAAUGCUAUCUCACUGAGGAGUGGCAAAGAGCUCAACCCAAUCCUGAAGAAGGAAAAGGCUAAGGCCAUUUCUGAUGACUCGGGAAAGGAUGAUGUUGAGAAGAAGUCGGAUGAUGAGCCAUUGGUUGAGAAAGUUGAAGCUGAGAAAACAGUCCCUGAGAAGGAGCAGGUUGAGAAAGUUGUACCACCACCUUAUGUGCCUAAGCUACCAUUUCCGGGCCGCUUGAGGAAGAUUCAGAGAGAAAAAGAGUAUGCUCAGUGUGAUGAGAUCAUGAAACAACUUCACGUUAGACUUCCAUUUCUCGAGUUAGUCCAGAAUGCCCCGGUCUACAGGAAACAUCUGAAGGACAUUUUGACUAACAAGAGGACUCUUGAAGAAGGAGCUGUAUUAAUAAGUCAUGAGUGUAGUGCCAUUCUCCAGAACAUUGUACCUGUGAAGAGAGAGGAUCCAGGUAGUUUUGUGUUGCCUGGUACGAUUAGAGAAUUUUCUUUCGGUAGAUGUCUCUGCGAUUUGGGAGCAGGAGUGAGCUUGAUGCCUCUUUCAGUCUCUAAGAAGCUUGGUAUCACCAAAUUCACUCCAACGAAGAUGUCGUUGAUACUUGCGGAUCGUUCUGUUCGAUUUCCUGUUGGAGUAGCUGAGGAUGUGUACAUUCGCGUUGGGAACUUCCAUAUCCCGACCGACUUUGUCAUCAUUGAGCUUGACGAUGAGCCAAGAGAUCCGCUCAUUCUUGGUAGACCAUUCCUGAAUACUGCAGGUGCAUUGAUAGAUGUGAGGAGAAGUAAGAUCAAGCUGCAAAUUGGUGAUAUUGUUCAGGAGUUUAACAUGGAGAGAGUGAUGUCUAAACCCACCAUUGAGGGUCAGACAUUUUGGGUAGACAUCAUGGAUGAGCUAGCUGAUGAGCUCUUAGAAGAGUUGAACACCGAGGAUCCUCUUCAGAUUGCCUUGAUUACGGAAGAGAGUGAGUUUGGGUACCUUGGAGAGGCAACUACUGGGUUUGCUAGGAUGCUGGAUUCUAGUUCACCAAUGACAAAAGUGGUAGCAGUCGCUGAGUUUACAGAGAAUGAGGUAGAGAGAGCUAUGGUUGUUUCUACUACAGAGGACUGCGAUGUUUGGAGCGAGCUGAAAGCUCCAAAAAUUGAACUCAAACCACUUCCUGCCGGGCUAAGGUACGCGUUUCUUGGUCCUAACUCCACAUACCCUGUGAUAAUUAAUGCUGAGCUGAACAAUGUGGAGAGCGCCCUGUUGUUAUGUGAGUUGAGAAAGUACAGAAAAGCCUUGGGCUACUCUCUUGAUGAUAUCACAGGCAUCUCUCCAACUUUAUGUAUGCACAGGAUAUAUCUAGAGGAUGAAUCAAUGACUUCUGUAGAACAUCAGAGACGGUUAAACCCGAAUCUUCGAGAUGUUGUAAAGAAAGAGAUAAUGAAACUUCUAGAUGCGGGUAUCAUCUAUCCUAUCUCUGAUAGUACUUGGGUGAGCCCGGUCCAUGUUGUGCCUAAGAAGGGUGGUGUCACUAUGAUUAAAAACGAAAAGAAUGAAUUAAUCCCAACAAGAACUGUCACAGGACACCGAAUGUGCAUUGAUUACCGAAAACUUAACUCUGCCACCCGUAAGGACCAUUUCCCACUACCCUUCAUUGACCAAAUGCUUGAAAGACUGUCAAACCAUCCUUAUUACUGCUUUCUUGACGGGUACUCGGGAUUCUUUCAAAUCCCGAUUCAUCCCGAUGAUCAAGAGAAAACCACCUUUACUUGUCCCUAUGGUACAUUUGCUUAUCGUAGGAUGCCCUUUGGUUUAUGUAAUGCCCCUGCCACGUUUCAACGUUGCAUGAUGUCUAUCUUUAGUGAUAUGAUUGAGGAUUUUAUGGAGGUUUUUAUGGAUGAUUUUUCUGUGCAUGGCACGUCUUUCGCUACUUGUUUGUCUAACUUGUGCAGGGUACUUCAGCGCUGCGAGGACAAACACUUGGUUUUAAACUGGGAGAAAUGUCACUUUAUGGUGAGGGAUGGCAUUGUACUUGGGCACAAGAUUUCGGAGAAGGGUAUUGAGGUUGACAAAGCCAAGAUUGAGGUGAUGAUGAGUAUGCAGCCGCCGAAUUCUGUGAAAGGAAUCAGGAGUUUUCUGGGACAUGCUGGUUUCUACAGGCGGUUCAUCAAGGACUUCUCCAAGAUUGCUAGACCGCUCACACAGUUACUCUGCAAGGAACAGAAGUUUGAGUUUGAUGAGAGUUGUUUGCAGGCAUUCACGUUAAUCAAGAACUCUUUGGUGAGUGCUCCUAUUGUUCAGCCACCUGAUUGGGAGCUACCUUUUGAGGUAAUGUGUGAUGCCAGUGACUACGCUGUGGGUGCUGUUCUGGGACAGCGGAAAGAUAAGAAGUUGCAUGUUAUCUACUAUGCUAGUCGCACUCUUGAUGGAGCACAGGUGAAUUAUGCAACAACAGAAAAAGAACUCCUCGCGAUCGUGUUUACUUUUGAGAAGUUUAGAUCCUAUCUGGUUGGGUCUAAGGUUAUUGUUCACACGGAUCAUGCUGCAUUGAGAUACCUGCUGUCUAAGAAAGAUGCCAAGCCGAGACUAUUGAGAUGGAUACUUCUGUUGCAGGAGUUUGACUUGGAGAUUAAAGACAAGAAAGGUAUUGAGAAUGGUGUUGUGGAUAACUUGUCUAGAUUGAGAGUUGAGGAAGAUAUUCCAAUGAGAGACGCUCUUCCAGGUGAAGAGCUUGCUUUAAUCGCAGACCGCUACAUUAGUGAGAUGGAGAGAGCACGCGUCAACGCUCUUGAGCUUAUGACGUUACACACUGGGGAAGGCAAUUUGCCUUGGUAUGCUGAUUUCGCUAAUUACUUGUCUUGCGAUGUUCCACCUCCCGAUUUUACAGGUUACGCUAAAAAGAAGUUCUUGAAAGACGUGCAGCGUUAUUACUGGGAUGAGCCUUACUUGUAUAAGAAGUGUGCUGAUAAUCUUUUCAGAAGAUGCAUUCCCGAGAGUGAAGUUGCUGGUAUCCUCCAUAGUUGCCACGCUUCAGAUUAUGCAGGCCACUUUGCUUCUUUCAAGACUGCUACAAAGGUUCUCCAAGCUGGUUUUUGGUGGCCUAGCCUGUUCAAAGAUGCUCAUGAGUUUGUUGCGAGAUGUGAUGCUUGCCAGCGCAAGGGGAGUAUAAGCAAGAGGAAUGAGAUGCCUCAGAAUUUCAUUCUCGAAGUUGAAGUGUUCGAUGUGUGGGGAAUUGACUUCAUGGGUCCUUUCCCAUCCUCUUAUGGGAAUGAAUACAUCUUGGUAGCUGUGGACUACGUUUCUAAGUGGGUUGAGGCUAUAGCGAGUCCGAAGAAUGAUGCUGCGGUGGUCCUCAAGAUGUUUAAGAAGAUCAUAUUUCCGAGAUUCGGAGUCCCGAGAGUGGUGAUUAGCGAUGGUGGAAAGCACUUCAUCAAUAAAGUUUUUGCGAACUUGUUGGCGAAGCACGGUGUUAAGCACAAGGUAGCCACACCAUAUCAUCCUCAAACAUGUGGCCAAGUUGAGCUUUCUAACCGAGAGAUUAAGGGAAUCUUGGAGAAGACUGUAGGUAAGUCUAGAAAGGAUUGGGCUGCGAGGCUAGAUGAUGCUCUUUGGGCAUACAGAACCGCCUACAAGACUCCAAUUGGAACCACACCGUUCAACCUAAUCUACGGGAAGUCUUGCCAUCUACCGGUUGAGCUAGAGUAUAAAGCACUAUGGGCUACAAAGUUGAUGAACUUCGACAUCAAGCCAGCUGCGGAACGGCGUUUGGUUCAACUCAAUGAGUUAGACGAGAUCCGUUUGAAUGCUUACGAGAGUUCCCGGAUCUACAAAGAGAGAACCAAAGCAAUACAUGACAAGAAGAUCAUCUUGAAGCAGUUCACGGAAGGUGAUAAGGUACUCCUUUUCAACUCUAGGCUUAAGCUCUUCCCUGGAAAACUCCGAUCAAGGUGGUCGGGUCCUUUCGUUAUAAAGGAGAUGAGAUCAAAUGGUUCAGCGAUACUUUUGGAUAAUGAUGGGAAACCGUUUUCCACAAACAGUCAAAGGAUGAAGCCUUAUCUCGCGAACUCAAUUCCUGAAGAGAGCACUACGGUCUCUCUCACGGACCCAGCUCAAGCGUAAGAACUCAUUGAGGUCAAGCUAACGACCUUAAGCAAGCGCUUCGUGGGAGGCAACCCACUAGGUAUUGUACAUACUUUGUUUUCAAUUUUUCAUUUUCGUUCUUCUUUUCGUUUUGACUUGAUUCACUCCGCUGUGGAGAUCGGACUUAUCGAUCCAGCUGUUGCAUCGAUACAGUCUCGGUAUUUGAUGUUGCUUGUGAGUUUGACUUUGAGUGCAGGACCUCCACGUUGCAUAACCAGGAUUCCAGAAGAUGUAGAUCGAUCGAUCCCAGAAGUGGAUCGAUCGAUCCAGAUGUUGGACGUCGCCUGCACAAAGUCACCAGAGGCUGGGGAUCGAUCGAUCCCACCACCAGAUCGAUCGAUCCCAAGGUAAGGUCGAUAAUUUUUUUUUAAAAUUUGGAUAAACCGGAAUUAAACCGAUCUCGACUUGAAUUGAACCGGUCAUAACCGGAUCGACCUAGCCUAACCACGGGAUCGAGCUCCCCCUUCUCAUUCACGAGCCACACACUUCUUCUUCUUCGUUUUUGAGAGGUUUCAAGAACACAAAAUCCCCAAUUCAUAACUUUCUCAAUUCUUGAUCGAUUUCAACGUUUUUGGUGUCCAUUCCACUCGGUUUUUCGCCCUCUUUCUGUUUCUAGUGUUGGUUUCUUCGAUCUGCAAAGGUACGAGCUCGAAAUUCCUCUUUUUGGUUCCGUCUUCAAAGGUGAAGAAUCACUAAUUCCUUGAAUUUCAUGCUGUUUUUGGAUUGUUUGAUGCUAGAUUCUUGUCUAGGAUGGUUUAGGAAACCUUUUUAUGCCUUUAAUUGCUGGAUUAGGGCUUAAAUUGAAGAUUGGAUUUUUCUCUCUUUGAUAAAGACGGCCAUGGUUGAAUUUUGUAGAUAAACGAUUUUAAGAGCUUUAAACUUGAUAGGUUACGAUGCAUUGUUUAGUUCUAGUAACUAAAAUACAAUGAUUAAGCUCUUUGAUUUGUUUUUGAGUGAUUUCUUGAUUUACCUUUGUCUCUUUUGCUAGAUAUGGGACGAACAAACGAGGUUGCAGGAACUUCUAGACCACGCACGGGCACUUCCAAAGCUCCACAGAAAGAAGAUCCGAAUAAGCGUCCUGUUACGGGCGUAUGGGACAAAGAGGACACCAAGUUCAUGGCAAUUUUGAAAAAUGUUCCUGUUUUACCAACACGAGUCGCUUCCAAAAUAACGCUCGAUAUGCUCGGUUUGCUUGAGGAUGUUACGACGGUGUUUCAAACGCUCGGCAUGGGGAGAUUGUGGAGAGUUGAGCAUCGUGUGUACACUAAGCUUGUGACGGAAUUCAUAGCUACUUGUCGCCUCACAUACCAGAACCCGCAGAAACCAACAGCAAGUGAAGGAACACUCACAUUCUUCCUCAACAAACAGCAUUAUAGCAAGACUUUGUUCGAGAUCUGCGACAUGUAUGGGUUCACCAAGGGCGAAUCCGUUACAUUCCCGAAAUUAUCUUCUGAGGUUGCUAAUGACUUCUGGAACAAGAUUGCUGUGGGACCCUACCAGUCGCGUAAGGCGAAAAUUACUCUUAUCCGGAGUCCGGUUGUGCGAUAUGUCGCAAAGAUCAUCAGUAGUGUGUUGUACUUCAAACCCGUGAUCGCAUCAGUGACAGAGACUGAGUUGUCAAUGCUUUUCUAUGGCGUCAAGCAUCUGUUAGAAGACUAUACUGAUUUCCCAGCACCUGACGCUAAUGUAGCUGCAAUUCUGUGUGACGUGUUAGUAAAGAUGAAAACUUUUGUCCCCAAAUCCGCCGCGAAAAACAUCUUAGCUGGUACUACACUCACUCCAUUGUUUCUCGGCUGCAGGUUAGACCUCUCCAAAGUUGCGUAUGACUAUAAACAAGAGUGUAUGGAUAUUCAACAUCUGUACAAUACUACCUACCUCAAAAAGGGUAGGGUGUAUGUAUUCACGGGUAGGGAUGGUUCUUCUUGCUUCUGCAAGCUACCCAACCGGCAUAUCACCUCCCUUGUUUCUCUUGAUAAUUUGGAGUUCGCACUUGAUGAGCAGUAUUUGAUUCCUGAUCCUUCCGGGACCAUACCUAGACGUCGUAGUCACGCACAGGCUCCACCUACAGAUGAGCAUUUUGUCGAAGAGGAUGAGAUUCAGGAGGACUUAGAUGAUCAGGCGCCUCCGUCGCAUGCCCAACCGUACUUGUUGCUUCCAGAGGAUCCAGGACAGUUCCGCCUUUCACCACCACCUGCAAGUAACGACAUCUCCCAGCAGAUGGCAUGGAUGAUAGCAUCGACGAAGAGGAACAACAGCAUGAUGCACAGGAUGUGGAGAGCCAUAUCCAGGAUCAGGCCUUGUGUGUGUACUCGCGGAGAAGGAUCAGAUGAUGGAGACCGAGAGAACCGGUCUAAGGCCACCGAGGAUCGGCAUGCUGAGAGGUUGAUCCCUGCUGCUGGACAGAGUAGAGCUUCGACUUCGCGGCGUUCACAAGAGCAUUCUCCAGACACACGCUUAGGCAGGAGCAGGAGACAGCCAGGGGAGCAGAGCUCUAGCGAGAGCCCCACCCACCACCGUUGAGUACUACAGUAACUCACCCUUUUCCCUUGUUAUAUACCAUUUUUAUUUUCUUGCGUCCGUGUGGCAUCUUUUCUUUGAACUGUUUUCACGCCGAGUCGGUGUGAAGCAAGUCGGGGGGAGGCUGCCACUUGUCUACUAAUCUAGUUUGCAUUUUUGAUGUUUUUCUUUUGAGUCAUCGAGUCUGUUUUAUCGAGUCAAAAUCGUGUCUUUUAUUGAGUCAAAAUGUUGUCUGAGAACUAUGAUCUUUUCUUAGGGAAUUGCACCAUGUUUGAUUUAAUUGCCUUUGGGACCAUUUUAGCACUAUUCGAUAACUUGGAAGUUCAGGAAAAUCCAUCACUUGAUCACUUUAUAGUAGUCCCUAUCUCUUUGAAUUUUGGAUGAAUUGAGCUUAAUCUUAUAUACUUGAACUUAAUCUGGACUUAAUUUAUCUCACUUAGGGGCUUGAGAAUCAUGUAAUGGAUCAUACAUUCAGAGUUUUGUUCGCAUCAUUUUUACCACUCUUUGCUAACUCUGAAUGGCUAGACUCAUUUUUAGUCUAGUACCGCACCUGUUUCCCCACCCAUUGUUUGAAACCUCAUGCAUUCUUAUAUGAUCAUCAUGAUAUGCAUCCAUGUGCGAAAACUACGGAGUAUACGGACCGACAUAGCUUUCCUUUUGUUAGGAUAGUGAGUUGUAGUUUACUGGUUGUCGAUAUGUGAUGAGAUUGAGCCAUUGUGGUUUAGAGGUUAUAUUCAUGGGUAUAUGCUGCUGUUUGCGAUUGUUCUUGAUGCAGAUUUUUGUGAGACACCGGUUCCACUCCCCCGCUUCUAUAUAUAUAAAAAAAAAAAAAAAAAAAAAAAAAAAAAAAAAAAAAAACCGGAAAUGUCGAGUUAUUAUUGGUUAUAUUGAUAAGCAUCAAGGGUACACUUUGAUUUGAUUGGGGGUAGUGUGUUGGUUGAUUUGAUCCGAGCUUAAGGGAAGCUAUGUACCUCCUAGUUGGUCUGUGUCUCACUGUGAUUUCGCAUAAUGUCAUGCAUCCGUUUAUACUGUUCGAGAACCCGAAACACUUUGAGCCACCAUAUAUUAGCCCUUUUUACCAAGCCCAUAGCGUGUUCGAUAUCCCCUUUGUGAGAAUACACGCCACUGCUAAUGAAUGUUAAAAGGUUAAGUUAUCUGACUCUGAAAGUUCUUUUAGAUCUCGGGACUUAAUUUUGUUGCUACGGUUAUGGCGAAGUACAGUCUAGUACGGUUUGAUGAGUUGUGUGAUAGUGGUUUGCAGGCAAUUGAUAGAACAUGAUCCCGAAGAAAAUGUGAGUUCUCGUGUUUUCAAACCUCUUCUCUUGAUAAGGAUUUCUGCUUUCCUUGAGGACAAGCAAAGAUUUAAGUCGGGGGGAGUGAUGUGUUGCGUUUUUAACGGUUUCGAGUCUUGGUUUAGUCCAUGUUUUGAGUCAUCUAUCGUGUCAAAGUCCGUCUUUUGCGCCUUUUCGGUUGUGUCUUGAGUCCUUUGCAGGCUAUAGGUGCUCGAGCUGGAUUCGGAGCAUCUUGUGCAUGAUUGAGCCUAUUCGGAGCUAAAACAAUGGAGAAACGGUACAAGAGAUCACCAGGAGCUGGGGAUCGAUCGAUCCAAGGCGUGGAUCGAUCGAUCCCAAUUGUGACGAUGAAGCCAAAAGUUCCAGUCGCUCGAGAUCGAUCGAUCCAACCUCAUUCGUCCAAGACCAAUUGAUUCAGCAUUUCUGGAUCGAUCGAUCCACCCAUGGGAUCGAUCGAUCCAACCUCAUCCGUCCAAGACCAAUUGAUUCAGCAUAUCUGGAUCGAUCGAUCCACCCAUGGGAUCGAUCGAUCCGAGCCUCGACGCCCCGAGACGGUUUUCCUAAACCGGGUUUUGUCUUUCUUUUUUGUACUUGGGUAUAAAAACCCCAGAAACCUAAUUUUCUUUUUACGUUCUUUUCUCUGCAACUUUUGAGACUUCUCUUUGUAAGCUUUUUGGGAUUCUAGAGAUUCAUCCUCUUUGACACUUUGGAGAAGAUUUCUAAACCCUUAUUUCUUAUUUAUCAAUUCAAUUAUGCUUUCU
RNAcentral lists this long non-coding RNA (90990 nucleotides) under Arabidopsis lyrata. RNAcentral's name for it is "long non-coding RNA (ALYR_LNC002867)". The stretch from base 11669 to 11750 matches the Rfam family "tRNA". The record is from RNAcentral. Lineage: Eukaryota; Viridiplantae; Streptophyta; Magnoliopsida; Brassicales; Brassicaceae.